GGUCGGAUGUGUUGUAAGUUCGUUGGUGUUCGUUGCCGUUCGGUGUUGUUCGCAUCGGUUCGUGGUUCGCUUCGCUUCGGUGCGAUUCGUGCCUCUGUUCGUCUUUUACGGGUUCUUCUCGCCUUCGAAAGCGCCGUCCUUCUUCAGCAUUUUCCACAUUUUCACGUACAGUUCAAUCGUGAGGUUCAGCCUAGUGAGUUCUGUGUAGUUAAGUCGGAAUAUUUCGUAUAGUUCUCGUCGACUGUCGUGUGACAUUUGUUCUUCGAUUCCGAAACGCUGUAUUGAACACACAAAAAAUAAUUUAAAUUAGAAUAUUCAACCAACGAAGGAAACGAAAAACCAAUUCAAAUUUUAACAAAAUAAUAAUUUGCUUCAACAUAUAUAUUGCGAAUAUAUCAUCAAAUUUAAUCAAAUCAAAUCACCACAAAAAAAACCAAACAAAAUCGAAAACCAAAUCUACAAAUUCGUUUCUCAAAAACCCCAACAAACACAAAACAAAACAAACCAAAACCGAUUCAAAUAUAUAACUGUUAAAUCUGUAAGCAAGGGCAAUUAUCAUUAAGAUCAUCCACAGCUCACGCUCAAAAGUAUUUCCAAUAGCUUACAGCACACACAUAAAGCAGUUUAUCCCAGUAUAAUCCUAGUCCGACUUCAGAUUUCUGAUUUCUGUUCUGUUUCUGUUCCAACUCUGAACAGGGCGGACCCAUCCACAUAAGUUCUCAAAAUAGAUCGACUGCCAUGAUAAACAAACCCCAAAAUAAUUAGAAAUAAUUGGUAAACAAAAAAGGCCCAAACAACACUGGAUAAAGAGCAGAACUCAGAUCAGGUUGUUUUCCUCUCUUUUCGAUGGGGGCUCACUCUUCCAAAACACUUUUUCUCUCUGUUAUUUUUUGUGUCUUCUAUUUUUUCCAAUUUGCCUACGUAAACAAACAAACGGAAAAUUGUUUCACGCUCGCAGCACACGAAAACAUUUUCAAUUAAAAUGUUGGCCCAGAAAGCAAACCAAACCAAACCCAGAGUAGAGAAAAUGUUUCUCACAUCGAAUUGAAUAUUCUGAGCAUUUCAUAAUUUCAUAUUCAUUUCCAUGGAAUUCCUCCGCCGAUUCUCCAGCACUCGACAGACCCGAGAAAUCGCAUUGAAACCAUUUUUGCCAAUGAAAAAAUAAAAUCUGUUUUGUUUGCCGUAGUUUUUGGAUUUGAAGUGCGUUUGCCUGGGUUUUUACCCAAUACAUACAUAGUCGUGUGUAUGAAUAUAGUGAAUAUUUCGGUGGCAUUUAUACGAGUAUGGCCAUGUUAAUUGAACAUGCAUUUCUCUUAAUGAUUUUUGGCCACCAGAGCAUGAUUUUUGGUUCUAUGGGCUGGGACUUUGGCCUGUGCUUGCUGGAAAUACUAUCGAGAGUAUUUUCGACUGGUAAAAAUAUUUUACGGCCGCUUUGAUGUGGCCCGAUUGGCACCCAUUAAAUUAAAUUAUUUGCCUGGCUGAAAAUGAAACAUUUCUGCCUCUCAACAAGUGUUAAAAUGCACAUAAAUGGCUUUAACCAUUUCUAAUAGCUUUCUGUGGGGCUAAGGAAAACAAAAAUGUUUUAAGUUCAUACUCUUUAGUUUUCUUGUUUGACUGCUCAUAUGUGUCUCUGGUUGUCUGAAAUAUUUUGCUGGUACAUGGUUUAAAAUAAUUUUUUUUAGAUUUUCCAUCUAGUGCUUAAAAUAUUUGUCAAAUUCCACUCAAAGUUCAAAGUGAAGUGCAUUUAAAUGUUUUUUGUUCAAAGUGCACUAAAGUUUACGCUCAACAAAUAUUAUUUAUGAUUAUUGUGGAGCCUCAAAUGAAAACUGUUUUUGACCUUCCCAAGAAUAAAUCCAUGAAUUGAGUAAAAACAGUAAAUCAUUUUCUUUGCAAAAAGCAAUAAACACAAACAAGUACUUGAGCGCUUCGGAUUGGAUUUAUUUCCUCCGCCUUCAGCACCGGCCCAUGCCUCUCCUCAUUUCCAAGCAAUUAAACACGAAACGCUUAUCUAAAUACGUUUCCGAAAAGAAUCAUUUCAAACCGACUGUACCUGAAAAGCGCUCUCAAUUACCCAUGCUUACACCUGACACAAAAAAUCCAUGAAAUACAAAUUUUAAUUCGAUUUUAGAAACGAGCAGGCGAUCGACUGGGAAGCGAGAGAGGAAGGGAAGCAUCAGCAGCAGCAUCGGUACUACACGUGUGUGUGUUUAAAUACUGGAAAAUACAGAUAAGAUAAUUUAUUAUAGACACUCACGAGCACAUUUAGAGCAGACCAAAAACAGAGACAAAAAACUGCAGAGAAUCAAAUACACUCCAAGAGUAAAUCAAUAAAACAAAAGAACCCAAAUAAAAAAAAACAACCGAAACAGAGAAAAACUCAAGUGCAAAAAAAUAAAAAUUAUAAAUAAAAGUGUUACCAAGAAAAACUUUAAAAAUAAUAUUAAAAAAGAGAAAACCGUACCCAUAACGGUGCAGACAACAGAAAAUUCCCAGUGAAAAUUCAGAAAAGCGUUGACCAUUUUUUCUCGCAAAGGCGCCACGUCCAAGAGCAAAUCGUUCCAUAUGGUUCAUAUUAUUGAAUUGGUCGGCCAGCCGAAGGUUGAGUUUGCUCAACAAGUUACUGUGAGUAUCAAAUCGAGAGUGGAAUGAAUUUUCACACCACACCACAAGCAGCGGAGCGAAGUGAAGAGAGUGCAGGAAACAGGAGAGUGCAGAGUGCUGUGGGUGUGUGAAGUGUGUAGAGCGGUCCGGAGAGCGGACAAAAUGAUAAUAAAUCUUGUUGUCCGUAGAGUCACGUAAUGACAACUUAAUACAAAUACAUAUGCAUACAUGACCGCACACACACAAGCACACACACUAACACACUUUUUAUUAUGUUGUUGUGACGCUUUCCCCACUCACUCUCUUCAUUUUUUCAGCUCACCACCUCUUUUUACACUUCCCCAAGUCUUUUUUUUUGCUUUGCUCAACAUAUUUUGACAAUUAAUCAUUUGCCUGUGUGUCUGUGUUUUAUGCAUGUCCUUCGCAAAAUAUAUGUGUGUGCGUGCGUGAUAUAUAUUUUUUCUGGUGGGAAAUUCAAAAUCAGUGUGUGUAGGUCAAUAUGACUCUUGUUUUUAGGCCGUCUGCCUCUCUGUGCCAUUAACGAACCGCAAUCUUUGCACUGGUCAACAUCUGCUGGUUCUGACUGCAUUGUUCUCUUGAAGCUGAAUGUGUUGGGGGCAUUAUUCUUACCCCGAAAGUAGACUAAUUUUCAAGAUUUUUAAGAGCUUUGUCUUACAGAGAGCUCAAACAAAUUACUAAAAUUUUAUAGAAAAUGGAAAAAGGAAAAAGAAAAAGUGUUUUUUUUUUAAAUUUAUUCGCUACAGCGAAAUUGGUUGGUUGAUGAGUCCGCAUUGACCAGGUACAAAUGUUACUAAACAUUUUGAACUCAAAAAAGAGUUGUUUGCCGAACGAAUACUAUAAAUAUAUUUUAAAGUUUUAAUUUAACAAUUUUAAAGAAAACAAAUUUUUUAAUUGAAUUUGAAAUGUUUUAUCAAUAUUCAGUGCUCAAAAAAAUUAUAUUGCAUAUUGGCUAUUGCAUAUUAAAAUUCAUAAAGUUUUGACAGAUUUUGACUAACAUAUUAGCAUCUUUAAUCUGUUGAAAGAUACAGCCAACAUAUAUCCUGAAGUCAAACACUUGGUUCAUAAUAUAACCAUUGUAGUUCACCUACAGAAUGACUUAUCCACUGGCUGUUCCUUGAGGCUCGUUUUUCCUUUCUCUUUCUCUUAAAGUUGUCAACCAGCUGUGGGAAUAUUACGAAAAACUGAAAUUCUAAUCGGAUUUACAUUUAUUUCUGUUGCAUUACAUUCCGCUCUCCCUGACUCUCUCUCUCCCUCUGCCUCAAUCUCUCUUUCUAACUGUCUGUCUGUUUCACUUUCAGCUGACUGCCUUAUCACAUGUUGUUUUUGUUGUCCGCUUGUCACCCUCUUUCCUCUUAUUCACUCUAUGCUCUAUACUCUAUCCUUCUUUGUCCUUUAUUCUCUAUUUUCUGAUUUUAUUACAGAGAAAAGUCUGUUACUUGGAGGAUAUUGCGUAAAUUUCAUUGUGUAUUUCACUUUAAUGGUGGUGGCUGUCUAGAAUCGGGUGUUGGUGCUACAUUCGUAUCGUAUGGGGAUGGGAUGAGAUGGGGUGGGCUAGUAUAAUGUCACAGGAGGGGGCGCGUUUGUGCGUGCGGCGUUAGAUGACGUCGCCGGCAUUCUUUGUUGUGCUUUGUGCGUGCGUCCCGAGUCUUGUGUCUCCGUGUCCUGGUAUCCUCGUGUCCUGGCCCUGUUCUUCAUCCACCACCCACUUCCUACUUAUUCCACUUCUGUCUGUUUUUACAUUCAUCCUUGACAGGGGAUGUUCGUCGCGUCCCCGUCUCUGUCUCUUCUCUUCCAUGUUUAUUCCUAUAAUGAAGCAUGCGUUGUCUGUUGCUUUUUCUGGUGGAGUUACUCUCUUUCUCCUUCUCUCUCUUUGUAUCUUCUCUUCUCUAUUGUUGUUCAAUACUUUUGUGCCACUUGUUUUGAAUUUUUUCACAUCUCUUUGCUGUUGGCAUUACGUGUUGGCUAACUCGCUCGUUAAAUGGUUAAGUGGAGCGAAGUCGUUGACACAGUUCUUGGGGUCCUUUCUCCCGUUCAUUUGCCGAGAAGUUUGAUUGCAUUUUGGGCUAUGACUCAGACACGAACUUGCUUUUUAAAGUUUUAUUUCACGGUUUCCAGUAAGUAAGUUGUUCCUUUGUCAUUCAGAGAUACUGAAAAACAGAACUAAGAGACAGGGCGCAGGGGUGAGACUUGUAGGUACAAUGAAUUUAGUGAAGGACACAGAAAAGUUGAGGACUCACACAUUUCCAUGCAAGAAAGCUGUUUAAUUUGGUAGGGAAAAUGUUGUUCAAUAGAAAAUGCCAAAGAAAACCAUCGAAGUUUUGUAUGAGUAAUAAAAUAAGGAAGCUAAUUAAAAAUGAAGAAAAAAUUAAUUUCUUUUUUAAACUGAUUUAAGAAAGAAAUAGAAAUAUACUACUUAAAAUGUGUUUUGUUGUGCACAAUCCCUCUAAGAACAUUCGUGCCUGUAAAAUACUUUUCCUCAUGCAACCCCACUCUGCUUCUCUUAAUUGUGGCUCACGUCAAUCCUCUUUCAUCUUUACCCUUCAAAUGUUCCAUCAACAUCCUCAGCCCCUUGAGUAGGUACUCUCCCCCAGCACUUGGCUCAAUCAUACACUUAAUUUUCCACUUCAUUUCAUAAUUUUACCCUUGAAACCAAUAAUCUUGAACGGUGCCUGGCCACAGCCACAUGCCACACACAAGGUGAGAGCCCGGAGACCAAAGGAGCCUUGUCUCUGUCUUGUCAGCCGCUGGCAUAAUUUACCUUUUGACAUGCCACUCCCGAUUCGCUGCCCACCUGGGGCGCAUUCAAAAGCGCCGUGGCACUCGCACACACUCUACUGGUGGCGUCGAACACCUGCGAGUGCUAUUAAAUUACAUGCCACUGCAAAUUACUUGGGAAAACAAAGCGGUAGAAACAAAAAAGAAAACAAAGAACCAGCGCCUUGACGUAUGCAACAAUAAUAAUAACGGGUUGUGGUCGCCUUUUCCUUGACUUUUGCUUGCCGCCCGCCUUCCCGCCAUUGUUAUGCUUGGACUUGUGCUUUGUAAGCCGUCAAGCAUUUACAUACCAUUAGGCGGGGAUCUUAUGGUGGGGUGGGCAAUUGAAUGGCGAAGCGUAUAAAUAUUGAAAAGCGCCAACGCCUUUUGUUCGCUUGCUGGUAAUUGCCUAAGUCGGCAAAUCAACAUAAAUACUGCUCCGAGAGCAGGUACAGAAGUGGAGGUGGAAAGCUGUGUGCCAAUGGAAUUCUCGUAGUUUAUUUGGGACGCAAAAUGAUUUUGAUUCGAAAAAGUGGAAUAAGUUAAAGGAACAAAGAAAACCUAAAAUAUAAAAUUUAAAACAAACAAAUUCUUAUAAUGGCUGAUUUUUGUAUUCCCGGUACUCGAAAAGUAAAUAACAUACAGGUAACAUACAGAAGGAAGCUUUUCUGACCCAACAGUGUAUAUAUAUUCUUGAUAAGCAUCAAUAGCCGAGUCGAUUUGGUCAUGUCUGUCUGUCCGUCCGUCUUGUUGAGUGCCUGGACUAUACAAGCUAGAGCCACAUUAUUUUGCGUCCAGAUGGCUGGCUAUAUUUCAAAACUUCGCCCCGCCUCCUUCUGCCCCCGCCAUUCUGUAGGGCAGGACCAUAUCUACCUGAUCCCAAUUCGGUGAUCAUUAUUAAGUAUAGCCGAAAUGAAGAAAUUAAUUUGCAGUGGCUAAACCCACCCCGUCCAGCAGCUUUGCUUAUUUGUUUGCACAUUCUCUCAUUCCACACUCUUCUUCGUUCAGUGUGCUGCACCAGAGGAGGGGGCGAGCUAAAACAGCAUGUUGGCGUGGGAAGUGAUGUAGAUGUAGAUGACAGAUGUAGAAAAAUGUAAGAUGUAAAAUUUGAAAAAAACCACUAAGGUACAGAUGUUCUACUAAGUACCGGCUAUAAAAGUAGUGAAGCGUAAGAAGCGUCUCACACGUCUAAUGGAAUUUUUUUUGUCAGAAUAAUUUUUAAUAAAUUCUCAAAAAAAAAUAAUAGAAAUACGACCAACAAAAUACAAACAAAUUCAAUGCUCUUUCAAUAUUACUAAAAUCUGGUGGGUCUUAUACCCUUAAGAUAUUGAAAUAAUUCUGAAAUUCUCUAUUAUAUUUGAAAAAAAAACACUAAGGUACAUAUGUUCUACUAAGUACCGGCUAUAAAAGUAGUGAAGCGUAAGAAGCGAAAUAUGACCAACAAAAUACAAACAAAUUCAAUGCUCUUUCAAUAUUACUAAAAUAUGGUGGGUCUUAUACCCUUAAGAUAUUGAAAUAAUUCUGAAAUUCUGUAUUAUAAAACCGCAUUCAAUUUUUUCAGUUAGUUCGAUUAGCCAAAAAAAAAUAACAUUUAAUGACUCAUUUUGUUGACUCUUAUUUUAACCUUUCUGAAACCCAAUAAAGUUAUGCUCGACUGCAGUAAUUUGUGUUUUUUUAUGAUGUAUGCUAAAAGCCUUGCUCCUGACUUUACCUUUGGCUGUGGCUAUGGCUGUGGCUUGGCGACUCUUGAUUACUAUAGGUGACAGUUUUAUAGCUUUGUUAACAGGGAACACAGGCCGACUGCACCCUCCUCUGGAGAACUGCCGCAGCCUCGCCCACAUUCUCGUUUGCGUUCUUUUGUUGUGCUUGGCAUGUUUAGCGCUGAUUAUGCUUUGUGCCAGCAACAGCAGGAAAAACUCACCCCCUGAAAGACAAAAAAAAAGAGAGAGAGAAAUUUAGUCGAAAAGGAAAACUUAUCGGAACAGGGCAGAGAAGGCGGCGCAGAGUUCCACACGCUUAAGGGUGUGCGGGUCUGUUAGAGGCAAUGGAAUUACUUGCGUGAUUAACGCACACCACCGAGCGUAUCCAUCGCCCUGGUGCCCCUGGUGCCCACUGUGCUCAUGGUGCGCCCCUCUCUGGGGUCUUAUCUAUGGCUGCCCGCCUUAAUUGUGGGUCUUCCAUCUGACUAUCGAUCCAUUUGCUAUUCCAUUCAAUUCGAUCAUCGUAAUGAGGCAGGCCACUUCAAAAGCUGCACAGCUCAUUAGGUUUCCCUAUACAUACUCGUAUAUACAUUGCUCGAUUAUUCCAGCACUCGUAUAUACCUGCAUUUUAUAUUAGUUAUUCAUUUUCAGACUUAUCUCCGAUUUCCUUUGCUUUGCGUCUCUCCUCGAUUCGCUUUUUCUUUGACUUCUGCACGUUUACCUUCUUUUGUUUAUGGCUUCUCAAAAUAGCCGAGUCGAAAUGUAAACAAAAGCGCAAAAAAAACACCAAAAAGAAGAGAAAGACCGAAAGAAAAUCUCGCAGUUCACAGCGGCAGCUGCGUGCGUCAUGUGAACACUUUUUCCAGAUGCUUGCUUUUUCUCUCUGUUGUCCACUCUCUCUUUCUCUCCCUCGCUCUCUGUUAAUGUAUUUCGCCAAAAGUGCAAAACCGCACGGAGAGGGCUUGGUUAUUCGCUCUCUUUCGAUUGGCAAAGUCUACAUUUUGUAUAUCCGAAUAUUAUUUAUGUGGCGGAACAGAAUUUUUUCCUCCACAGUUUUAAUUUCCUUCACAACUAAUUAUUUCUAUGCCACAAGUGUAUUUUCCUGCCGUUGGGGUUUCCUCUUCUACUAACACUUCCCCAUAGCUGCUUGAAUUCAAGUUAUCCUGCCUAUUGUUGUUUCCACUUGGUCAAUAAAUCAACAAACACACACACACACACAAAAGAAGGAGAGGGGAAAGCCAGCUCGGAGAGCUGUUAUGCCAAGGAAAACUCGGCAAACAAAACCGCUAAUUGUCGAUAAACAACCAAUAAAAUACAAAUUUCCCAAAAACAUUUAUCAAAAAUAAUAUAAAUAAUAACAAUAACCACACGCACAAAACAACAGACACUCGAGGGCGAUAAAUAAAAAUGGCAAAAGGAAACUCGGAACAGGCCCAGCCACAGAAGAAAAACCUGUCAAGGGGGAUGGGGAUGGUGAUGGUGCCAAAGAGAAGAAAUGUAUGGAAAAUAGUGUUUGACAGCUCAUAAAAAAUAAUGUCGCAUUCAUUAAGGGGUGUCGCCAGGGGUGGAAAACCUGUAAGGGAUUGUUAUGGCAAGGAAGUUGCCAAAAGCGAAUUUCAUUUUAUUUACGACAGGAAGUGGCCCAGAACAGCAACAGCCACUUGAAACGCACGCAUGCAAAGUUAAAGCGGGAGGGAAAACAUCCUGACACCACAAUGAAAGUGGUGUGUGGGAGAGACAGGCCCAAGUCAAGCCGAAAAUAUUCAAUGGAAAAACUAAAUGAGACCCCGACUCAGAUGGAAAGUGCGUAAAAGAUUUUCAAGCUUAACGAAAGUAUAAAGAGUUUUCGAGCCCCAAACUCUAACAAUUCACCAAGAAGAGACCCGAAUCACCAUAGAAUGCUUGAAUAUAUUAUGAUAGAUGCAUAUAGGAGUACCUUCAAUAAAUGUAUAUUUUAAUUCUGUUUAUUAAAAAUGCCUCACUCAGUUAGAGUAAAUCCCUCUCUCUCUCUCUCUCUUAAGUGUCUCCCCUUAUGAAUAAGCAUGCUUCCAAAUGACAUUGACAAUGUCAGGGACCUUAGUAAUGAGCAAAUGUUUGAAUGACACACUGACAGAAUGACAGUUUUCCUUCUGGCUUGGGCAGGUGCUUUAUGGUUGGUUGUUGCUGUCGCUGCUCCUGCUUUAUACUCCUGUAUUCAGCUGCGUUUGCCAAACGCUUGCGUGCUGAAACUUUUGAAAGUUGUUCAAGUAAACACCACGAGGGGCAGCCACUAGAUGGUUGGCAGACUGAGGGGCUUGUGGUGUUUGUUUGUUGGUUGAAACAUGCAAAUGUUACAAGGUGUUAUGCUUUAUGUACAUUUAAUUGAGACUUAUUAGGUAGUGAAGUGUACAAUAGUAAAAUGUGGUUGUUUUUUCUGUGGUGCUUGUUGAUAGUGUCGUUAGCGUCUUAGGUGUGGGGAGACUUCGUACUCGGAGCGUUUCCAGGGAGGUACCACCGAACUUCCACACUUUCUCAUUGAUUUCCUCUAACCUAAUCAGUCCUAUAUAAGUGUAUGUCUCGAUAUUCCAUUUCCCGAAGUUCAACUCAGGGAAAAUUGCAGAGCCAAAGUGCAUAUCUUAUUGAACAAUUGUAGCCGACAGCAGGAAAGGGGCAGGAGUUGCGAACAAACAUGAACAAAACAACUCAGAAAUGUAUCACUGGAACCCACCGGCACUCCGUCACCCAACCCCCUUGUACCCUUCGGGUACAUUAGACGCCGCCAACGCCACUUCAAUGCGCAUUUCAACUUAUUUUUCUCGAUUUUUCUCCCCUGCCCCUGUUUUGUUGCAUUUUUCUAUUUUUGGGUGCAAAAAUACAAAAGCACGAAACGGAUUCCGCCUUCGACGGGCCCCGACCCGACCCCAUGCCACCCCCGUCAUCGCCCGUCGUCGUCCCUGGCGGUCGGUCUGCCUUUCAGCAUUUUCCUUUCUAUUUUCAAUAGACGUUUCUGUUGUGGUUGUUGCUGCUGUUUCUGUUUUCUUCCAGCCGACAAACAAUAAAAAUGAUGCGUUGUAUUGCAAAAGCACUGCUGUCCACACCAGACCUCCCUGCCCCAUCUGCCACCUCUGUGUUGCAGCAUAGCACAGCAUAUGUUGCAACUCUGUUGCUGGACUGAGCUGGUAGAACGAGAAUGCGAGAUGGUCGGGGGUACUGGGGCAGAUUUUCACCCAUUGAUAUUGAUGAAAACGACGUCCAGUUACAGUUCGUUGCCUUUUGGUGAAUUUUUCAAGGGAAAAAGACGAAACGCGAGCUGCAAUAGGAGCAAAGGGGAUGGGGGAAUGGGGCCACGGACCCGCAACAGCUGAGGAUAUGCAAAUGGUAUACAUUUUGUCAAAGCAUAAAGACGAUGUUUGGCAGGGAUAUAAAAAAUACAUGACACAUGUUACUGGCAGAUACGCAGAUACAUUGAUGUAGGACUACAGUUUCAGCUGCAGAUGCACAUGCAAAUUGAGAUAGAGAUACAGAUAGAUGGAGAAAUGCAUCAUUUAUCCACAGGCAGUGGAGGCAAAUUGGUGUAGGGCAUUCCUAAGAGAAGAGCGGAUACCGCCAAUCUCUUAUGAUGUUGUAUUCCUUUUGAGUCACGUUGUCUCAGACAACGUAAGACAAAGGUUGUAAAGAACUUUUCCAUUUUAAAAAGCUGUUAUGUGCAUCUAUAAAAAUUAGAAAUCCCAAACACUUUGUCGUUUUAGUAUACCGUCUGGAAAAUAUUAACCUUUGAAAUGCAUAAAUUAUAAUUUUUGUGUGGUAUUUUUUUUUAAAUUUUAAAAUUUAUUUUGUGUACAGCUGCAAGGUAUUGCUUAUCAAAGUUUAUAGAGAGACGGCUGAGCCAAAAUUGAUUAACCAAAGCACCAAACCCUUAAUUUUCCGAUAAAUACCGACAAGGUUUACAAUUUUGUAGUAUUUUAUUAUUUUUUGAGCACUGAAGCCAGAAAUCUGGCAGUUGGGCGAGCAACCUUCCAACCUUCUUUUUAGGGUUGGUCGACCGACAAAGCUCAAUACAACCCGAUGUAAGAUCCUAACGUUAUGUGAAAAAUGAAAGUGAUAUCUCUGGAAACGGCAUUAACACCAUUAAUACGAAAUACCAGUUUAAAAAAAAUUGUAAACAAAAAUUUAUGCUAUAGAUACACGAAAAGGGACGCGGUGAGACGCUUCUUACUCGUCACAACUUUUAUAACCGAUACUUACUCUGACAUCUGUACCUUGUGAGAGAAUGUGCAGAAAAACAAAAAGUAGCUGCUGGACGGGGCUGGUUUAGCCACUGCAAAUUUAUUUCCUCAUUCUGCCUAUAUUAAUGAUCCUAUCUGGUCCCAAUUCGGUGAUCAGAUAGGUAUGGUCCUUCCCUACAGAAUGAGGGAAUUUUGAAAUACACUUGUAACAGUGUGAGUGCAACAUUUAGUGGCUCUACCUUUUAUAGUCUCUGAGAUCCAGGCACUUAACAAGACGGACAAACAGACGGACGGACAGACGGUCAGAUGAACGACAUGACUAAAUAAACUCGAAUAUUGAUGCUGAUCAAGAAUAUGUAUACUUUGUGGGGUCUUAAAAACUUCCUUCUGUGUGUUACAUUCGUUCCGCACAAAUACCACAAUUCAUUAAACAAUUGUAAUUCCCCAAAUCUUUCAGAAAUAGUUGGUUUGGAUCCUUGACGAAAAAAUAAGUUCGAUUUUGUCCAGUAGUGUUAAUGAGAGUCAGAAAUGUAUUACACUUUGUCUAACACUUAAAGUUUUGAAAGAUUAUCCUUUUUUUUUAACCUCAUCUGUGUACAACACCUUUUAUCUGCAUAUCUCUAUCUCCUUGAAGUUGCAGUUUCCUGUUUCAAUUUGCUGCCUUUUACCAACUAAUCUUUGCCUGCAGCCAUUUCAUUCUCUUUCUAUUGUCUGCCUGUCUUGCUUAAUUUAACGCUCCACGCACAUGUACUCUCACCGAUGCCGCCACCUGUGCCCUCACCGAAAAAGAGACUCCUCCUUCACCGCCGCUAAAUUGUCACUAAUACGCCGCCUUCUGCUCAUCGUUGCGUGCCCCUGCGCAUAAUUCAUAGAGUGAAAAGGAGAGAAGGGAGCCUCCAAAGGCAGCCGGCUAACAACUGCAAUUGUCGGCAAGAAAAGGAAAACUUAAUAAUUGCAACAGCGCAACACUUUAAUGCUAACGCCCGAGUCCCAACCCCAGUCCCAUCCUUUAGGCAGUGCCACAUGUGCUGUCCAGCCUGAAAAGCUCUAUGCAAAUCUUUCUGGUACCCGCAGUCCAUGCAGGUGGAGACUUGUCAAGUGACAAUCUACAGCCAACUCUCGCAUACAGAAGCACUCACACAGAUUCUCAUAGAAGAGCUCCACAAAGCAGAGCACUUCGCGGAGUUUGGGGAGCUCCUCCUUCCUGGUUUUCCGGCUGGUUCUUUUUUUUUUGCUUUCCAUUCAUUUUAUGCCUUCGUUUUUUUCUAUCUUUUUGCUUGCUGUGUGCAAGUUUGUGCAACUAUUUUCCAUGCGCAUGGGCACAAAAAGGCAACCACCACGACUACUGGCAACUAUGAGCCAGGGGAAGUGACCGUCCCGAAGCCCUUUUCCCUUCAACCUACCGAUUAUUUCCCUUUGGAGGGAGCCCCAACCCUUAGCCAAGCAUGUGGCCAGUGGCAGGCACAGCCAACCAGAGCACCAGAAAACCAGAACUUGAGCAUUGCAACUAUUUAUUUGUUGUAGAGGGGGCCAAGAAGGAAACACGUGGCAUUACGCGCUCGUUUAUUGCGGGCAUUUCUGUUCACGCCUAAAUCUAUGCAACAUUCUGUGAUCCUCCCAGGCUGAUGGAUGCCAUGCAAUCAGUGGAAGACGAAGUCCUUUCAUCUUUUGUCGCCUGGCCUGCGGUCAUGGGAGUCUCCUGUGAAACGCACAAAUUAAGCAAUCCUCAACCCCCGUCAUCUCCCAGUGGAUUGAUGGCUAACUGUCAAUUGCUAAGCUUCCUAGUCAGAGCCAGAAUCACAAUCAGAGUCGGAGUCAGUCAAUGGAAAGAAAGUUGAAGAGAAAGGCAACACAUAGAGACAGAGAGAGAAGGAGAGAGAGCGCUGAAAAAAAAGGGAAAAGCGAAACUUUUUAAUGAUGUAAAGUACAAAGUUUUCUGUCUUGUCGCUGGCGCAAGUAACUUGAGUAAACUUUGAGUUAUGCCCUGCCUGAAACGGCGGCAACGGCGGCGACGGCGACGACCUCAAAGCGCAACUGGGGAGGACAUCCUUUCGCCCCAAAAUGGGAGAGAGAAGAGCAAAAGAGUCUAUCGAUCGAUGCAGUAGGAAAAGGACCUCCUGUGACUGGUAUUUUGUCGUUUGUUAAAAGUUUUCAACACUCAUUUUUAUUAUGACAUACGCGCCAAAGUACGUCGAGCCCCACCCGAGCCAAAUUAGUGCCGUGCAGAAAGGGUAUAGGGAGUGGAGAGAGAGUGCCGGCAAUGGGUUCACUAAUAAAAUGCCAAUUUGCUGCCAUUGAAUGGCUGCUUUAUUGGCCGCCAUUACAACUCGUACGCAUAAAAAAGGGAAUCCAUUUCCAGACCAGACCUCCUGCCCCAACCCACCCACUGGAAGAGGCAGGAACACGCACUCUCAUGUGUGUAUGUAUGUGCGUGGCAGGACUCUUGCUUUUAUGACGGCAACAUUUACACGCAUAAAAUAUGCAUGAUAAAACUUUGUUGUUGCAAUAAAUCAGCCCCCAAAAAAUUGUGCAACGCCUUGUCCUUCCUCUUUCGCCAUCUUCCUCCCUGCCUGAUGUGAUUACAAAACCAUUCCAAGCGGAACAUGGAUCACGCAGGACCGAUAGAGAUUCCAGCGAGCCUUUUCGGCGACUUAGCCGGAAUAGGUUGGGCCCAAAUCAAUUUCAGCUCUAGGCUGGCUGUCAAACUACUUAAACUGCCAUUAAACUAUUGAGGAAGGAACCAAAGUGCCAAAAGAAGGCAAAACUUUUGUGGGUUCUUCUCCUCAAUCAGAAAAAAUGUUCGUACUCGCAAUCGCACUCGCAGCCGUAUUGUAAAAAAUAUUCCCAACUUUGUUAGAGGUGCAAAUGCUUCACAAACAGACAGAAAAACUUUGCUACCUUCCCUUUUCGUCUCUUUUUUUUGGCCAUUGUGUUUUGACUGCUUUUGUUGCAUGCAUAAAAUAUUUAUGCGCUGGAAAAUAUGCAGCAACAAAAAAAACGUGGCAGGGCGAAGGGUUUGCCUUUAUUCCCGCCAUUUCCUACUACGUCACAGUACGUCUGCUUUACCGCUUGCCUUCCUGCCCCAUGUGCGUGCAACUUUUCACACUCAAAUGAAAUUACGACAAAAAAAAGAGAGCAAAACUUUGCUACUUAAAUGUAGCAUUCUCUUUCUGGUCUCACGCUCGUCUUCCUCUCUUCGUUUUUUAUUGCCUUCUGCACUUUAUCAAGCAUUUUGCCAUGGCUCAGUGAGCGCUCAAUUGCUGGCUUCCAAAACGGGGUGUGGGAACUGGCAGGGUCAGAGGGGGUAUUCUGCUGGGUGUAAACUUUUCAUUAAUAACGAUUUUCCAUUAACUAUCGAUUGAUUUCGAGUCCCGAGCAGCAUCCUUCAUCCUUUCCUGCCGCCCCACAGUACGUCCACAAUGGGGCGAGUGUAGCGAACGCACUUCAGACAAUGACUGCAACCGGCAGUUCCUUGUGCAGCAGCAGCAGCAAGGACAACAACAACAACACUUGAGUCUAUUUAAAACACAAACAACAAUAGACCGCCAGAGGAAGAAUCGGGAGGGGCACGCUCAUAACCGACAACGGCGAAGUCGACGACGCCGCCGCCGACGGGAAAAACUCAUUGAAAAGUUUUUCUUUUUUACACUUGGCGCGCUCUCGCGUGCUGCCUCUUGUCUCUGCCACACCGGUCCAGCCUCCUCUCUACCUCUCUUAAACCUAAGCUGUGUAUCGAAGCGACAACGCCGAACCAGGACACCGUUCAUGUAACAUUUCUGGAUACGCUAGGUAGAUUUUGAGGGUACUCCAUAUUAGGUUGCAGAUUUUGGAAGACUAUAACUCCAAUAAACUCUGAGCAGAUACUUUAAUACUUCCUCAGAUACGAAAAACAAAGCGAACUUUAACAGCUUGGCUAGAACAGAAACCGGAUCUAGAAGACAAUUUAAUUGGUCUCCGAAUAUCAGAAUAUACACGAAAUAUUUAAAAAAUAUUAAAAUAUAUUAAAUAUUAAAAAAUAUAAUUAAAUUAUAUUAUUUAAAUCAAGUGUGAGGGUAGCUCAUAACUAUUGUCAAUUAAAGAACAAUCCAAAACACCCUUACAUUAUUAAAAAGUUGUUAUUUUUUUUGACUGAAUUCUGCUGAAUUCAGAAUGUCUAAUUCUACGCUGACUUGAUAAUAAAGACUUACUCUAUCUAGAUUAUAGAGUAUGAUAGCUUCGACGUGCAUACAAACCAACUUUAAUUCUAAAUUCUUUUUAUUCCUGAAAGGUGCUAGGCACCCUCUCCCCGACCUUAUAGUUACACGCGUUACCUUCUCGCCAAUUUCGGUUGAUGCGGCUGCUGCUCUCUGUUCCCCGUCUCUGCCCAUUUGUUGUUGCAACCAUUAUGCCCAGUGUUGCCUUUUGUGUAGGUCGUCGGCAUUGCGUUUUUCCGCUGAUAUUUUUUCUCGGUUUUUUGCCCCCCAUUUUGGUUUUGUUUUUCCCGUACCUUGCCAUUUUAUAUGGGCACAGGGCUCGCGCGCCCAAUAUAUAUAAAUUAUUGCAUAAAGUUUGGCGCUAAGUUGCAAAAAGUUUCCUUUUCAUUGCUGUGGCUGCCGCGACGACGUCGGCAACGUGAACGACACACAAUAGUCUAUAAAUCUUUAUGGUCAACAGAGAUUACAUGGCCAUAGACGCAGAGAAGAAAGCCUUCAUGUAGUUUACUGCCCAUCUCCAUUCCCAUUCCCAUACCCGGAACGAGUCCCUUUCUCUCUCUCCAGGACCUCGUAUUGGCCUUAGCUGCUUUUUAGGCGCUGUGCGUUGUUUUGAUUUGUGUGCUCGUUCGUAUUCCUGAACCUGGAACCCGACGCGGACCAGUCCGGCCCUGCCCUGGCAGUUGUUGUGGUUUUUCCGAUUGCUUUGUGGAAUGGGAUAGAAGGAAAAACGGGAAGCAAGGAAGUGGAGGACCUGAGCAUAAGGCCAUAAAAAUGUGGUGCAGACGUGGUAGAUGUUAGAUAAAUCAUUGCAAAGCCACGAAAAGUAUGCAAUCCAAUGUUGUUGUGAGUGCAUGGAAAAUGCUUGUAAAAAUCAGCGAUUCAGGGAGUCUAUCCCUAUCCGCCAUCUCUUAAUUUCUCUGCUCUCUGGCGCACCUUUAAUUGCUUAAAUUUUUGUCAUUUCGCGUGGGCAUCGAGCGUUUCCCCAAAUUCGAUUUCUCGUUGCCUCAUAAACAACUUUCCAAAAAGGUAUAAAAGGGAUGCCAAAGACUUUCGAACGUACGAAUAUAGGUUUACCGUUAGCGGCAUUUUACAUAAAAAUGCAAUAAAUAGCUACACAAAAAUUUAUGGUUCUGGGAAAAGUAAAAGGGGUCCCAUCCUCUCCUCCUCAGUGCUGGACUCUCUCGUAAAUGUCGUGCGCCAGGGAACGUGGGCGAGGGUGACUCGAAGUAUGCUUAUAAAUUGCUCUAAAUAGUACUUUUUCGGCAGUCUUCUUCCUAUUCACUUUUCUUCAAGAAGAGAGAAGUAUAACAUGAGAGAGACAGAGACAGAGCGAGCGAGCGUUUCCAGUGUCGUGUCAUUUGUUCGCUUUCUUUAUUAGUGUCAUGUAUUUUUAUAGUUCAAAGGACAUUUGAAUGAUUGAAUGAACUGUUUGCCCCACAGCCCUGCCCGCUGUCCAUGUGGGUUGGCAUGCUUGACCAAAAUCGAGUUGCGCGAAUGAUUUCAUCCCUUGCAGCGAUGGGUUCCAUCCCAUUCGGUUCCCUAUACGUGCGGUCAGCUCCUGCUCCUGCUCCUGGUCCGUGUCCGUGUCCUGGUCAGCGUCGGCGUUGGCGGUCCCAGGCACGUUUCAUCAUGUUGGUCGGGCGACUAUAUCAAAUAACGACUAUUGACUACGCCUGUCCUCUCCUGGCUCCUGGUUCCUGUCGUGUCCUGUAAUGUCCUCUCCUGGACUCGCUCUCUGUGAGCACAUGUAGGGUUACACGACUCUUUUCCACGCCUGCCCCUGUGGCCCCUGUGGGUGCUCAUGAUGAUGACGAUGAUGAUGUUGUUGUCGCCAUCGCCAUAACCAUCGUCGUAGCCAUAGCCAUCGCUGUCGUGGCGAUGACGAAUGAAAAUCAAUAUUUAUUAGAUUACUUUCGAAAUUUUAUACGAAAAUAGAAUUUUUAUGACAUUUUUUUUUCUUUGGUUUUGCCCUCGGCAAACUUUGGGCCAUGUGCUUGGGUUUGGGCGUGUUAAAGUGUUGACGACAAUCAAUUUUUCCAGCAGACUAGAGAUUGUCAUCCAUACACUAUUUAAGCGAGAGAGAAAGAAGUCUUUAAGCUUCUAGGAAACAAUGCUAAAUGCUUAACCUUUCUACAGAUCUAAUUACAACUUGUGUCCCAGCUGGAUUAUAUUUUACUGUUUUCCCACUCACCCCUCUUCUUAUGACAUAAUUAUAGUUUUAGACAAUUAUCCCCGUGCAUUUCCCUUAAUGUCCUUCUCCCGCCCGCACGCUGCCACACAUAAUAUUAAACUUUUCGUGUUCUCCCUUAUCUGUCUUUCCAGGUAAGUUGCCAUCAUCCAUUAAUACCACCAGCCAUCAAAUUAGUAAGUACAAAAAACGACCUGCUAACACUCUUUAUAUUCGUCUCUAGCUGUAUAAAUCCCCCUGUAUCGUCACUCGUCUCCAUACCCAUCAUCCUGCAGACCCUACUCGUACGGUAUAUUGUAAGGAAUAUAAACAAAUGCAUUUUAGUGCCCUCAGUUGACCUCGUUUGGGGCUUGUUUUAAUGGCCCGAGGCCCAAGCGAUGAUGCUACUCACGUGGCUCGAAACUAAAAGCUCCCCUGAGUGUGUCUCCUCCCUCUGCUAGUUUUUGUGUGUCUCUUCCCUCUCCGCCACCUUUGGGAGUCACUUAAUUAUGAAGCUGCACAUGAAGUAAAACGUCAUAAAGCGUCGAGUGGAGUUUGGUCUGGACUGGGAUGGCUGCCACAUACGAGUAUAUGGGUUGACUUGCGUAGCAUCAUCAGUCCCCCGGCUGUCUGCCACUUCCUCUCGCAGUUUAUCCUUUUUUUCCUGGGCAACUGGAACGGGUCUGGAAACAUUCUGCAGUUAAUUUUCCGUUGCUAAAUAAACUGUUUAUGCCAUUUAUGCCAAAAAUUUUUGGCCAAAGCUUGAGAGGAGAGAGAGAAAGCCCAGGAUGAAGGAUGAAGAUGAAUGAACCCCAGCUCCAGUUCCAUGCAUGGGUGUGUGGCUGUAUUGGUGUGUGUGUGUGUGUGUGGAGCUGAGAAAUUUUUGCAUAACCAACAAACAGGGAAGCGAACGCUCCUGCUCAUCGUGGCACGCCCUGUGCCCGUUCCUGUUCCUGUUUCUGUGUCUGGUGCGUAUUCUCUGUGAACGAAAUUGCCCCUUAAUUGUGAUUUUUCGAACCGACUUUAAGCCGUUCAAGAAAUCUGCUUGUAAAUAAUAAAGUUUUUACCCAAUUUAAGGGACACUUUUUAAACGGAUUGGGAUACGAUUAGACGUGCACUGGUCAUUUGACCACUUCUCUGGCCGAAACUCAUUUUCGUCAUUUACAUAAAAAUAACAACAGUUUUUAAUGCAACAUACCCAAAAUAUUAACAGUGCGCACCACUGUUAAGAUAACAGCCGUUAAAAUCAGCUGUUUGAUUUGAACAAGUGAACAAGAAUUUUUUUCUGUGCAGAUUGGCUAAAUUCGUAUACAAUCGUACAAUUAUAACUUCAAAGAAGUUUUUAAAUUAAAAAAAAAACCGUGCAAGCCUUUUUUAUGUAAUAUGGCAUUGCUUUACAUAUUCCCAUAAUUUUUUGUUAUAUUUGAAAAUAAAAUAAAAAUUCGAUUUUACACUGAAGAAAAGUUGGUGCCACGCCCAUUUUUUCAACACACCUUUCUUUCACCAUUAUACACUCGUAUCAAAAAAUAUUGUUUCGUUUGGAAGUUAUUAGUUUUUGCAACAAAAAGUGGUAAAAUGCCCCAGCGUGCAGUGUAUCCUGCCUGAGCGAAAACGUUUAUCUCCGAUUUGACUAGUACUGAGUCCUGAACACAUAUCGAAAGGAUUACCUUUGGUAGUCCCGAUGCGACGGUUUUGGAUGACUUUUCUGUAUUCACUGACCCCUCAACGACUCGAGUGGUGAGUGCACUCACCCAGAGCCGCAUGGAUUCCCCACCCCCCACCACCCACACCCACACCCACACAUACACACACGGGGGACAUAAUGAAUAUUUACAUAAUAUUCAUACACACACACACACACACACACACGCACAUCCUUGCAGCUUUCAACGGCGUACACCCACACACACACAGUUAUCCACUGACAAUUUGGCAGUCACCGCAAUCAUAAAAAUUUCCACUUCCAAGAAUGUGGCGUGGUGGCGGCAGGGAAAACGAGGCCCGUCAGUCAGUCGCCUCUGCGCCUCAUUUAAAUGCAAAUUUUUGACGAGCGGUUUUAACGUUCUUCUUCUUAUGCUGCUGGCACUGCUGCUCCCGCAGCCGGUCCUGCCGCUCGUCUGCUGGCGGUGAAUGAAAACAUUAAAAUUAAAAAAUAAAAAGCGUAGACUGCUUUUAGGCGGAACUCUCAGGGUGUGUAUCUGGAACUGGAGCUGUGUGUACAUGUGUAUGCGACUGUUUGUGUGCUCGUGAGAAUAAUUCAAGGUGAUAGCUUAAUUGAAAUAUGCUUUUAGGCGCUUUUACACUCCCUCAUUUCUCCCCAUCUCUUCCAUCUACCAUCUCCCAUUUUGCAUACUUCACUUUGUUGUGAAGCACACCGCACCACUCCGCUCUGGGUGCAUAUUUUAUGGAGCUGCGGUCGACCACAGAGAACCGCAAAAAAGAAGAACAGUAGAGCAUCGCUGUGAUGCCAAAUCGGAAUACAAACAACAAAAAACAAAAAAAACAGAACUAAAGAGAACUGAAGCUGCUUAAUGUUAUGCAAAGUGUUUGGGCCUGCGGCAUACGUAAACCUACUGGAAAAGGGAGGACCAAACCAUGAAGGGACCGACAGAGGCAGGAGCGGAAAGGAGAACGGUGCCGAGCAGAAAGAGAUGGCCAGAAAUCAGGAAAGGGAAUGGGUUCGGAGUGAGGUGAGACGGCGCCAUCAUCAUCUUUAAUUGCUAGCCAUUUCAAUUCUCAUUACAACUUCAAUUGACUUUCGCCGGAUGUGGAUGGCUCGGACACAAAUGGAGACCUAGAAAUUACCUUCAAAUGUACCAAAAGGGUAGCAAGAGGCAUGAUUGACCGACAAAAGGUGUGCGCACUCCAUAUCGCUCGUUGAAACUGCCAUAUACAUUCAUAUGCAUAAAUUGGACAUAAAAAUACUCCCAGCCAGCAUCUCCCAGGAGUCUGGUCUGGGGAAAUUUAUGCACAUAACAGACCCUCCAGUCGACUCCUAAGAUACUGCCCCAAGUGCAACAUUCUCUGGCAUUCACUGAAGUUGAUUUUAAUGAAAAGCGACAGCCAAAGAUGCUCGAGGAAUGAAUCUGCUUGGCAAUUUAUAAAUUGCCUCAAAAAGCAAAAGCCAAAGAAAAACAAAAGGGAAAUUCGGCUUAUAUUUUAUGCAAUAUGCCACACACCGCGUUUUAUUAAGCAAAUUACGAUGAACGAUGCCGGAAAAAAAGAGUCGUCUGCAGAGGAAAUGGAACGAGGCAGGAAAAGAAUCUCGGCAAGUCCUACUUAUGACCUUGGCAAAACAGCCUCCAAAACACACGCACACACACAUUUACAUUUCUGCUAAGCAAUUUGGUAAACAGACUCUCUAGUGAACGCUGCUUCACUCGAAGCAUUUUUGCUGCUCUUAACGCACAUUUUCAUAUAUAAAUUAUUAAUUUUGUAUGCCUGCGUCUGAUCCGGGACGGGAACGAGCCGCGUCCAUCCCCCAGAUGCGGCCUUUGGGAAGGGCUUCCAAAACCGCACUCCUAAACAGGAGAGGUUUGGAUCAGGGAGCAGGCGAGCAAAAUGCAUUUUGUGCUCCAUUAAAUAAUAAAAGCAAACGUGGCAAAGAUAGCUGCCACGGAUAGCGACUGUCUUGGUGUCUCUGUGUCUCUGUGUCUCUAUGUCUCCCUGUCAGACUCAGUUUGUUCGUUAUUCCCUCUUCCCACUCGGUGCUUGUGAGUGUGUGUACACACAAUAAAAAUCUCACACGAAGAGCAUAAAAAUAAAGCAAAAGAUACCCCCAAAGUGGGAUUUCCCAAACGCUCUCACUCUCUCUCUCUCUCUCUCUCUCUCUCUAAUCUAAUGGCAGAGUCAAAGCCCCAUUGUGAUUUUUAAGUUGGCAACCUUUAUGGGAAGUACGAGGAUGAGUGCGAGUACGGGCACGAGUAUGUGUUUGGCGGAGAGAGUGCAUAAAUAAGUAAGCAAAUGCCUGUCGCUUAAGAUUACAUGGCAAAUAAGCAGUCGGCAGCAGGCACAGAAAGCACUGCAGGACAGGACAACACAGGACAGGACAGCAUUUGAAUGUGGGGAAGCCCCUACCGCUUACUUGCUUAUUCAUAGCCAGACCUGGCGGCAAGUGUGUGCCUUGAGGGGGCAUAAAAAUCAGCAUAAACAGCGAUUGUUAUGGGCUGUGAAUGAAGCCUGAGAUCAGUCACAUAGGAGCACUCAGUUCUGUUGAGGUAAUUUCGGCCCACGAAGCAGAAAAAAUCAAUGACAUCGCAAUACCGGAGAAGAAUCACUUGACAAAGCACCUCUGGCAGUCUUCGAAGCUGGCAUUCCCGGUUUCAUUUCAAUUAAGCUAUGAGCUCCUCUCAAUGUGCCUCUCUAAACAUCAACUCUUGUCCGGAAUCAUUUGAGAAAACCGAAACAAGGGUUGAAGGGACAGAGUGAAGGGAGAUUGACACGCACGUGUCCUUUCCAAUGACAAGGGAAAUUUUACAACUUUCAAGUUUAAUUUGCCAAAAGUAGCAAUCAACCAACAGCCAGGCCAGACCCUAGCAGAGACACAACCCCCAAGAAGAGACAGAGGGAGAGGGUGGCUUUUUGGAGGACUAGGAAGGGUGAGAGAGUGCCAACCCUUUCGACCUAAUUGCACGAAAGUUGUUAAAUGUAAAAAUUAAAAUGUAUAAAAUUGUAUUCUAUAUAAAACAGAGACAGAGCUCUCCAACUGUCAGUCACACAUUUUCCCUCGCUCCUUCUCACUCAGCCAUUCAGUCAUUCAGUCAGCCAUUCGUUCCUUCAUUCAGUCAUUUAUUUAUUCAGCCAGAACGUAGCUUGUUUUAUGAGGUGUUAAGUGGGCUUAAAUUAAAAGUGAGUGUAGGCGGAAUGUGACGAAAUGUUUGCAUAUUUAUUCAAGUUAUGGCAGACAGAGAGCAAGCUCCUCCACUCCAGAGCUUCCUUCGAAGCCUAGGGCUUUCCUUUGGAAACUUGAUUUCUGUUUGUUUCCCGUAUGACAUGAAGGGGCCACAUGUGCGUGUUAUAAAUUUAUAUUUAAUAAACUUUCUUCUUCUCGCCGAGGCUCAAGUGGGAGUCCCAGUAUCUGUGUGUCAGGGAUCCACCCCUGCCGGAGAUGGCAAGUGACAGGGCAGAGGGCAAAGGAGAACGCUAUUAAUGAACAUGGGAAGUGCCACAUCGGUCCCAAGUAACAGUCAGACUUAAGAUACAAAUCUCUGAAUUACGAUAAUCAUGUUAUUCUCAGAGUUUUACUCUUACAGUUCCUCUAGCACACUGCACUUUCUCACCGUCCCACCACUUAUUUAUACAUAAAGCCCACUUUAUUGACGGAUUCGCUUUGUUUGCUUUGGCCACACACUCGUAACACUCUCCCAGAGAACGUGUCAGGGGACACGUGCUAGCAUUUCGAGCGGCAGCAGCAAAUUGCUUAUUAAAAUAAUAACAAGCCAUUCCGGAAAAAAGUGAGACAUUGCAGGACUGCAGUCAUCCCUCAGAUAACUAACCCCUGCCCCAGGGCAGCAGAAUAACAGAUGUGGAAUCAACCCCUAUAAUUAAAUACCCGAAAUAAAAGAUUUUCCAAGUACUGCCUAAAGUUUUAAAGCUUAAUCGCAUAGAAUGCGGCCUAAUAUUUGCCGCUUUGAUCAUAAAAUCAAGUUGUUCCCGCUCUCUCGCGCCUCUCUCUACAUUGGGAAAGUUCUUGUGUGAUGCCUGAGGACCCAAAGAAGCAACUAUUAUUGACCCAAGAAAUAGGACGAUUGCCGUGGGAGACAGGACUAAAUGAAAUAUAAAUUAAUACAAUUUUCGGGUCGCUAUGCUCAGUUCCUACUCGGUCCGGCCCGUCCGUGUAGUCUCCCUUUUCGCAGCCAUAUUGACAGCCAUCAAGAUCAAAGAUGUGUUAAGAACAUUUGCUCACAAGGAAUUUUCGUUUCUUGGUGAGGAGGGGAGAGGAGAGGCCAGGCUAGCAAGCAGAGUGAGAGAGAGAGAGAGCGAGAGCGAGAGCGAGAGAGUAGGAGGUAAAUUGAGACAUGGACACAGACCAAUUUUGUUCAUACGGAGCCCAGGGAGCAUGGCAAAUAAAAUAAAUGGCAAUGAAUGACUGAGCAAAUGAAUAAAUGGGAGACAUUUUCGCUUUGAAAUUCAAAUUUCAAAAGUUGUCAUGACAUUGUGUUUAUGACAUUUAGUUGCAGCAACCAGAACGAGAUGACGAUAAAGAGACACACAUAGAGGGAGAGAGAGGGAAAGUGAGCGAGAGAGUGUGCUGCUGUCAAUUCUUGUUUUUUUACUGCUCAUGUUUGAAAUGGCGGAACGGGACAGACUGCAUAUUUAAAAUUGAAUAUUUGCACGCCUUGAGCAUUUCAGAUUACAAAGAUAUACUUCACUUAUGCGCACACAAAUACAUUUAAGCGUAUCUCUCUCUCCCAGCGUGUGUGUGUCUGUGCGUAUGUGUGUGAGAAUGUGGGUGUGUCUUGUUGUCAUUUGCAUGCGCUAUAUGCUCUGGUACUCGCAUGCUAUUUGCAAUGCUCAAAGCGAUCCUAAGCGGUUUUUUCUUGUUGUGUUUUUUGUAUGCACAGCACACAAAAUUUGCUAGUUGAAAAUUGAAUUUAAAGAGCUGUACAUGUAUCUACAUAUGUACAUAGAUGAGGCUGUGUAGAUUAUGAGCAGAGAUACGUAGACAGUCAUCAAGUAUAUAUAAAUGGGAUAUCAAAGAACUGGGAUAUGUCAGAUGUGUCUUUUGUUCGUUAUUCAUUUUGUUUUGUUUUUUCAUGUAUUGGAAAAGCUGUAUGUAUCAUCCUUUAUAUUAAACCAUAUUUAUAAUCGAAUCAUACCCUAAUAUAGUCAUAACCUGUACGCAUCCAAUUCCUACACUUAUCCAUUCCUUAACCCAUAAUUUUCCAUUAUCGUACCUGAGGAUAAACUGUGCUUUAAAUUUAAUAUGAAAUAUGAAUUUCCAUGAUUUCAUCAACAGUAAGCGAACUGGUGUGGGGUCUGACAGAGAUAUGAGUUACAUAUAAUGUAUCUCGCAGAUACAUUGGCAGUUGAGCUGUAGCGCGCUGCUGAGAAACGUACGCGAUUGCUAUUUACAAAAACACGCUACCGUAUGCCGCACACGAUUUUCCAAUUGAACUCACACGUGUACACACACACACACAGAUGAGGUUGCAGAGAAACAGAUACAGAUACACAGAAGAUACGGAUACAAAUAGAGUACUGCAAGUGGGUACAGGAGGGCUGGGGGGCUGGCCAGACAAAUGCAGUGCUCAUGUAGGAGCGAGCCUGCCAAUGAUGCAGUCGUGCAUUCAAUCGCUGCGUCGUCACCUCAGCGAGCGAGUACGGACCACAGAGCCCGGACCUGGGGACUCGGAACUGUGGACUGUGGACUGACUGCCCGAAAUCAUUUCAAGUUAAUAAUAAAUGGAGCAUCAUCAUCAGACAUCAAACCCGAAGAGCAAAUAUCGAGUAUCCUUUUGGUUCUCGGUCUGUUUGUGUUUGCGUUUGUGUUUGUCUGUCUCUCAGUCUCCACAUUGGAAUGUUUGCACUGCCAUUGAUUUACUUUUGGCAUGAGUUUUUCAAUUUGUAACCCGAGCAGCGGCGCCUGCUCCAUGUCGUAUAAUGAGCUGUUGCCUCGAGUACUGCCCCUUAUGUGGCACGAAUCAAUUAACAUACGUGCCAAGCAUUAGAAGAAGAGUGUGAAGCGAGGAGGCUCUCGGCUCGAGGCUCGAACCGAGACUGACUUGGCAAUAUUUCAAUUAAAUUUUUUGUGUUGCCUGUCUAAAUGGAUAUUUAUGCUUAUCAUGCUUAUGGGAGGGAAGUUCACAUUAGACUAAAAGUCAAGAGGCUGCCAACAUGCCAGCUCAAUUGACAGUCCCGGCCAAAGCGGAACCGUGUGUAUAUGUCCAAUCCUUAUGCUCGUAUACAUCAGUAUACAUGAGUAUUCACGAGUAUCUAUAUAUUUCUUAUACAUACUGUCAUCCUGUUGACAGCCAAGGUAGGCCACAUAUACACAAUCACAUACACAAAUACACAUGAGUGGAUGCGUGUUUGUUGCCCUUAACAGACAUUUUCACAGUCGAGUGCGUUGUUUGGGCCCAGCCUCGGCUGAAUCUCUCCUGACUCUUUGCUUUUGGGGUCUUCCAAGUAAUUUGUAGCAUUUCUAGCACGCCUGCUGGUAUGCAGCAAAAAUCCUCCAGAUUGCCAUUACAUAAGCUGCUGAAUUGUGGGGCAGGGGGUCCGGAACCGGUCCUUAUUCUCGAUUGCUUGGCCUGAGAGGUAGGUUAGGAUUUUAAUGCCGCUCAACCCCCAAUCGUCAGCAAAAGCAAUCAAAUGGGUCAUCGCCCCAAAAGCGUAGGCAUUAAAUGUAUGCCUCUGCCUAACCAAAGAGGCACAGAAACCUAAGAGUAACCACCGACCCACCGGACUUUUAAUUAAAAUAUUUGUAUUUGAGGCACGAGAUAUUGGGAAGACGAAUUUUAAAGUCAGUCCUACAUUACGCAAUCGUAAUCGAUAAUUCAGAGCCACACAGCACGACAGGACACACCGUCAGUCAGACAGGCGUCCGUCUUCUCCAGGCAAAUUAGUAAUUUCUGCAAAAGGUUCGUCUGCCAGUGUCGGCGAAGGAAUGGGGACGGAAUGGAGGCCCAAAGGUAUUGAUUAGCUUUCGCUGGGCAUUUGGUUGGGCAAUAAAUUACCAAAACUAAUGUUUGUCUGACGCUGGCCCCAAAGUUUGCCUAAUUAAUGGCAAACCUUUCAAAGGGCUACACCUUGUUCCAUAUUCCAUUUUUCGCUGCCUCGGCAUCAGGAGUAAAUAGAACAUUUUUGUGAAUUCGUACCCGGACUCGGUCUCGGACUGAGCCUAGUCGAGCCGGUGAUUAGCAUGCGUUAAAAUGGCGUUAAAUGUGUAACGGAAACGGAAACGAGUUGGGACAAACACGCGGACAUGCUUUUACUUUAAUUUCUUUGCCAUAAUAAAAAUGUCAUAAAUAUUUGGCAUUGCCGUGUGUCCCUGUCUUUGCCUUUGUCUGUCUCUCUUUCGCUCUUGCUUCCGUGUCCUUCGCUGUGUGUUAAUUUUUUCUAAUUGUCUAGAAUUUAGAUAAUUACAUGCCAUUAAUUAUUUACAUAAUAAUAACAUUCCCCUUCCUCUACGCAUUUUUCUCCCCUUUUCUCGCGCUUCACAAUUUUGCGGUUGACUUGAAUGAGGGGCGCACCCACUCACAUGUACAGAAAUGCAUAGGUACGAGUAUAGGUGAGCACUGUAUUCAGUAAUACAGUAGUAGUGGUUGGGGGGAAGUAAAAUUAAAUUUACAUAAUUUAUGACUUACUCAGCAGUGUUUCAUGGGCGUUGUGUUGCAUAAUUUUAGGCAUUUUUGUUUAUUGCGGCGUAAAAUUUGAAUUAUGAAUCAGGAAUAGGCUCCCGUUCCACUCUUCUUCCACCCCCCCUUUCCCUUUUCCACCCAUUUCUUCCACAGUUGUUUCCGUGUAAGGGUUACAUUCUGAGGUUAUUAGUAAUUUAUUUGCAUAUUUUGUGGGCAUUGGACAGAACGGUGGAGAGGUGAGCCGCAGCUUGACGGACAGGAGCAGGAACUCAAGUGUCAUACGGCAGUCAAGUGUCGUGUCUUGAAUGAAAUACGCUUUGAGUUGGGUCGCCAAGGUGGGGCAGGUGUGUAGGAUGUGUCCUGGCUUUAGCUUGGGACUGGAACUUGCGUUGGAAAUGUGCCUGGGGUACGGAUAAGAACUGUUCUAAUUAAAGAUUCGACGUUUUUUUUAUGGCCUCUUCUUCUAUUUUUCACUAUACCCACUAUGCCACUCCCUAUUACCGAUAGAUAACAGCUCUCGUGCUGGCCAAUCUGUUGUCUGGCCCUCGAUAAUAUAUGAACCAAUAAACAUUUCUCAUGCCAUGAUUGCUGCCGGCCACCGCUCUCACCGCUCUCACCGCUCUCUACUCUGGUCGUGGGUUCAAUGCCAGACUCCGAGCAACUUUAAUUGCCACUUGCUAAUUGCAAACUCCCACAGACCCAGUCCGAAAAGCGGACCAUUACAUACAGAUGCCAUAUUUCAUACAUCAGAGAUACAUAAGGAAUAUAGAUAUUUUCCCCAUUGAGCAUGUCCCAGACAACAUAAAAAAUGGCAGAAACAGCCACUGAUUAGUAUCAAAGGGAAGUGUGCAGGGUGUGGGUGGAAGGAUGGAUGAUACAGUUGCGGUUGGUUGUUUGCCCUGUAGCUAAAGCUGAAGCUGGAACUAGAGCUGUAACUGAGGCUAGAGCUGAGGCUCCACAGCUGGGCUGUGGAGAGCAGUGAAAAACUUUUGAUUAAGCUGCAGUUAUGGCAGGUUGUUGGAGAAAGAGCAUAGGCAGCCUUCGGGACGCAGCAGCAGGAACAGGAGCAAAAGCAGGAGCAGGAGCUACAAGCUUUUGUUUUGCUUGCUUGUUCGUUAGUUUGUUUUGCUUUUACCGCUAUCUCAAAAAUCUCCCUUUUCUGCGACUCCCUUGUGCCCCAAACCCACACACAUAGACACACAUGACAGAUGCUUAGGGCAACAUUGUCUACUUUUAUGUGCUUUGCCAGUGACAAAUUUGAGCAGCGACGACUACCCGUAUCUGUAUGCCGCAAGAGAGUAAAAAAAAUAACAAACUUUUGAAUAAAACUUUGAUGAUUUUUGUUAGAAAAGAAGCGAAGCGACGCUGCGUUUUCAAUAAGCAGAGUUAUCCUAGUACCCCAGCCCUCCCCCCCCCCCACCCUUUGGCUAGCCCCAUAAAAUAUUACUUUUCUAUCAACAAAACUUGCCGGGGAACCCACUCAAUUCGAAACCAUUUUCCAAACUAUCAUCAUCAUCCUCGUCGUCGUUGUCGUGGAGAAAGCAUAAUAAAAAUCGCUCUUCAUGUGUUUCAGUUCGACAGAGGGCAGAGAGGCAAAGUGCGGGUUAGUGAGGCUGACUGCUGCCAUAACAAAGCCAUAAAACGUAGUUUUAAUUGCAUUUUCGUUGUUCCGUUUUAUGGAGUUCGACUAGCGCAUGCAGGGGCACCAGAACAUGGCCGAACAGACCAACAAGAACACCCCAGGAGUGACCAGAACGGAACAGAACCGAGCAGAAAGCUUCGGCUUUGGACUGGUUCAAUGCGCAGCAUUCUAAUUGCAUAGUGGGAUAGGAGGGAGAGGAGGGGACAGUGUGGAAGGCACUUACGGCUUGCCUGAUCUGGGUGGGAUCUCUGGGCCGUGCCCCCUAGUGCACCCAGGCAAUGUCCCAUCCGCUCGCUGUCUCAGCGCACUUCGCUCUCUGCUCACUUAGCGCUCAGGCAUCAUAAACUAACGCAGUUUAUGGGUUCAUGCGCCGCAGACAGGGAGCGACAGAUACAGGGGAGAACACGCACACAAUCACACACACACUGUGCACACAGCACUUGGCCAAGUUGGCACUUUUGGCCAUUGCAUAUGCGUAGGCGGCGACACUGCGGCUAGCCUGUGGCCCACUGGCCCUAUCUUGGACAUGCUGGGGCGCUAAAAUUUGCGGUUUAACGUUGCCACUGGCGCCUGUCGACUCUCAACUGUGGCUGCACUGUCACAACCCCAACCUCAACCCCCCACAGACACUUUGUCAUAAGCAAUUGCCAAGGGUAAUUGUGUCGAGGCAGGCAUCUUUUGAUUCCAUUCCUUUAGAGCAUGGGCGAAAAGAGAACGAUUUAAUUAAUAUUUUGACUCUCAAAGGCUUCGUUCAGCUUUUGGCAACAUUUAAAUUUAAAAUUAUGUGCGUUAAUUACGCUCCCAAAGAAAGUUGUCGGUAAGGGGAGUCCUUGCUCUGGCUCUUGCUCUGGCUCUUGCUCUCGAUCUUGCUUCUGCUGGCGGUAAUAAUUAGCCAGGCUUUUGUAGAGAUACAAAGUGAGGGAUGCCUUAGAAGGGCUGCCGAAAAGAAAAAGUUCCAGAGUACUCGGAAGAACUCAGAGAAGUGCAAUGAAAGCACUCGGCACUCAUGUGGCUGCCAGAGAAUGCUUUGACUUUGGCUAAAUUUUCCAAGAAAAUUCUUCCAUAAAUUGCCUGGUAGUUCAUUAGCCAAAAGAAGAAGCGGGACAUCAUUAUUGAAUGCUGCCUUUGCUGUUGCAUUGAUUUUCUGUUUGUUCGGCUUACAAGUGAAUAGCUGCGGGCUUUUUCAGAUGCUGCUGGCUCUGAGCAUUUCUUGUACUGAAAACAUUUUCCAAUUUAUUAAACCACGACACAUCAAUCAUUCAUCAGCAGCAGGAGCAUCAGGAGCAUCAGGAGCAGCCAAAGCUGAGGCAACCCCCAAGAGAGGAGAACGUGGGACUAAAUGAACAUUUUUCGGUUAAACAUUGGUUUAAAAUCUGUGGCGUCACCCGGCCACCCAUCCUUCCACUCCAUUCCACUCCACUCCAGUCUCUCUCUCUCUCUCUUUAUCUUUGCCUGCCCCCCGCAUCACUGUCAACAACAUGGUGCUGCCGUCGACAUCGCCUGUAUAUAAAAUCCACAAGGCUUCAGUUCAUCGACCACUUAAUUUAUCCAGCUGAGCUUUGAGUAAGGCAAAAGCGCAUUUGUGUGUUGUCUGGCCAAGAGUGAUGAAGUGGGAAGUGGUGAGAGGGGAAACGAGAGUGAAAGAGAGAUGUAGAGAGAGAAGUGGGGGGAUGGUUCAGCAUGCCUUUGGUCAGACAGAGAAAUGCACUUAAUUGCCGUGCCCCCGCCACGCCCUGUUUAGUGUGGAGUAACGAUUAAAAAAUCAACCAGCCAAAAAUAAAGUGCAACGUGCAUUUAGGCGCGCUGCCUAGUGGUCCUGGUCCACCCUCGUCCCCUCGUGUGGUGGAGGGAGCUGCACUCAUUCAUUAUGCAUUAAUGUAAAUACGGUAAAUGUUGUCCAAUCAUUAACAUAAUUGAAUUACAAACAAGCUGAGGAGAGAGGCCCAAAAUUUCGGUUGCAUGCGCGUGCAUAAAUCGCAAUUUUAAUUACUUGCCUCAGACUAAUGGAUUGUUCCAAAAAACAUACAUACACACAACUUAAGGGCAGUGGCAGACGGGGUACAGAGAGAACACCGAUUCGGCUAUGACAUUAAAUAUUUCAUAAUACAAAAAGAGCCCUCGCUCUCCCAGCCACUCCCUCACGGUUAUAUAAAGCAAUUGAAUUUUGCAGUUAAAAGCUUCAAUCAUUUUCAAUUGCCGCAAACUAAUGGAUGAUUAUAAAAUAUUCAUGCGACAAGCGACAGGCGAUGAGACGACAGACUUCCAUGCGGCUAAUGACAAGCAAAGGCAAAGGACCAGGCCCAGGCCCAGGCACAGAACUGUGCUCAGACCCAGGACACAGUCACCUCAGCUUGCCCCUGACUUGCCCUGGGCCACGUUGAUGAGCCAAUCUAAGACCAGGAAGCCCAGGGGCGUUGCCAGAGCCGCCCCCUUUCCAUCUGUGAGCGGUGCAAAUAAAUUACACCUGCGAAGGGAGAGAGAGCCGUUGUGGUAUCCCCACCUUUUUGGUUAUUGAUUUGCUUGGGUUUUUGCGGUUUUCGGGGAGGAGUGGUGCGGACGAGGGUGGACACUCGAUUCGAACACUCGGUAUAAAGCCCUCAAUUAAGUUUUAUUUUAAUGCAUUUCAUUUGAACGUCUUUUAAUGGGAUUUUUCGUGCUCCGGCACUGCCAUAUUACUCAUUUGCCAUAAACCAAAAGGUGACCACAACACGUAUCCCUGUCCCAGACCCAGUUUCAGACCCAGAUCCAGUCGCAGAUCCCACUCCCCACAGCAGAGUGGAAGAGCAGAACAGAGAGAGAGAGAGAGAGAGAGCGGAUGAGUGGAGGAGUGGACGAGGGAGGAGAACGUUAAGUGUUGGCUGGCCAGAAUCGACAUGGGUCGCUUGGGUGAGAUUUAAGCUUUAAUGAUGCAUGAAGCGGCACAGGAUGUGGCUGCCCAGUCGUGGGUAAAAGGCAAUGAGCGCAAAUGUGCAGAGGAGAGCCAGGGAGAGACAGAGACACAGAAUGGCAGGGUGGCUGCUGGGGAGACAGGACAUGACAGGAGAUGGGUUUGCAUAUUGAGUGCCAUUUAAAUGCUUCAAAAUGCUUCGCUGGCCAAAUGUGUUUUUGGAGGUGUUUAUGAAGAGGUUCUAUUCCACUGCUCCACACAGCUCACAGUAUGGUGAUGGAAUUUCAGGGGGGGGGGGGGAUCAAAUGGGGAGACUAAUAGCAUCCUCCUCUGCCAGUAUCAUUAUCGCAUAAUCUCAUACUCAUACUCAUCGAAACUAUAAUGCCACCCCGAUAUUAAUUUCGAUAUUUUUUCUCUUUCCUUUUUUUUCCCUUCCAGAUGAACCGUGCUUUACAGCUGAAGCCAGCUGAAAAUGAAAGUCGCAGCGGUAAGUUCUCGAUUUCUGAAUUAUCUUUUUAUAUUUCAUAUAUAAAUGUGGACUCCCUCCCAUACGCAUGGGUGGAAAAUCAAUCAAGCCUCUCCAUAGGUGACCCAAAAUAAAUAAUUCGAAAAAAAUAUGACCCGUCUUUCGCUGUGGGCAAAGUUUUUGGGCCAAAGUAGUCGGCCAAAAAACGCUGAGCCAGCACAAGUUUCUAUAUCCCGCAUCUAAGUGUGUGUUACCCCACUCUCGCAUACACACUCUCUUUCUCUCUGUGUCUCUCCCUGUGCCAUUCUUUUUUCAACACCUACAACACACGUCAGCAGAAAUUACGAGCGCACUUCGAUAAACUGUCAAAACUGUCUGCAAAAAUUUGACAUUUCAGAAAAGAAAAAAAGGAAAACAGCAUCAAAAUCGAAAACCUCAAAAAAAUGCUUGGAAAUGGUAGAGAAAAUGGGAAAAGCGUAUAGCAAAACAACGUUCGACUGUCAAUGGCAGUUGGGCCGGUACAUACAGUACAGGGCCCGUGAGUGUGAAGAGAGAGCAGGAGGCGGAGGCCGAGCGCUGGCCAGGGCGCCAUAUUGUUUUUACCGGGACCCUCACACAGUUGUCGUGUUUCACGCUUGUUUGUGACAGCCCAUCGACCCAGGAAGCCCUCCAGAACCCGGCAUACCCAUCCCCCGCCCUGCCAAUGGGGAUGGAAAAAAGAAUGAUAAAGAUUUGCAUAAUUUACACAGCACUUCAACUUUGUUUUUGGGUCAGCUGCCCGCCCGAGUAGUUGUUGCUUUGAUAAACUUAUUGACAGGCUCAUUAUGCAGCCGGGGUUUUCAAAAGUAAUUUCAAUAUUUCUCCCCUUACUUAGGGUGAGCGCUUAGCUCGUCACAAAACCCUGCCUCAUUAUCCUUUCUCCUGGCUUUGGCAGGGACUUCUGCAGAGGUGCAAUCGUACAAGAGUAUGGUACACAUUUCGCAAUCAACCCGUGCUGCCCGGGGGCCCGGAAUCCAUCCAGAAGUUGCAGGAGUCGCAGGAGUCAGUGCACUCUACAAUCUUUUAAGACAUUUUGCAGCUGGCAUCGCUUAUCACAGCAGAGAGAACCGGAGCAGCGCCCCAAAAUGUCCAUUGCACAAAUUGCUUGUGCACACACACUCUCAGCCAGGUCCACACUUUGCUCGUUGGUUGGUUGGGGCAGACACAGCCAUUGCUCAUAACAGUCGCAGUCGCUGUCUCCGUUGCUGGUUGCUGGUGGCUGUGGCAAGAACCUUGACAAAGUUGAUGUGUCAAAUCAGCAGCCAACGAGCGUUGAGCGAACGCAGAGCGAAAGAUGCCAUUCAGGCAGCCAGGCAGUGACAGUCAGUGGUGGUGGGUCCGGCCCUCCUCCGGAUGACCUUUAAACUUUGCCAAAGGACAUGAAAGCACUAAUCGUUACGUUGCUCCUUUCUUUAUUCAUUCAUUCAUUCUUUUGGCUGCUUCGAUUUCGCUUUGCUUUCGUUCUUCGGCUCUGGCUCUGGCUCUGUCUCUGGAUCUCUUUCUCUCUCUGUCGCUGGCUCGGCGGCAACAAUUUAAACUUUCCUAAUCCGCUGGGGAUUGGAAACUUCAAGCUGCACAAGCAACUGAACUACGCUCUGGCAACUUGCUGGCAAUCUGUCCGCACAAUUGUGGACCUGGUCCUGAACCAGAACCUGGACUAGGGCUAGGAGUACAGCUAGGACGCAAUCAAGUCGACAUUUUUGUUUGUUGCUUUGUUGGCGGCUUGUCGUCCCCCUCCCUUGGCAUUCCCGGGCCCGUCUUCAUCACUCGAGUGGGAACAAAUUUCUAAGAAAUUAAAGCGCUAAACUUUUUUGGGCCCCUAUCAGCAACGCACUUGGCAAAUCUGCACCGAGUCCUUUGCUUCUUGCUCAACCCUCUUGGCGGAGACUUUUGACUUGUCCUGUUUGUGUGUGUGCUUGUGCUAGGAGGAGGGAUCUUUUGGCUUUGGGUUUAGGCCAAAAUGCAAUUAGACAAGGACAAGUUUAAUUGCUUGGUCGAGAGUCCUGAUAUCCUGCAGGCUGCUGCAAGCUUCACCCGCUGACAUUUACAUUUUUCGGCCGCACAAAGAAGUUUAAUUUAUUUAAACUCAAAUCAAGCAUGAAAUGUGUGAGAGAGCGAUGAGGGGCAUGAAUACACUUUUUACUGUUGACAAGUGCGAAGAGAAAAGAUGAUUUAGGAGGUCUCUUCUGCCUCUUUUGGGUUCUGUUUCCCUUUUGGGCCCUUUCCCUCCUGCCUUCAAUCCACGUAACUUCAUCAAUUUUAACUUACUAGAGGGCAGAGUAGGACUUGGUUGACAUGUCCAUGCGUUGACCAAACCCCAAACACAAGCCCUGAAAACUGAGAUACGAAAUCACAAAUUGUUGCCGUUGUCUUUCAACCGUUGUCACUGGUCCUUGGCCCUGCUCUGUCCGUCGACAACGUUUGCCGCAUUUGCAAUCGUCUCUGCCAUCACUGAGUCUGAUGAUUUUCGUUUCAUUGCCACACACACAGAACAGACAUUCACACACACGCAUACAUCCCAUGCUUAGUUAUUUAUCUUGAUAUUCCUCCUCACACACAUCCAUCCCAUGCCUCAUCAUUAUCAAACUCAUAUUGUCGUCUGCCUGCCCUUUCUCUCUCUUACUCUCUCCGCACUCUCUUUCUAUCUCUUUUUCGCUUUCACGCGUAAUUUGUACUUGUCUAACACGUAAUGAUGUCACGUAAAUUGCAUACUUUCGCUUACGUUUACGUUGACGUGUUACGUUAGCUCUGGCUCUGCUUUUCCCUGCGACUUAAAGUCAAAUUAAUAUCAUACGACCCCUGAGCAAAGAAAAUCUGCCAGUGCCUUUACUCUCUGCUCGGCAUACAAACAUAAAUUUUGAAAUCCCCGCCGUUUCCUCACGAACACUUUUACACAUACUUUCACAGCCAAACACACAUAUACAGGCAGGCUCACACUCGUACUCACACAGAUUUAUGUUUCUAACUACGCAUUAAUUUCCUUACCUUUAUCUCGGCCGGGUCUUCGCUUGACUCCUUGUCACACGUCAGUAAAUCAGAUGCCGUUGCCCAGCUCUACGCUUCCCGUCUGCCCGUCUUCCCGUCUCGUCUCUCAUUCAUCAUACUUAUAAAUAUUCAUUUCCUGCUGUGGUGCCGCAGGGGAAUACUCCAAAGGGAAGCGCGCUGCUACAAAAAUGAUUGCAAAAGAUUAAAAAUCAACUCCAUAAAAAUGCUCUCGCACCUUGCACCUGAUGAUAAAUGACAAACGAAAAUUAACAAAGCAGCCCCAACCUCUAAAAAAAGAAAGAGAGAGUGCGUGUAGAGCCGAACCUUAAAGAAAACUGAAGGCACAUAUGUGGAAAAUUCCCGAGCAGAAAACUUUCGCAGAGCUCAUUAUAGACACCGUCUCAUCAAAUUGAAAAGCAAUGAGCUAUGAGAGGGAAACCUUCGAAGCCGGAGCACACACCAAACACAUAUCCCCUGCUAAUAAGCAUUCUGCCAAAAGUUGUAGGGCGAAAAACUAAUAAUAAUAAUACGCAGAGUUGGCCCGAAAAACUUUUCUCAUUUUGCUUUCAUUCCCCUAGUCUUCAUCGCAGCUCUGCCCUUUCGCCUGAUUACCCAUUUGAAUUGUAUUCGCUGGCAAUUUGUGUUGCCUACUUUCGGGCGGCCACUCAGUUCUGAUCCGAAUUUUUAUUUCGGCAUAAAGUUAGCGACAACAUUCCAAUCUACCUGCGAUACCUCCAGCUCUCUGCUCCUUCUACUGCUGCUGCGACCUUAUUAGUGUCAACAUUUUUAUGGCAGCUCGGAAAGAAUGCCAUACAAUUUGAUUAAUACCAAUAAGGGGCGACAAAUUCAAUUGAAUUUGUAAUAUAGAUUGACUGGCACUGACGAUUGGCUUCAGCUGCGGCUGCGACUCCUUUUAUCUGUCCCACAUGUGUACCCCCUGGCAGUGUGGAGGUAUGGUGGUUUUGGCGGCUUGAAGUUUUUGGGGGAGUGCAAAUUAAAAGAGACGGCACGGCAAGAUGCGAAGGCCAGGAUAUUCACCACUAAGCCCCAAACAACAAAGCCUCUGAGGCCAGACAAAAGGCAUAAAUAAAGCGAAGCACAUCCAACAGUGGCAGCAGUACGCCUAAAAGCAGACAUCAAUUUCUGCCAUACUGCGUUUUUCUUUUCUCCUCCUUUCUGUCGAUUUUCUUUCACCGCUCCUCUGCUUCAGCGGUCGGUGGUCGGGAGGGGCUCAAUUCUUUAAUCAGCUUAAAUUCACACGUACCAAAAGCGACGCAUAGCCAUUGAUUGGAGGCUUACCCCCAGUCGCUUCCACUCCUCGUUUGGACCCAGCCUUCUUUUGCUUUUAUCAAAGCCAGUUCAAAGGCUCGUAUGUGUAUUUAGGCUUUUAUUGUUUUUGACCUUUUUUUUGCGAGACGAAAUAAAAAUCGAUUUUUCUUCACACACUCACUGACACACACAGAUACAUCUAACUCAGGAAAGAAAGGAAAAAAGGGAGGAAAAGCGAGCCAAAAUAAAAGUAAAUCACAAGCAUCGCUGCUGGCAGCAUUCGCAAGUUCAAAUAAGCGAUAAUAAGUAUUUAUAGGCGGGCAAACAGAUUCGGGUUCGGUACAUAAGGCCCCCCGAACAGCCUGCUAAAUGCGUUUUAAUGUUUUUUAAACUUUUCCCUACUGUCUGCGCUUUGCUUCUUCUCUGUUCUCUUUAAUAUUUAAGUAUACUUUUAGGCGGAGUUUUUCCUCCGUAGUUUCUUUCCUUCGACAGUUUUGUCUGCGCAUCAUUUUUCUUCGUUGCUUGAUUUUGUUUUUACGAGCGACUGAAGCCUGUCAAUUGGCUGAAUGCCUCGUAAAACUGCCAGAGGCCUAUGAGGCAGAGGCAGCUUUCGCUUUCCCCUUCCCUCCGAAGGCAGCAGAAAAACGGAGAAAAAGAAAACGAUUUGUUAUGUUUUCGCUCAGGCAGCGUGGAACAAGAAAAGGAAGCACACAAAAACAACGAAAAAAUGGGCAUGCCCUCUCGCUCUCACACAUUUUCCCGCUGUUUUCCUUUUAGUUUGUUAUUUUGUUUUCUUUUGGCCGCUGCUUAGGCCUGCCAAAUGUCAUCAUUAGCGUUUCAAUUGCCAUUUUAGUCCGUGACACUUGAAACAUUUGCAUAAAAUACCAAAAGUCAAGUUGGUUAGCGUCAAUAUUGGGGGAAGAUUCUUUGAUGUUUACCUUAGUGCCUUUGAGGAGAGACCUACAAAGAGAAGACAAGGAAACGCUCUUACUGGGAUUAUCUUUGGAGAGAAUUGAGUUCUCCGGCAAUGGUUUCUAUUUAUUUUCUUUGCGAGCUCUCAAAUAUAUUCCCAUCCGAACUUUGAGCUGCCCUCAGUCCCAGGCAGAGCACUUGCAGCGGAGCCCUAUUCAAUUUAUUGCCGCAUUCUGCCUUAUUGAAUAGAGUUGACGCGGCUUAACCAUGAUUAAGUCCCCCUUUCUUAUGGAUACCCCCACUUCCGUUCGACUUCUCGUGUCCCUCAGUCAGGGGCCCCCCGCUGGACACUGUACACAAAACAUUUCUUUUUAGCUGAUCUUAUCGGCUCGGCAAUUGUCUGACGCUUUUUGCCUUUUCCAUUGCCAUUGGAGAAGGUCCUUCUCUCCUGCCUUUGGCUGUGGUUGUGGCUUUGGGUGUCUUCAUUUUUGUUUUGGCCAAAAGCAAUGAUAAGCGACACGCAAACGCGACACUUGACUGUGGUGAUGGAGAAGAAACUACCGGGCGGGAGUACAAGGUCCACAAUUGUGACCGCAAUCAAUAGAGCUGGAUGAGCGGAGAGGGGACUAGCGGACCGGGAGGCGUAUGUGUAAUAUAAAAAGUAAUUAUUUCUUAUGCAAUAUGGACGCUUGGUCUGGAUAAGCAUCUGGAACAGAAUUUUAUGGCGGCAGAGUGGUGGGCUGGGAGUCGGACGAGCAUUGUUUUUAAUUGUUUGUCGUGGCAGGGUUGCCAGGCUUCUUUUUGCAAUACAGCACAGCAGAGCAGCGCAGCUGCAAUAUAGAUUGUAAUCUUAAUUGCAUUUAGAGUGCCCUGCAUUGUAGGUUAAUAAUCAUAAAUGUUAUGGUAAUAGUUACGAGUGCUGGGGAGUGAGUGUUAGAGUAGGCGUUGCCGUGGAAGGUGGGAUAUUUUUCGUAUUGUCGAGCUGUGUUUAGUUACAGUUUGUUGCCGUUGAAACAUUGUAAUGGAGAGCCAGCCCCCCAACUGAUUUAAACUUGCCACGAAAAGAGGCGGUGCAAUUGCUCAGAUUGUUAUGAGAGGCACUUGAAAAAGGAAGCAAUCAAUUAUUGGUUUACCUUUAAAACAAAAAUCUCUUGAGGGAUUUGUACCCCAGAUUUCACAUGUAUAAAAGAUAUAUAAAAUCUCUGCUCUCUGUUUUGCUUUGUCCACUCUCUCUCCUUACAUUUUGGUAUCCCUUAUACGGAGAUCUCUCCCCUCUUGACGUGUUGGGGAGUGAUUGACCCAGCUCGAGGCAAUUUCUAUUUAUGGGCAAAAGAAGAAAGAAAAAUGUGUAGCAACAACGAAACAAAGGAGGACAACGAGCAGCACAAAAUCCUAGUAUCAACUGCAUCUACUUUAAAUGCAGUUAGCAGGCGGAGACAUUGGGAGUAAGCAACUAGGAGCUGAGUAGCUUUCUGGAAUCUUGCACAUGACUUUGAAGCGACUUUGAGAAGAGUCAACACUAAAGUACAGGGACAUGCAGGCAUACAGGCAAAAGAGGAAAACGUGUGGAACAUUAAUCUUGUCUGGGCCACAAGCCAGUCUAGCAUUCUCUCUCUUUUUUCUCUCUGUUGUUUAGUGAUACUUGCUUAAUGAGCUGUGAGCCUGACUGGGCAUUAAAAAUUAUGAAAAGAAAGGCAUGAAAAACUGCUGGGCAAAUGCAUUUAAAAUGCAAUAAUAAAAAUGAUAAUGGCAUUAUAAUACUAAGCCCUCCCUCCAAUGCAAACAAACUGUUUUCAUAUUUUUCCGGGCAGCGGAGGGCAUUUGAUGCCAGAAAGUAUGCUACAUUACUUUCAGCUCGUUAAUUUUUAUAGGAUUCUCUGCUUAAAUUGUUGUAACACUCGCCACCUACAUGUCUCUUUCUAGCUCUCUAUCUCUCUCUACCUCUCUCUCUCUCUCUCUCUUUCACUUUCUUUCCAUUCGCUUAAUAUUGAUUUCACCUAAAUUAACGCACGCUGAGAAAGCUUGUAGCCAAAAAAAUAUACAGAGAACAAACUCUAACCGAAAGCUUGUUUCUCCUUGUAGCUGCUCUUCUGUGGUUUCUGCUGUCCCCACCCGUUGUUAUUUUUAUGAGACUUUUCAUAUUAUUUUACUUUUUGGCUUCGACUUUUGGCUUUAAUGUUCCAAAUUUUCACGCCCUUCCCUGCCACCCCGCUGUUACCCAACUGGCCAAAACAUGUCUUUGCUCUCUGGCUUCAGCUACAGCUCUUCUAUUAAGUUAUCAAGAUUUGUAAAGUAUAUGAGCCGAGCAAGCGCUGCCUUUGUACGACUCUGCUCAAGUGUGUACAAGAGGGAUGGAAGAACGCAUAAAAGUGCUAUCUAUCUCUUUUACACGUUCCCGUUCCCGUCAACAGGGAGCAGGCAGCAGAGCAGAGUAUGAGCCAGCCAGAGAUAUGGCCAAAUGGCGUGUUGGCAGGCCACAAGGAGCUCGGUCGGUCGGGUUGUUAGGAGGAGUGCUACGAUAGUGCAGAGUGUAGAUGCCAUGCCGUGUGGUUGGUUAAUACGUUAGAGGACUUGGCCAGGAUAUGGAAAUUAUAGAGGGCGCUUCCUGCUCUUCUCUCCAUCUCUCUCUCUGAGAAUCAAAAAAAUUAUGCAACAAUUUGUGCUCAGUCUGGUGCGCCUUUAAGGCACAGCUUUCUCUCUGUCUCCACCUCUCUGUCCAUCAUUCAAGUGUAAAUGCAGUUGAAACUGUAGCCAGAGCAUAACGCAUCAAUGACCAGCCAUAUAUGAGGGCUGGGUGCAGUCUAUGCACCAUGUGAAGGGUCAUUUCUGCUCCUACUGUUGUUAUUGCUGGUCCUGCUCCUAUUCCUGAUGCUGUUGUUUUCGUCUGGCGUUGAUUUUACGUUAUAGCGGCAGGAGUUCGAGUGCGAGUGAGUAGUUGAACCAGCAGGAGGUGCUCCAGCUGACUAACUCGACUGCUGUUGCUGGACGCUUAAGCCUUCAAUAACAGCAGCCUGAAGCAGCAGCAGGAGGAGCAGCAACAACAACAAAACUUUUUAGCCUUUUUGUUAUGGCCAGGAUCAGGAGCAUAGCUGGGCAUAGAAAAAACAAGAGCUGCGACUAAGCAAAAGAAUUUAUAUGAUAAGCGUAGGACAGGCGGGCGUUUCGGGUCCGUCAAUGUGAACUCCAGGGCCAUAGCUCAACGGGUCCGGUCCCGUUCGGUCCGGCAUGCCAUGUCCUUUGGGUCGGUCUCAGUGGGGAACUUUCUUCUCCUUUUUGUGCACCCCAAAGCUUGUCAGAGAGAGAGAGAGAGAGAGAGAGAGAGAGAGUGAGAUAGAUAGAGAUAAAGUACGAAAUAUGACAGCGGCAGGAGGCCUUUUGUUCUCUUUUUCUCUGUAGACAAACAACAUCAAAAAUAACAGGAAGCAACAACAACUAUAAGUCCAAUAUGUACGCUUUAAGCAUAGCAUAUUAGUUUGCUCAGUGCGGUGAGUGCGAGGGGAGCAAUAGAAGUUCGGAAAAGUGAAAAGGACGAUUCACUCCUCCAAAUAGCCAGAAAUGGAGGGACAGAGAGAUACAGAGAGCUUUCGGGGGCCAGAGUUUGAUGUAGUUUGUUGUGUUUGCAAAGCCAAAUGCAUGCAAAGAGCUGGACAGCUUGAUGUGAGCAGAGUAGAGCAGGGAGGAGUGGUGUAGAGGGAGGGUAUUUGGGUAUAGUCCGGGGCAGACAAAGGCUUCAUCGUGCGGGUCAGCGAGCUUCGCUGCAUGACUUGCUGCAUUGCAUAGAUGGAUGGAUGAAUGGAUGGAUGGACGGAUGGCUGGAUGAAUGGAUGACUUGGCUGGCCAAACUCCAACUCCCUCUUCAUAUAUAGAUAGCUAUAGAUGGAUGUAUGACUAUGGCCAUGUUUUGUUGCAGGCCACAUUUGCCCCAGGCAAAUAUCCCUGCCAAAACAACAAGCGAUUUGUAGGGAGUAAGUGCAUUGCGUUCGAUCACAAGACAAGAGAGAGAGAAAGAAAGAGAUGGAAGUGGAUUUUAGAGCUUUAACUUCACUUUUGUAGUAAAUAACAAACAGCCAGAUGGCACAGUGCAUCACUUCGAUUAGCCAGAGACUAAAUCGAGAGAGAUCCAUGGAACUUAUUGCACCCAUUAUGAAGUGCACCCGAAAAGGUCGCAGAACUUAGGUUUAUCGCAUCCUUGCAAAGAUACAGAAAUUAUUUGAUGAAGCCCAGUUGUACCUUCUUUGCUCUCUCUCUCUCUCUCUCUCUCUACACACACAGCUCUUACUCUGAAUUGUAACUUUGGCUAUAACUUGCAAUUUGUGCCAAGCAAUUAUGAGUUUUCUUCAAAACAUUUUGCCCCUUCCUUUCCCUUCGCCGGGUUAUAAUGUUGCAAGAACGAGUUGACUGCGCCUUUGCCUCUCUGUCUCUACCUCUAUCUUUCUCUGUCUGUCUGUCUGUCUGUGCAUUGUUUUUAAUGUUCUCUGGCAGAGCAAAUGUAAUGCAAUAUAAAACAAAAAAAUGCCAAGAAAAAAAAAUGAGCAAAAGGCAUUAAAAGGAAAUGCUCACUUUCAAGUUGUUUGUCUCUCUGUUGCUACUCCUCCAUCCCACUCGCUCUCUCACAGCCUUUUUUGUGCACACAAUCGUUGAGCAGAGAGUAGUCCUGCGUCCGUCUGGUGCACAUGCCUCCCAUCCACCAUUCACAGCACUGUUCUAUCUUGUUUGCCUCAAGUUGCACAUUUUCUUGUUGCACUGUUUGACGUAAUUAUAAUUGAAGUGAAGUCGUGAACGAGUUUCAGUUUCCUUUCCAACCUCCACUCUGCCAUUCCCGUUCCUGUUCCAGUCUGUGUCUGUGCCCCAAGCUUUGCCUUUGCUCACUUUCUGCACCCCGUGCACCAUAAUGAGCAUGUUAACAGGCAGACAAUGGCACUCAAAUGCGAGUGUGGUCUGGGCCAUAAGCUUCAUCAUAAUUUUAUUACCCUUCUGUGCAGCGCCUGCUGCCCUGCUAUGCAGCGUUUGAAUGUCAUUUCAAAGUCAAACGCGUUGCCAUUGCCAACUUUCAAUUAAACUAGCUCCCAUAUAUUUCUACGCUAGUGCUGCCUCUGCACUGUCCCCCCUCCAUCCCUGUCAUCCGCCCACAGCUAAGCACCCAAUAAAAUGUCAUUUUUAUCGCGCGUUCUCAGGCACUGGACGGAAAUUCGUAGCAUACUUUGCAGAGCUUCCUCUAGCUCUCAUCCAGCCAUCACUUUGCUUACUUAUUAAUUGCCAAACUCAUCUAUCUGGACUUUCAUUUGAUUAGAAGGAAGAAUAUUUUUUUUCAUUAUACUAGUAAAUUUUUAACUAUGAGACAAUGUGACGUCUCCAUCCAUCUGGGCCUCGGGGGCUAUCCUUCAUCUCUGGGUAAUUAAAAACAUGCGCGUUUCGUUCGCUUAUUUGAUAGACUCUCUCUCUCCCCCCCUCUCUCUCUCUCUCUAUCUACAAUACUCUAGUAUCUUGCAGGGUACUGCUCUGAGUCACACUGUGACUGAAUGGCAAAUUUCAUUACGUUGAUGAGUUUAUAGUGCUGCCAGCUUGUCUCUGAAGGGGAUAAGUGGCAACAGUUGUGUUUUAUAACCACCAAGCGUUUUGCUAAUUAUUAUUUGGCAUUUAGUUUUCGAUGGCAGAUUGGACAGCAAGUCAGCCACGCAGCUGGAUGAUGACUUGAUGGAAUUGAUUGCCUCAUGUUCCCCCUUAUUUGACGUAGCAGCUGCUGCUACGCUGCUUGAUCACACUUUGCCGAAACGGGUUUGGCUGUCAAUUGAGGCUGGGAUUAAUUCUGUUCCACAUGAGUGGAGAGCAUUGCCAUGACUGUCUUCAAAGGGAAACAGUAUUUCAUUCAAGCAUUGAGGAUGGCCAACUGUAAGCGACAUAAAUAUGCAAGUAAGCGCCUUAACAACGAUCUGCCAAACCCCUACCCAAGGCACUUCAGGGUCCACAGUAAAAACUUAUUAAAAUUACACAGAAAGAACAGAGGGAACUACGAUGCUGCGAUGCUGGGAACACGCCAUGGAUAUGGAUGGCACUCCCUUUACUCGUAAGCUGCGUCUGCAUAAGCAAUGGGCUGGCGCUGGAGCAGGCUAUAAAUUUCUGCCAACUGUAUUUUAAAAGAAUUAUGCACGUGCAAUUAAAUAAAGCGACAUCGCCUGAAAGUAUGCAGCGGAUAAUGCAAUAAUAACAGCAAUAAAUGCUCUUGGAAAAGCUCUUGCCCGACUACAGACGCCGCCUCCUGACAGUUAUUGUUGUGUAUUUAACUGAGGACGAGCUUCAUGCAAAUUAACUUUCAAUUUCCUAGCCCCGUGUGCCCCUCACUACUCUCUGUUCCCCAUUUCCUCACACCAGCCAUCACCCUGCUAGACAGAGACAAUCAAAACUAAUUUGCAUAAAUGUUGCCCAAGCAUAAAACCAAACCAAAAGUAGCCGUCUACUCCUCUACGCUCCGCUUUAGUUCUUGUAUCUGUAUUUGUUGUUGCUUUCUAGUUUUGGCCAACGACCCUGGGACAGAGAACGCGAGAGCACUUCCAACGUGAAUUUGCGAAACAAAAAGUCUAAAUUAAUAAGUUUUUGGCCCCUCAGAGAGAGGAGGAACAAUAAAGAACAGAUUUUUUGGAUAGGGAGGUACGAGUGGAGUCCCCCUGAAAUAAAUUACUGCUGGGGGAUCUUGUCCCGUCAUCUCUCACAGUGACAGGCAGAGCGGCAGGGAUGAUGAGGCAAGUGGGGGAAAUACAGGCUGUGGACAACUUCUCUCAUUUUGUCUGCGCUGUUCUGUUAUUGUCUCCUCCACCUACGUCUGCUAUUGUCCGGCUCUGGCUUGGACUGAGUCCUUGUUCUGCUGCCGGUUCUUGGUUCAGAGUGCAGCUGUAAAAGAUAUCAAUAAAAUGGAUACCACUGCUUUGCACUGGGGAGGUCACAGGAAUGAAAAAAUUCUUUAAAUUUAAGAAAACUUAAGAAAGCUGCCAGUUUCGGAUUUAAACAUGUUGGCAUCUCAAAGAGCAAAUAUCGACAGUUAUCAGCUGUCCAACAGCCUGGCAGCAAGCCCAUUCCCCGCGGUUUUUCGUUCAUUUUCAAUUUUCUCUGUUGCUGCCGUCGCAUGACGAUGGCGAUGGCGCUGGCUGUAGCCAUGGAGCAAAAAUUUCACAACUAAUUGAAUAUUUAAAACUGCCAAACCGCAAUUUCAAAUUUAUUACCCAAUGCAGCGGAUCCAAGGGGAAUGCAUACACACACAUAAAAAUGUCCGUUGGUGGGCAGGCCAGACCAUGGCCAUUACCUCACUUUCGACUGGGCACCCAAACACUCUGAACAUUGCAAACUGGACAGAGCGUGGACUGAAGGCGCGGUGAAACGAACCGAACAUGGAGCUGGUAUAAAAUGUCACUUAAUUGCAAUUUAGUAAAUUGUUUUCCAUGUUGUAUAACAACAGCGGCAACAAGCAGUCACCACUGAUGAUGGAGGGCGUGGCAGGCAUGACUGCACACACACACAUAUCCAUGUCUGUAUAUUAAAAACCAUAAAUUUUGCGGUGAUUUAUCUUAAUUUAAAUGUUGCAACAAUGCAUCGAGGCAGCAGAGCAGCGUCUGUACUCGGCUUUUGUUUAAAUAUAACAAAGCAACUAAAAGUAUGCAGCGGUACACAUUUUUUCGUUACAAACACAUACAUAUAUUUGGGUUGAGUGCUGAUGUGUGUAUGUGUGCUUAUAUUAUAUGGCGCACUUCGUGUCGUCUACCCCGGGUAGAUGGUAGAUGUAGAUGGCAAAAGAAUGUAGCUUUUGUUAUUUGCCGCCAUGCUGUGUGCGAAAAAUCAAUUAAAAAUUCAUCAAAUAAUUAACAAAAGCAUCGCAUUGAGUGCCGAGUAGCGUAAGGCCGCAAAGGGGUUAAACAAUAGCCGUCUUCGUCUCUCUCUCUCUCUCUCUGUCUCGGGGGAGUGUUUAACUUGGCCUCUGCAUUGGGUAGAGGAUUUAAUGUGGCAUGGUGCCGCUCCUGUUCUUCCAUGGUCCAUGUGUGCGACGCGCAAAACAAAUUAAAUUCAAUUUAGUCAGCAGGAGAAGCAGGGGAGCCAGUUCCCUAGCAGGGGUAAGGGUUGAAGAUCCUACAAGAAGGUGCAAUUUUGAUGGAUUGCUUUUGCCUGCUCUUCCUCCCUGCUCGGAUGCCUGCCUGCCUGACUGUUUUACUCCUUGCGAGAGUUCAGGACUGGGACAGGACCUUGUUUGUUGCUUAGCUGCAAAACUUUGCCAUGUGUGCGUUCGUGCAUCUGUGUAUGUGAAUGCUUGCGUAAUUUGCAUACGUAUGUGUGCGUGUGAGUGAGUUGAGCCCAAGUUAAGGCAGCUGCAUUUAAACUUUGUUUUGCCGAAUGAAUGGAGGCGGUGGUAGAGGGGCAGAAAUAAAGUGGUAAGCAUGAGGCAGCUACACGAAAUUAAAAACUUUUCCAGCUUAAUGACAUUAAGCAUUAAAGUGUUGCACAGUGUUGUGUGUAAUGGGAAAAGUGCCACUGCGGUUUGGCCAUCCAUUAACCGUAACCCAUUCUUGGGCUCACUUUUAGCCCACAUAUUCAUAAUUAAUUGUUGUGGCAGGCGUAGGCAGAGACAUCUAAGUGAAUUUUCUGUGCCUUAUUAAUGACUGAGCACCUCGGGCUGUCUGUUUGCCUGAGCGGCUAAUUAAACACGAAAUCUGACCCAACGCUAAGGCGCGAGGAGCAGGCAAUAUCUCUCUGCUGAAACCGCUUCCGCACGAAACAAGUCAGAGGGCAAACCAAUCACAAAGUUCCGUUUUUUAAUGAAUGGCCCAACGCGAAGACGGGCUGAGUGGGCAGAGCUCUCGCUCUGCCACAGCAAUUGUGUCGUGGGCGUGGGUCGAAACGAUAACACGUCGAGAGCCGUAACUAUAACUAACUCGGCUUCGUUCCGAAACUGAAGUCGCUGUGACAUGUCAGGUUCUGCAGGCAUUCUACGAUUUGUUCAAAGGAGGAGAACGCCCCAAGUCUGCAACUUCAUUUAUAACAGAAAUAAAAACCCUUUUCUGAUGUGCUUUUUCCCCAGUCCCAGCCCUUGCCUGACUUUUGCCUUUUUGUAAUUUAUACGCGCUUAAAGGCGUCAUGUUGGCAACACCUACAAAAUUCUUUUGCCUCGCGUUCUCUGAGCUUUUUUUGCAUAACGUCAACGUCUGACAAAUGUGCCAUAAGCAAGGGAUUGGCCAUAGAGGCAGGCGGCGGUUGAGACAAACUUUUGCGUGCGGUUUUUGGUUUUUGGUUUUGGUUUUUCUGCUGUUGCUCCCACUGCUUAUGCCUCUACUGCUGCUACUUCUGCUGUUUCUGCUGUUGGCCAGCGGGUAAAAAAGUUGUGGCCAAAUAAAUGGGAAAAUGGCAGAAAAUGACAAAUGACCGUCAAUCAUGACAGGCCAGACGACGAGCACGAGCAUAUUGUGGGAGAAACACCAGGCGGUGGGGAGGGAGGAACAGGGCUAAGCUGUGUCUGGCCGGGAGCCGCACACCUGCUGGUCAAUGACAGUCGAAAGCUCAUCAUUGGUUCGUCCAAUUUUUUGCUUCCUCUUUCUCCUCAGGAUAGGGUAAGGUUAUGGGCAGAGGCGCCAUCUAAAUGAGUGUUGUGUGCUAGAUAACCUGACUGGCUCCUAAUCUUCUGGGGAUUGAGGGAAAAUAAAAUAUGGAUGGGCCAUUACAGUGGAACUUGAAGGUUAUAUGAGUAGAACUGAAUUUGGGUUUUCCGUAACGAGGAGGGGGAAAGUGCGGUGAGUUUUCGCCAUUUUACUUUGGCAUUUAAAUACCCUCCAAAGAAUAAACACUCUCUAUAGAAGGAACAAAAAAGUAAAUGAAAGCGCGGCAAAUCACUUUUUAAAUUUAAUUUGACACUUUCUUUUCUGCGCUGCUAGCAUCAAAGACGACUACAAAGUGUAAACUUUUCCAAAAGAAAUUUCAUUUUCGUUGCCCAAGGGUUCUCCCUCAGCAAACGGAGACCAGGACGAGCACGGGCUGCGUUCGGUGUGCGGGUCGGAGUCGCGGUGGGGAUCGGGUGAACUGUGGGACUUUGUAUUUAAAUUUGGUUGCCUCCUUUCUGGCCGAAAGUUAAAUGUUUUGUAGUUUUCAUUUAAGUGCAAAGUUUUUUGCUGCAUAAACUUUGCGUUAUUUCACACGCAGGUAUUAUAUGGCCCAGCCCGAGCACAAAAGCAAAUGCAAUAAAUGAGUGACACAAAGAUAGAAGAAGAGAGGCAUAGAGCAGUUGAGAAAAUGUUUGCAAUCUCAUAUUAAAUGGCAUCAACAACUUUGUCUCCGUUUUGGGCAGAGCAGAGCCAAAGGAGAGGGCGAGCGAGAGAAAGUUUCCUCUGCUUAUUAUAUUCAAUAAAAUACUUUACAGUGGCACUUUGGGGUAUGGCCCACGCCCACGCUCUCCUGUACCCCACGAAAACUUUGUCAGCUCGCGAAAAAUGUUGAUAAAAUUUUCUUUGGUCCGUCCAUCUGCCGGGAAACUCCCCCCAGUUGGCUUCCACUUAUUUGGCUCUUGGCGAGAUUGCAAAACUAAAAUUAUAAAUUUGAGUCGGCAAACGGUUUUGUUUACUAGCGCAUUGCUCAAAAGUUUUUUACUGCUCGCAUUACCCAUACGCAUCGUUUUCCCAGUCAUUCGAAUGCAUUCCAGGUUGCUAGAGACGGUAGACAUGUCAUGUAUGGGCAGAGCCUGAGUAUCUGUCACUCGAUGACACUUGCUCUAGCUGUACUAGCUGAAGGAGUCUCUGCUCGAGUACAAACAAUUUUCCAUUUCCAAGGCACGAACUGAAAUUUGUGCCCUCCGUUCAAUAGGUGUGUCCUUCAGGUGCGUAUGUGUUUGUGAGUGAAAAGUCAACGUUUUUCCGUUUGACUUGAUUUGAAUGCAUUCCGCGAGGCGCUGCUGCUCAUCCAUUGAUUCAUUUAUUUCGUAGGUAGAAACCUGUGCCUGGGAUUGUGCCUCCUGCUCGCUGUGUUCGCAUUCAAUGACACUUUUUUUGGCGCCGCACUUGGCCCAAACGGCGUUUGAUUGAGUGCCUUUUUCAUUGGCAGGCAACAAACUUAAUCAAUUUCAGCGCCUGUGUCCAAACAAAAGGCACGCCCAAAGGCUCGAAAAUUGCUGGGCUCAAUUCUGUUGCAUAGUUUUAGGGGCUGGUCGACUGCCAGACAGACAGACGGUACUCCUGUGACUCACCCACCAGAGCCUUUGACUGGUCCUUCUGCCACUCAGACUGUGGGGCUUGGGUUGCGACUGUGUUGUGUGUUUGCCCAACGCAAACGCCAUAAAAUAAUUUUGUUUUAACACAAACACACAUAGCACACACAGAGAGAGAGAAAGAGAGAGAGAGAGAGCGAUUCGGGUACGGCCUCACAGAGACAUAUUUGCCGGGCGCAAAUACGAAACGCAAAUGUAUAUAUUUAAUUUGAGCAAAUAACUAUUUUUGGCAGCAGCCAGACAGACUGACAGCUCCUACCCUUCCUUGUUCCACCUUCCUGCACUCUGUUUACAUUCAGUUGCCGCUCCCGCUAGCGCAAAAUGUUUGAAAUAAUUAGUGUAAAAUAUUUGCAUAGAAAUGAUUUGUUACUUGCGGCAGGCGAGAGUGCCCACAAAUACUUGGUCGCCUUGCUGAGCCUAAUAAUUGGGAAGCCACUAUAAGACCAGAACGGCAUGACUGCAAGUCUUGCUGUAAGAUUGAGCUAUAUCAGGGCCGUUACUGUGGAAUGAGCCACUAUGCAAAUCGCAACCGAAACAUCGCACUAUACCCGCACCACCACUGUAGACAGUCUGAUUUUUGCGACCAGUGUAGACAGGGCAGAACUGUGACAGUCAGACCUUUUAAUUAAAUACUAUUUUGCUUUGCAUUUUUAAAGUCUGUGGCGUUGCUGGAGGGGGAGGACGGCCAAUGGGCGUGAGCGAGUACUGACGCCCACAGCUUGAGCUGAGAAAUUUUAGCAUUUUAAUUUUAAUUUAACGUGGGCGUGGCAUGGCGUGCAACAGUUACCCAACAGUCGCUCUUGCAACCGUACAACCGCUUCAUGUGUCUUGCCUUUUUUCUGUCCGUUGCCGUUGCCUGACUGCAUUAAGUCAAACGUAAUCCGCACAUGGCCAGCCACAGCCGGGCAUAAAGAGACACGGACUCUGACACGACUGGAGGACACGGAGUCGGAGACGGGUUCGAGGACAAAGCAGAGGAUAUCUCACACUCGCAGACCUCUUACUCCUCUUACUUUUUCACUUUGUUGGUGCUGGUGCUGGUCCCGGGCCUCGUGUUGGUGCUCGUUCUGUUGGUUUUUUGGUUAGGUCUCUUCUAGUCUUCUGACUUCUGGGGUUGGGUCGAUGUGGUCUGGGUUCAGUUCGGUUUGGUUUGGUUUUGGCUUACGGUUUGCUUUGACUGGUUUCCCAGCUGCCAUCGCCGCUCCCGCUCCGGCACUCCUUCCUUGCUGCGCUGCCUCGUCGUUUCAUUAAGUUAUACAAUUUAACGCCCUUUCAGCAGUCGGACUUCUAUUUACAUUUGCUUUGGGUCAAAUUACACAAAAUUCUACGGGUGUUGCGGCAACAAAAGCCAUCGACAGCCAACCGGCGGCAGCAGUGCCUGCGUCUCCUUCCCAGUCUCAGUCUCCGUCGCCGACUCGGUCUCGGCCACUGUGUCUCUAAAUAAAUUUCAUACGAAUUGUUUGCACAACGUCUCUGGGUAAUUUUAAACUUUGCUCUCUCUUUUGUUUUAGUGGCCAGACAAAUAUUAUUGAACUCGGGGAUUUCCCUUUGACUUAAGACUUUGGACUGGUCUUUAAGCUCUCUAUCCUCUAUCCGAGCAUUUCCGCUUACUGGGCUUCCCUGCCAGCCUGACCCAAUUAGGCUCCUGCUGCUACCUAUCCUUUGGCAUUGUCUGACUUUCGAAUGUGUCGUAGGCAAAAAGUUACAGUCUGAAGACGCAACCCUUGGCGCAUUUUGUUUCUGCUGCCAUGUUGCCAUUAUCAAAUUGAAUUUCUCAUGCAAAUUGUUUUCGGUCUUCCAAAAAGCUUUCAAGUUUUAUGGCACGGAAAUUGGCUCUUGCAAGUUUCUUCCCAGCCAGGAUGCUGCUGCUGCUCCUGUGUCCUGUCUCGGCCUGGCCUAUACCCGCAUAGAGAUGUGCCGCUGCUCUUUGGGUAUCGUGACUCACGUUCCGCGUGCACCCUCGCCCGAACACCCAUCCUUAGCACGUUUUUUUGCACUUUUUAACCUCUAACCCCAAAGCAUGUCAAGCUAAUUUCGAGCUCCCAAUGCUAAUUAUGAUGUCUUUUACGUGCCAACAAACGCUCAAGUGAGUUAGCCCAGUCGGAGUGCAGGCGUCCCAGUCGCAGGCUCCACUUAAAAAUUUAUUUUACUGUAAACUCAACAUAAAAACCCUACGAAUACUCACUCGUUCCCAACAGAGAUGAAUGGUACAGAACGGAACAGAGCGGAGCUACGACGACGACGAGGACGAGUACGACUGCCAAACCCUAUUCAAAAUUCAAGUGGGCGUGUUCUGAUGACAUGCUGCCGGUUUACCUUCGGCACGUAAUGCGCUAGGGAUUCGCCAAUAUUAGCCAAAGGAGCGAACGAGCGAUAGAGAGAGAGAGAGAGAGAGAGAGAGAGCUGUAAGAGAGAGUUCUUGUAUACGGAAUAGAGGGAAAAAAAAAACAAUAUUAAUAACGGAGAGCCAGCCCACCGAGCCCAAUCUAGAGGGCCAUAAUAAUACAUCAGCUGUGGCAAUGCCCCGCAAGGGGUUGUGCCACAGGACACAGGACGCAAGACAGACGGCGAGUACAUUGAGGACAUCAUCCCAGCCACGCAGCUAAUAGCCGGGGCUGCUUCGAUGUCCCUGUCCCUGUGCCUGUCCCUUCCCUGACUGACUGAAUGACUGACUGCCUGACAAACAGACACAAAGCGAGAAAGCGGUAGGGGGAGACGACAUCCAACGUUCGCUUCAUUGAAAAGUUUCAGCGUAAUGGCUUUUGUUUGGCGUCGUCGCCGCGUAGUCGCUGAUGGGGGACCCGACAAGAGUGGGGGCUUUCUUCUAUAGCAUUAAGUAAUUGAUUACAUCUCGAGGGACUUUUAAGCAAGCCGAACCAGGCACGCCACGCCACGCUACUAUACUCGUAAACCUCAUAAAUUUCUAUAAAACUUGACUGCUUCUCCGCACAAUAUAAUGUAAAUACAUUUUUUGCCAGCUAAAUACUACGGGUCGAAGCUUGGGAGGGGAUAGAGAUCGGAUAGAAGAAUAAGAAGCGUGUGUGGUUGGGGCGCGGAGAACUGAUUCGGCUAGACCCCAACCCUAACCGUGUUUUACCAUAAACAAUAAACAAUAAUUUAAUUCCCCUGCCACCUAGGCAAAAUGUCCGUUAAUGUGGUUAGUGACUGAAAAAGUCUACCCAAAACAAUGGGAAUGGAGCGCCAUUAGUUGGGAGAAUAGUUUCCCCCAAAGAAUACAUCUACCUGCCAUCCAGAUCUGAUUGUAAAUCAAGUUCGUUGACUGAUCUGAACCCUAGACUAAAAUUUCCACCACUCUGAUAUCUCAAUACAGCUCUUUCCUGUCCACUAUAUACUCGUAAUUGUACUGUAUAACUCUCCGCCUUCUUUGUUGUUUUGUUGCUCACGUUUUGUUGUGGACUUUAAAUUAAAAAUCCCGUGAGGUUGUGCGGGUUGCGGGCAGUGAGAAUGAAAAAAAGAAAAAACAAAAGACGCGAAGAUAAACAACCACGCCCAACUGGGGCGGUUAGCCAUUUUUAUGGCGCCUAAUUGCCAAGCGCUCCCAGAGAGACAGAUGGGAAUGCGGGAAGUACGGCGGGUACUGCUUCUGGACCGGGCCUCGGCUGUUAUAAUCAUAAAAUUGCUUUUGUGGCAUACAAACCGGUUAUAUUGCUCCCGUGUGAUAGUCCCCCACCAGCGCCCCCCACAGACCAAACAGCCACAUCCAGACCCGGCUACUUCUUCAUUUUACCCAUACAAAUGAAAAAUGUUGCGGUUUAUUUUCAUUUGGAGCUCUUCCCCGACCAAGUCCGCGCUCUAAACAUAAUUUGUUGCAUUAAUGUUGGCCACAUGCACAUGAAAAUAGAAAAUGCAAACACGCACACACACACACACACACACACAUAGUUUUUGUUUAAUUUCAAUGUAAAUUACUUGAGGGGAGCAGGGGAAGAGAUCUGGCUGCUUGUGUGUGUGCUCUGCUAAUUGCUCGGAGCCCUUGAGCUAGAAAUUUUGCGCAUAAUUAGUGGCAAAUGUGCAUAUGGAAAAUGUGUUUGGAAAUUGCCCGGAAAGCCGAACUGGAGACCCCAUAAAAUACACAGAGAUGUUGUGCCACUGUUAUGAUAUGAGGUUAAAUGUAGCACAAAGGAAAGAGCAGAGAGGACUUCCCUUUAAGCAAAAGUUAAAGUGCAAUUGAAGUAACUUUAUGGAGUUCUUCUUUGGCGAAGAGAAAAUGUUCAUUACCAUUUUAAAAAGCCUGACCCUCAUUUUCUCCAUCUCUCUACCUCCUUUGUUGACGCAGUCCAAUUUACCUGUCACACCAUAAACCUACAUUUUGAGACUGCGCCUGGUAAAUGUCCCAUCAAAAAUACAGAUUGCCCCACCCACAGAAGCGCCACCACCACCGUCGCUACCAAGGUGAAUGGACAAACAUAAAAAUGAAAAAUAAUAAUGCCAUUGACAAAUACAAAGCCAUAAAUUAUAAAUGCGAAAUGCUUACUUAUACACGAAAUCUACUUGGAGCCCCGGCAGCAAUAAAAAGAGCGAAGAGACAGGACACAGGACGGGGGCGGGUUGCGGGCAGGCUAAGGAAAAUGGAAAAUGGAAAACUGAAAGCGCAACAGAAACACAAACCGCAACUUGUUAUAAAAUUAGUAAAAUUUUCUCAGCAAACAUUUACAUUAACUGUGAGGCGAGGCACACACACACACACUCGCAGAGAACGACAGGGAGACAGGGGGAAAAUCCCAGCUCUGGGAGCCCUAAGCACCCACAAGGACUUCAAAAGACCCAUAGAUGCGGAACAAGGCAUUGGGAAAGGGAAAGCCCAGGCCAGGCCAUUAGAAGUAGCAGACUCAGCGCAAGCAAACAAAAAAUACGAGUACUAUAAAAAGCAAACGAGUCCUCCUAAGCCUUGUCCCAAAAGAAUUAAGAGAGCAAAGCAAUUAAAAUAUGAAAAUGUACAACUUUCAUCUUUUUGAGCUCAUUGCAUAAAUCAUUUCGAAUGCCUGACACUGGAGGAAGGGACACACCACCCGACCCACCCCACCACCCCACACUCAAAUUUACUGUGUCGCUUUCCCUACUAAUCAGCAUAAGUCCUUGCCAGCCGCACAAAUGCUGCCCACGACCACGACUCAGGACGAGGACAAAAAGUGAUUUAUUUCGAAAAUUCUUCUUCUUCGUUUACCUGUAGCUACUUUUGGGGGAGCCAAGUCGUUCGUGGGGAGGGCUGCGGUGGUGGCCGGACGACUGCCACGCCCACUGGCAGCCACUGACAAUAUAGAACAUAAUUAUAAUCAUUGCGGCCAUGGUCUCAAUUGUAAUUAUAAGUAGGAAACUAAGCCAUCUCCCUCACCCAUCCCCUUCCAACACCCACUGGCAAUGCCCGCGAGGUUGAGCGCUCGACAUUUUACAUACAACAACGCGCACGGAGGCAAAUUUCCAUCGUGGCCCCGCAGCAGCAGCAGCACAGGGGGAUGGAAGGAUGUAAUGGGAAUGUCUCAUGUUCAUGUCGCCUUCAAUUAAAACUUUGAACAAAUUGCCAGCAAUUUGUGCGCGACUCGGUUAAUUGCUGGAAGGGUAUCACAGAAAGGGCACUGCCAGAGUUUGACAUGCGAACUUUUCAACAAAUUAAUUGUUAUUAAAAAACUCAUAUAAAAUCAAAUCAAUGUGAAUAACAACACUUUGCCGGGUUACACUCGAAAUUUGCAUACGAGCAUAUUGAUUACCGAUUUUGUUGCAUAUUCCCGACUUACAGCGUGUAACAAACUAACAAACAUGAAAAUCAAAAAUCAUAUUUUAAACCAAAAAUAAUUGAAGUAUCGGCAUAGGCAGUGUAUGCUCGUAUAUUUUUACAAAUGAAUACUCGGUACACAUAAAAAUAUACACUCAAAUAGAGUGUGGAAGCGGAAUCGACAGUGGGUUGAUCCAGCCAAACGAGAUGUGCGUAUAUAAACACAAGUAUAACCAAUCAAAAAUCCAAUUAAAAUUGAGGAAAAUUCGAUUUGCAUGUAAAAUAUGGAGAAAAAAGAAGCGAAGAGAUGAGAAGACGAGAAAGGAAAAGCAACGAGCAUGGGGGGGGAGGGGAAAACAUAAAAAAUAUUUGCUGUAUGUGAAAUUGAAAAGCCCGAAAAAAGGGCAGCCCGACACCGAGAACAGAGAACUCUGUUAGCAUUGGAUUGAUGUGUGCUCGAGAGGGAGAGACGGAUCUGGCAGUGGCACUGUGCCACUGCCGCAGCCACAACCAGCACUGGUGGCACUGCCGCCAAAUAAAAAAAAAAAACAAAAAAGCAUGCGGCUUAAAAUGCAAAUAAUAAAAUAAAACAAAUUUUGUUGCUUAUAAACGUGCGGCAUUUACACACAGCAAAUAUUAUUCCGGCAGGCGUGUAUAGUGCUUGGUGUUGUCGUUGUUGAGGGAAAAGGCUCCUACCGAACGUUGCACAAACACAAAUAAGAAACGAGAACUGGAAGCAAACACAAAUUGAUUUAGACGGGGGGAGUUUCAUACACUGAAACAACAUUUAAUGUCUCAUUUUCAUAACUUAUAACAUAUAUUCUCCCUCUCUCUCGUUCUAGGUAAGUCUUGUCUAUCAUAUAUCUAUUCCGGUCAUAUCUAGAAAUAAGCUCGCAGUAAGUUUAUCGUUUAAUAAAUAUAGAACAACCAAAUCUUUCAUAUGUACGUUACGCUUUUACUUCUGCAACGUUCACUCUUUCACUCCUUCGAUUUUCGUCCUCUCAGUGUUGAACAUUUCCUUGCUGUUUCUGCAUUUGUGUUAGCUCCAUUUGAGAUACUUUUUUUCGGGGCUAUUAUGUGUGCAUUUGACACAUUGCAUUUUUCCAAAAUUCCCUGAAAUUGAGUUGGCCUGAAAUGGCAAUUUUCGAUGUAUUAAACACUCUAUUAUACGGCCAGGUUUUGUCGAUUUAAUUAGUUUAUUAUUUGCAUUGUUGAGAGUGUGUGGUUACUCUUUGUGGGCAUGUAUGUAUGUAUGUGUGUUUAGGGUUUGUUGAAAUUUUCUAAUAAUUAUUAUUUAUGUGUUGUUAAUGCUUUUAGCGACUGCGAUUUUUAGCUCGCUUAUAAUUUUAAUUGCAUAUUUUUCUGUCCAAUAUCACUGUGUGGCUGAGUGUUAAUUAAUUUUGCGACUGUAACGAUGUCAGUUGCAGGUACAGUUUCCAAUGAAAGCGAGGAUCGUCACUUUUUAAUUAGACUUCAGUUUCCAAUUAAAUAAUGCUCUUGCAGUAAUUAAAUUUCCAUUUUUGCGCGCUCGUUGCUUACUCCCUCUGUUAUCCUUCCAACCCCAUCCCAGCGCCCGAGCUGCAUGUAAUUUGUACAAAAUUAAUUAGAAAUGUUUCCCCUCCCCACCGGCUGGAGAAGAAAUCAAAUCAAAUCAGAACUGUCGUGCGCCAAGAAAAAUAACUCGAGGUAAAUAAAUAAUUGAAUUCAUUAGGCAAAUGAAAAACUCUGUCACGAAGUCUAGAGACAGAUAAAUAUAAAUAGAAACACAGAGAAGGACAAACUCGACUAAGAAACCGAAACUCAACUCGUAUUGACCUAAAUCCAAGGGAUAUCCUCUCCGACAGUCGCCUGCCAUGACUGUUAAAAACGUGAAGACAAAUACAUAAAAUACCAGUCACCAGUCCAGGCCCCCGCCCCUGCAGUGCGUCACGCCCUUCUCAAGUUCGCUGCUCUUUUACGGCUGCUCAUUAGUGACGAAAAUCGAAGAACCCGACUAAAAACUAACAACGAUAAUAGCACAUACUCUGCCUUCGUACUCCUAGUACCCAUCGAGGGAGCUUCAUCAAAGGCAGAACAGGAUAUCAAGGAUAUAUGUAUAUAGGUAUAGUCACACAUGUACAUAUGUGCAGUAGGAGAUGUGGGGAAAAAAUACGAAAAAUAACAAUGGCCACGACAAGGAAGCAAACAAUGCGACAGAAAUAAUACAUAGAGGGAGGGAGAGACAGGAAGCCUGAGGAGUCCACUCUCAUACGCGUACGCGUCUAUUGUGGUCACAUUAAAGGUGUGCUGUGUGGUUAGGAGCCGCUCACUCUGUGUGUGCGUGAGCCUGAAUUUUUGCUAGUUUCGUAGUAGAUAUAGCAUCAUGUUAACAAAAGCAGCGCCACAGGGAUGGGAUGGUGGCAAUGUACAAGAACAGUUACAGCUAAGGGGAGAAAAGGGUGUUUAGGGUGGGGAUGGGGAUGGGGAGGAGGUGUUACAUAAAUCGAUUCGAUUCCAUGCGAGCGAGUAUGUUGGGCAGAGAGCGAAAGCGUAAUCAUUGAGAGGAAAUGUCAUAUGCGGAAGUGGAAGGUUGGAAUAUGUAUCUCAUUAAGUUGUGAUACCCGCUUGAUUGAUGUUAUCCAAUUAUCUGGCAUAGCUGAAGCACCCCCAGCAGCAGUACCACCAGCACCACAACACAUCAAACCCAGAGCAAAAUCUGUCCAGCUCGAAUUCCACCACUAAAUUGCAUUGCAUAGUUAUAAGCUGAAAUUAGCAAGAAACAAAACAGGCCAAAAGAGCAUUGCGCUAGAGGAGAGGCUCCUCCUACUCCUCCUUCUCAAACAUAGACAUGCUACACGCUUAAUUAUGCAGCAAAUUAGGCCCAAGAGGGGGGAGAGGACUGCAGAGUGCUGUAGAAGGUGGAGUCGGUGUCUGGAUGCAGAGAUGAUGAAACGAAAUUUUGCAUUAUGCAUGGAAAAUAUGCAGUGCCAGCAGGCCAAACUCUGCGAGGCCAUGCUCCAUUACACGUCAACCAAGACGACAACGACAACGACAACGAAGAACUUGGCCACCUAGGCACCCAGACCAAGCCAGCUGCAACCCUCUCAGAGGGUAGACUUUAUUAUUAAAUCCGAAAACUUAAACGCAUGUGGAGGAGAAGGAGAAGAAGCAGGGCAGAGCAGAGCAAAGCAAAGUCCUCUGGCUGGUAGCUCUCUAGAGUGCACUCAGUGCACAGUGAGUUAUUAACACGCUUUGCCACAUUUGCUGCCGAGCUAAUGUGGCUUGGUUUAGUGGCUACCCCGGCAGUUCUCCUCUGCCUCUGUCUGUGUCUCAUUCUCCUUCUCCUACUCACCGUUUCGGGGGCCAUGCUCCUGUGCCUGUCAUUAUGCUAAACUAAACGGCAGGCAGUGCUAGAAUUUGCACCCGCAACCAGGUGGUCUCCAUACCCCCGUCCCAGACCAGCACAACACAACCCCCUUUUUGCACGUGCUCUUGCCAGGUAUAACGGCAACAUUUCCGUUGCAGCUUCCGCUGCUGCGAGCGCUUUAUAAUUAUUUCGCCUGGCGGGCCUUCAGUGGAUGGCAUAUGCUGCCUGUUGCCAGGAUUGUCAGAACAUGUACGUGUUGCACGUUGCAAGUGUGUGUGGGUUGAGGGAGAGGGUGGAAGACGGCGGGAGUUAUAAGCUUCAUUAAGCAUAUGUACAGAACGUUGUAAGCUCUCUCUCUCUCUCGCUCUAUCUCUGUCUCUCUAUAUUUAUAGGGGUAUCUGAGUGCCUCGCUGUGUGAGUUGCAUUUAAGCAUAUAUUUGGCAAAAGGAUUUGUCAUUAACGCUAAAACUUCUACACACACGGGGAUGGAUAAUUAAAUGAGGGUUAAUGAAAAUUUUAAUUGCUGCCAACUCAAGUUCAAGGAAUAUGCAUAUGCCUUCCCUACAUACAUAUGUGAUAAGUCCCCUUAUCUGGAUUCGGCUCACUUUUAAGGCCAAUUCUGGCUGACAUUUCUAUUAAAAGCCAUCAACCCAUGGUCGCCUCAAAUUGCUUUGACCUUUGUACACCAGAUGCCACUCUCCGUACUCCGCCUUCUCAGCGAACCCGCUCAUAACUCUCUCCGGGCUGCGACUGGAAUGGAAAAAUUCUUCCACACGCACAUUAAGUCACGUUUUCGCACCAUUAACCCAUAAAGAACGAAACUCAGAGCAGGAAAGAGUGUGCGGGGAUUGCGGGCAACUGAACCAAGAAGCAGCAAAAGAUUUACAAAUAUUGAACUUUUGCUGCUGGAUGCUGGGCUUUCGAGUCGUAAAGCAGUCACAAGCAUAUUUUAUAGAUUUUAAUAUGCGCGCUACAUAGCAUCACCCCCAACCAGCGUCACCCCCGGCCCAAGAAGAACCACCCAUGAUUUCUGCCUUUUAAAGUCACGCCGAAAAGUAGGCAAGGUUUUUUUCUCGGCUGAUUUUUUCACCCUUGUCAGAUACCUCCGCGUUUCGUUUCGUUUAGUGACUUUUCUCUCCCCUCCAUGCCUGACUGGUGCCAUGCCCCCUGACAGGGUGUCAACGUGACUCGUGUGUGGUGGGGAAUGUGCGCCUAAAAACCCACUUGAUAAGGGUUUAUCAAUGCGACACAGUAACUUAGUGAUUUACUCGUGUGUACGCAGACUUUUUUCUCAUUUUUUUAAUUUUGAAAAUUGAAAAAGUGACUUUUGCUUUCUUGACUCCAGAGAUGCUGUCGCUUCCGGGUGCCCCUGGGGCUUAGGCUGGGUUAUGGAAAUGUAAUUGAAACUGGCUUGCGAGCGGAUCUUUUGGGAUUAAAAUAUAUAUACAUAUGUAUAUCCUUGUAGCCUCUAUCUGAUGCUUUGCCUGUUCAGCUUCAACUAUCUCUCAUUGUAAUCACCAUUGACUGCUCUCUUCAGGAAACUCUCUUUUGGCAACUAUCACUUCAAUCUGGCAACUCACAAAGUUGCCAAAAAUGCUUGAGGCUCUCAACGGUCACCUCAUUCCCCCAUAAACGAUUUCAAUCCUCCCUCACAUACAGAAAAAAAGGGCAGAAAAUGUUGUGCGAAAAAGCGCUUUUCAUCUUAUGAAAUCAUUUUUGGCUCUCAAUGAUUUUGAGCGCCCACACAAAGAAGAAACCAAGAGAAGAGCGUCAGAAAGAUACACCUGCAUAAGCGGGACAGAGUUGCCAAUGCUUUUUAAAAUAAAUAACAGCAUGCACACAGAGAGAGAGAGAGAAGAAGAAAGCAAAUAAAUUGGUUUCGUAACCGCAAAAGCCAAACGAGCUCAGUGAAGAAGGAUGAGGAAGGGGAAGAGCACUCACGCUCUCUCACACAUCCAUUCAAUUCAAUCAGACAUCAAGCAUAUACAAUUUUCACUCGCAAGAAUUAUACAAUCAAUGGCUUGGCAGAGAGUAGACUAUCCAGCUCAGCUCAGCCCCGCAACCCCACCACAGCUGUCCCACCUUGGGUGCUCCAGGAUCUUUCUGGAAAGGAAAUAAAAUGCGGCAGGCACGUUGCAACACUAUUACUUAUUUCGUCGAGCACACAGACAGGCUGGUUCCCAGGCAGUGGCACAGGCUGGGGCAGAGGCUCAGACGACAAGGACGACGUCUGACUGAAAUGAACUACGUUUGUUUGUGAUUGUGUGGUCGUGCCUGUGCCAGUGCCCAGGUGAAAGCAGGCAGGAUCAGAGGUGAGCCGGGGUGGCUUGGCAGUCUAAAAAUGCAAUAAUCUUUCAGCGCCGGCGUCGUCAGCGUUUAAACGUGACUUUUAAGCAUGAUGUUGUAAUAUUUUAACCUGACUAAGAAAGAAGGAAUGUAAACGGAGGACGGUACAGAGAGAGAGAGCCACAGGACGAGGGUUGCUGGUCCAUUGUGUGUAUGGCUGCAAAAUUGUUACAAAUGCCCCCAGCGUGCAUUUUAUGGCCAGUGCGAUAAAUAAAAUGUUGCAACAAACACAAACACACACACUCACUGUCAGAGAGAGAGAGGGUAGAAAUAUGUGCAAAUAAUAUGGGAGCAGGCCGCUGGCAAAAGGUAGUAGUACUCGUCCUACGGUCCACAGCUGCUCUUCUCCUCCUGGCUGGCAGGCAGUCAGACAAACAAUAACAUAAAUUUCGUUAGCUAUUUUAUUUUGUGGCUCCACUCACUAUCUCUCUCUCUCUCUCUCUGUGGCAAGUAAUUGUGCAAUAUGUUUUCGAGGAAGACUGGGAGGAAUGGAAUAGUAGGUGCAGCCUUGACCAGAAUGUGAAGCGGGGCAGGGAGUGGGCAGGGGAGUUGCUAAGUAGUGGGAGUUGAGCGAAGAUUAGGAGAGACUUGAAGGAAAGACUUUAAAUUCGGGCUAUUUCUCUGUUCACGGGUUAAGGGACCGUUAAGCUGCUAAAUGUUUUGCCUACUUUGUCUGUCAUUACAAUUACUGUUGGCCAUUCUUCUUCAGAAACGGACUCAGACUGCGCUCUCCUUCAUGUUGUUAUGUUUUCUGUUCCUUCUCUGCUGUGUUCUCUCUUUUAUGCGUAAUUGUAAUUGCAAUGGCUUCGAGGGUCCCUGCCGUUCCAGCGCCUCUCUGCUAUCUAUCUUGGACGGAAGCUUAGACAAGUUUGCUGCUAAGCCAGCAUAAGACCCGCAAGCAUUUCAUAUACCAGAACGGAAAAGGCAACAAACUACACAACUUGCCUGUGUAUUUGUGCACUCGCAAUAUCUGUGCGUUGUUCUCUCUCGUCCUGUCUCUCUAUCCCUCUCUUUUUCUCUCUCUUUCUCUCUCUCCCUCUCUCCUUCUCCCUCUUUCUCUCUCUUUAUCUCUGUGCUCUGUGCUCUGUUUCUGUUGUUAUCGUUGUGGUUGUGUUUGUCUUAGUUAAAUGCCGUAAAGCGUAACGGGGCAAACGAGGCUGAGCCAGGGACUGCAUUGAGUGUGGCUUAAGUGUUCAUCGACUCAACCGCAGCAGAAACUCUUCCUCUCUGGCUAUAUCUCCGAAGCUCUCUACCAACCCUGCGACCAUCCCUUCCCAGCUGUCAAUAGUCUCGGGUCUGCUGCAAGUUCAAUUAAUUGCGCGCAACGAACAAACAAACAACAGCAAUGCAGCAGCAACAACGACGGGGAAAGGCAACCACAAAAAUUAAAUUAAAGUAGAGCGCACAUUGUCUUCCCUCUCGCACUCGUCUGGCCUCUCUUCCUGCUCCCUUACUCUUCCCUUCGCUAGUAUAAAUGAGCGAUGUGCAUGGCGAGAGUUCUAAAACCCUUUUGUUUGCUUGUGUGAGUACGUGUUGGUACAUACUUGCAUAUACAUACAUAUGUAUGUAUGCUCUUUCGUUUGGGGCUAGAUGAAGACGUAUGGUUAUUGUGAUGACUUGGAAAAUUGAUAAAUAUUGCACAACAUACACACACAAAUACUAUACACAUGCACCAUAAAGCACACUUACUCAAAAAAGAGAGGGAGAGAGUGAACAAAAAUAUAAUUUAAUUAAAAUGUUUCAUGUAAGACAUGUUUAUUGAACCAUUUUCUCUCAAAACUUCCCAUAGCAAUUUGAUUGACGGACCUGACUUGGAUGUUGUUGUUGUUGCACAACCUCUUCUUUCUCUUAAUAGGGCUGUUGCAGGUGUUGAAGAGUGUCCCAAGCCCCAAGUUUUUUAUUGAUUUCUUGCCUUGACAGUGUGUGUGUAAUGGUUUGUGCGUAUCCAUACGUAUGGAGAGGCUUGAGGGUUGAAUAUGUUGAGAUUGAACAGAACCAUCUUUUUCAAUUAGCAAGGCACUCAUUCAGGUGAGAAAAAUCUAUGAUUGAGAGCCUUGUUUAUCAGAUCUUGCUAAUAUAUUUGAAGUUUUCCCCAAAUCGUUGUACAUAUUUCUGAUGGAUUGUUCAACGGAAGUAUUCAAGUUGGCAAGUCAAAUAAAUUAAUCAUCAAAUCGGACACAUUUCUGAGGACUGUUCUUACUUUAUUAAACAUUAAAUCGUAAUAUACUGUUCCAUUGUUGUGGUAAUUUUGAUGCCUUUGGCAAUAGGCCUUUCUUGUUGGUAUUGCUAACAUUUAGAAACUGUAUUUAUACUUUAGCCUUAUAUCUAAUAUUAUAUGUAUCUAAAAACAAUUAUUUCCAUAUCUGUCGUGGUUGUCGUGUAUUUUAUAAUAUUACCUAUACUCGUAUCUCAUGCGUAUAAUACUAUAUACCCCAAAAAAAACAUUACUAUAUAUCAGUUAUCAGACUUUGAUGCUUUUGAACAUCAGCAAUGAAUUACUCGUACUCUUAUAAAUUGUCAAUUAAUUUGCUAUGAUUUAUCUAACACCCUAGCUAUACCCUUACACUCCCUUUAUAAAAUAAUCAAUUUAUUCUGUUCGUUUUUCCUUUUCCCAUUCCUAUAAAGUUUUUAUAUCUCAGUGUUAUUGGUCCUUGAUGUUGUGAAAAACUCAAAAAGAGUGGAGACAAUCCAAAAAAAUCUGAAAGUGUAUGCUAUAUGUUGUGCUAUAUCUACAUAUAUAUUCCAAACCAACCACUGCAAAACAACUUCAAGCAAGCAAAACAAUUUUUCCAAUUCGUUGCAGUAUGACACGUAAAUAUUUGUUGUGCGUAAGUUUUCCGUUGCUAAUUUUCCGUAGUGCAAACAACGAUGAAACCUAAACUUAAAUGCGUUGGAAAAAAGACAGAUAAACAAUUAAAUUAAUUAACAAUAAGCGACAACAUUUUCAAAGUAAAUAAUUAAUUUUUAAAGUCCACAAAUAAGAAACAUCCAAUCAGAAAAAAAACCACUGAGAUAAUAAAAAUUUUAUUUAUUCUUACUUUUUCUCUUUCUUUUUUCUGCUCUUCUCUUUCUUUGCGCAAAAACUUUAACAAACCAAAAAAACAACCAUAAGCUACCAUAAAUUUGUACACAAAUUUAGCAAACGUCGUGACAAGCUGGAAAAAGGCAGCAUUCAACUAAAGACAGCAGCCGAUACCGAGAAGAUGGUCGACGCCAGGGCUAGGAGCCUCGACCACACAGUAACUAAAAAAUUAACCAAAUAAAUAGAUGUCAGCGGAUCGAUUAAUGAGAAGUAGUGCAAUUGGCUGAGCUUUAAAAGCAUCAAAGUUUGUUACUGAUGUUAACUUAGUGUAAAUCAUAGUCGAGCGAUCAGUCCUUACCUAUCCUAGGUCUGCCUAAAAGAGUGCCUCAUAAAGAGCUUUGACCUCUCAAGUCCUUCAGCUCAAAUCGGCAAAGCUAUGCGGAGCUCUAACACUACCACAGGGAAAGCUAAAAUAGGUUAUUAUUAAUACAAAAUAAACACACAAAAGCCAGAGAACGAACCAGAAUAAAAUCCAACAAAAAGUAAGCAUUUUUACUAAUACUCAAAAAUUAAGAUAGCUCUUUAAUUAGAUUUUAGUAUUUAACGAUGAUUAUUUACAAUGCUCUGACCCGAUGGCGAUUUAUGAGCCAGUCUUUUGGCCAAUUCUGGCCAUCUCUGGCGCGAAUGGGAUAGCUGGGCUCAUCUACGAGGAGUUAUGAAAGCGGCACAGACCACCAUAUAAAUGCGAGAGGGUUGGAGGACCGGAGCUCUGCCUAGAGCUCAUAAACUUAAAAUUCCGCUUUAUCGCGGUAUCGCGGAUGCUCAGCUUUCCCCUUAUAAUAUAAACAUAGGUUAUACUAGAGAGUACGAGUAUGAGUAUAUGUAUAUGAAAUAAAAAACAAAUCUGCACGCACAUAAAGCGCCAGCCACAAAGAGGACCCUCCCCGGGUGACAUUUCCCUCUGUUUCUCUAUCCAUUCUCUUCAUUCUCCCCAUUUUCCCCCUUUCCACUCAUUCUCUUUCGCUUUCCUUUCUUUAAACAUUUCACGGGGUCGGACGGACGGUGGACACUUUUAUGCGUUUGAAAUGAAAAUGCCAUGUGCCAUUAACAUUAUCCCUGACGCGUCACUACUUAAAAUAAAAAUUUAUAUAUAUUUUAUAUGUAUAUAUGUACAAAGACAGCCAGAGAGAACACCUUUUGGUCGUGGCUCGCCUUUUAUAGCCAAUUUCUGGUUACCCACACCCACAGUGUGCAGCCAAUUUCAUGUCAAACUGCACCAGCAGCACCACCACCAUCGCAAAAUGAUAAUCCCGCGGUCGUAAAAAGAAUUUUUACUUUAUAUUGACUUUUAGUGUGAUAGUAGAGGCAGCUGAGAAAAAAGCGGAGCCAAGGUGCACAUGAAAUGUUAAUGGCAUGUCAAGAUUGUCCUUCCACAAAGCACAGGGAACACACAAAUGUUUUGCCACCUGCAACAAGAAAUGCAAAUGGAAAGGAGCCCAAGGAUGAUUUUAAAGGCUCCUUUUCUAUAUCUUAUUUGCCUAUGCCCAUUUCAUUCCCCAGACACAGGAAAGUUGAUCCUUUCCAAUAUUAAUUAACACUUCAAUACCACAACACCAAGAAGGGAGCGGAGCGCAGAAGCCCAAGACAAAGUUUUGCCUUCUGCCUGUUUCCGUUUGGUCUGCCGCUGACUUUUGGCCCCAACCAAACAAAAACUUUUGUGCCUAAAAAUGUGACUAUAGAAAUGUCUGCCACUGUACAAACCCACAAACAAAGUCACGCUGACACUAAUUAACAAUUAGGCGCAUUUUAGCGGCAUUUCCCCAGCCUUCGUUCUUCUGAUUCUUCCUUUCCAUCCUAGAGGCUGUCAGCGACUUGAGCAGGAACUUUGUGAACUACUUACAAGGCUAAUAACUAAUUUACUUCUGACUUUGGAUAAACUCCAUUCCACUUUUCAUUAGCCGGGUUCAGCUGUAGUGUCAUUUGCAGGGUUUGUCCCCAGCCUACAGUCGAGUUUUACGCUUAUUACUCAAGAAUUUCAAACUGACAAAUAAACACGUCUCUUAAAGUCGGAAAGUAGAAAGUCAGAAAGAGACCCACAGGAUUCUCCGCCACAAUGGCAACAAAAGCCACCGAGCACAGGCCUUGCACUUUUCGGUUUCAACGUCCUCCGGGGGGCUGGAAAAUGCCUGCCUGACGUCCUGACUUAUCUCUAGUCAUAUAUAAGCGUCAAGUUGUCCACGAGACGGAACGUAAUGGAAUGGGACGACUCGGGAGACUUUUAAGAAUUGCCACACAAUUGUCGAGAAACGACACCAACUGCUAGCCUCCGUCGCCGUCCCCGUUCACGUCUUCAUAUCCGGACCGUUCUGGGAGUCAUAAAAGAAAAAUUUAGCUUAUUUGCUGUAUAAAUACUGAGACCUCCGACGCUUUGGCUGUGCAGGGAUGGUCAUCCCUUCCCUUUGUCUGUCUGAGUGCCAUAAAAAUGGGAUGUGGCCUGCAGCGACGCUUAACUGUGUCCCCCUAUCCAGAUGAGAUGAAGCAUAACAAUUGCCGGUAAUAUUUAUGGAACAGCAGCUGAUGCUGAUUCCGGAUGAUUCAGCCCCUACAUAAGGCAGAAAUCUAUAGGAAUCAUUUGCAUUUUGAAUAUAUCUGAGAGUGGAGUUCCUUCCUCCAGGACCUUUCCAUUUCUAUCCUGAUCUAAGAAUCUGUGAGAUUUUUACAUUAGCCUCGUUACAUGUCAAAUGAGUGUCACUAAUUACAUAUUAAUUAGUUUCCUUUUACCAGGCACUCCCACUCCUCCUCCUCGCUCAUCCAGCAAAGCAGGCACAUCAUCAAUCAAACAGACAGAGAGAGAGGGGUCCACUAAUAAAAUAUAGAAAAAUGCAAAUGAAAAACUACUCAAGUCCGGGGCUCAGACUGUUGCCCUUCACUUAAUCAAUGUACAUAAUUCUAAUUAAAUUUUCAUUACCAGCAGAAAGGAAAAACAUCAACAUAAUAGCAGCAGCUGUGGCUGUGCUGGCUGUGCUGAUGUAAGCGUUUGGGGAAAUAUUAAGUAUACGGAUUGGUGCUCAUUUACCCAUUUCCUGCCUAAGUAAUUACAAUUUCAAUAAUUUAUUGGAAAAUAAACGUAGUCGAAUGCACUGGCCAGACAACUCCAGAUACAAAGAUACAAACCAGCAUAAGCAGCAGCAUUAAAUGGAGACGUUGAGACUAUGAUGCCUUCACAUUUCAAUCAAUUUUUGCCAAGCAAAUAUUAUUCGAAACCAGCACUCAUGUCCCACAAAGUUUUGCAAUCAUAACAGAGAGAGAGUUGAGAGCAAGCAAAUCCCCAGAAAAUAAUUAAUAACUUAAAUAUGUUUGCAUUGCAUUCUGAGCUAUCUGGUGUAAUCAGAUUAAGGCCUUUUCAGAUAUGAAUUGGUCGCAUUAUGGCAGGAUCUCAGUUGUCAGGUCCUAGCUCCUUCUCCGAGCUCUGACUAAGCUGUGAAAAUUAAUGGAGUAUUUAUUUGUUUGCUUAAUGAUUUAUUAGCUGCAAUCAGAGGCCAGACGCCUCGAAUGCCAAAGGGGUUUGCAGACAAUAAUUUAAGCCAUGGACAGGAAAAUUCCAGCAAUGUGAAAGUUGUGGCAUCUUCUGCAUUCAUUCACCAACAGAAUCAACAGAAACUCCUUCAUUAACCUGCCCUAAUUUAUUCUGCUUGGACUCCUUCUUCUCUUCUCUUCUCUUCUCUUCUCUGCUUUGAGUGCCACGCUCUGGGAUUGAGAACUAAUCCUCAGACGCUCAUUAGCAACCAUUAAAUGUCAAUUUACAUGUCAAUUGGCAACGGUGCACAGCAAAACAAGCCACCCUGCCAGCCAUCCAGAUAGCCAGCCAGUUGGUACAGUAAAAAAUAGAAUAAAGAACAGGGUGGGAAUGAGACAUGUGCUUUGAGCUUUGACUCUUGCGUUGUCAGCGACUCUCGGUUUAGUCUUUUUUUUUCCUCUGGCGCCGCUGUCUCCACUGUCUCUACAGUUUUUUGUAUAAUUUAUAGAGGCAACUGGCGCUUCCACCUUUGGCUUUCGCUAGGUCUUAAAAUACAAUUACGUUCCCCCCGGGGGAGGGUGGGGGGGGGCAAGGCAGCACAAAGGGAGAUAAGCAAAAACAUAACAUGCAACAAUUAGUGGCCUGUCCUUGCCUCCUGCCGUGGCACAUACAAAAGUUGCCAUGUGGUUAACUAAUUUAAUUUGGUUUUCUUUUUGCCUGUGCCACUCGACUCGGUUCUACAAGCCCCCUGCCCAAGCCAUCCUUUGACGACAGCAUCAAAGACAACGACACGUUAAUGACUUAUUUUGCCCCUUUGCCUAGGCAACAGACAACGAGGAUAUGGAACGAGAGGAGCAGGCAUGAACAUAAAAUCUAAACACUGCCACACAUGGCCGGCAAAGGAAUCACGAACAAGGAUGGAGACCAGGAGCCACUUAACUUGUCUAUAUGAGCCUAAUGGCCUUUAAUAUUAUUUUCACUGCUCUUUCCUUUAGCUCGAGGAGACCGAAAAAAAAGAAGCGACACGGGAAGGAGCUGAAAAAAACUGAAACAGCCAAAAGGGAAUCCCUGAAAGCCCUGUGUGCAUUUUAUCCCUGCCGGUCGCUCGGUCGGUCGCUCAGUCGGUCUCUGUCGUUGGGCCCCAGGUAAUUGUAGAAAAUUGCUGCAACGCCAGGCUAAACAUUGUGCAAAUCCUUUUGUCCUGCUCUCGUGUCUCCUCUGUCUACUUGGCUCUAUUUCCCCCUCUUCAGUCUAUGUAUGCUCGUUCCUUAGCCACCUUUCGCUCUCUAACUCUCUUUGGUUUUUUUGGCCGCAACUGUUAACAGCCAGUUGAACUAUGCCAUUUCAUAUGUACAACAGCAGGCGCCGCAAAGCAUGCUGCAUUAUUUUUACCAUUUCCCAGCCAGCCCCUGACCAAUGCUUCUCAUCCCGUCUGUUCCGACCCAACCCACUCUCAGCCAACGUGCUUUACAUUUUUAUUAAGCCAACCCUUUUCUCCUACUCCUCUUCGUUUUGUUGCUUAGCAUGCCAGGAGCGCUGUUUGGCUUAUUGCACGUGCUCAGGGUGGGGCGAAAGUGUAAAAGGCCAGAACGGGACCCAAAUGCCAUUAGGCUUAACCCGGACACAAGACAAUUGCCUGCAGGCCAUGUGUGCAUGCAUGGGUCCAACGUGUCGUAUUAGUUAUUUUCUACUUCGAUUGCUUUUGCCACUUUAGCGCGACAGCAGCUGUGCGGCGGGCUCCUUGUCUACCCGUGCAAGGACUGCCCGUGUGCCAAGUGUUUUGCCAAUUAUGUGAUGCUCAAUUUUCGAUAUGAUACGUAAGGCCAGACCUCAGAGCUCCAAAUAGAAGCUUAAAUGGUGUUUGGGCUUCCAAAGGGUAAGGGAAAGGAUUGGAAGCAGUCCCCAAUCUGGGUCUAUCCUUCCAAGCACAUCCCAGUAGAUUAGACUUAAGCGAAUCUAUUGAUCCCCAUUUUCCUCCCUUUGAACCGCUUUCUAGUAUAGUCUAGUCUAGACUAAGUACUCGGUAGUCCGUAAGUAUAAUUAAGCUAUGCAUUUGUUGAUUCCCAGCAUAUAUUUACCAUAUAUUUUCCAAGUAGUGGCUAACGUUUUCUAUUCCCCCUCAAUGUCUAUCCUUAAUUCCGUAGCCAGCUCGUAAUUGUGUGCGUGCCAGUGGCUGUUCUAUAUAUAUUUAAACAUACCACCAUACCGUAUACGUAUAUACAUAUCUAGCCAAUUAUUACUGUCAAUCAUUUGACAAUUUCUAUUCUCGUAAGUUAUAAGUUAAACAGAAACAAAAAACAAAUUUGUGCGAAAACUUUAACUAAAUAUCACCCAUUUUUGUCUUCUUUUCUUUCCUUUUUAUGUAACACUUGUACGUGCUCUGUAACAAAAAAAAAAUAUAUAUGAUUGAAAACGGAAAAAAAUAUAUACAUCAAAAUUGGCAAAAAUUGGAAAACUGACAAUUCUUCUACUUAUGAUUUUCCGAAAUUUCUGUAUUACUUUCCUUUUAUUUGAUUUGUUUCGACUCGGUUUGAAUUUUUCUAAAAACAAUAUUUUUCUUUCUUGAUGCAACAAUUUCCUCAAACCAAAACAAAAUAAUUAUGAAAACCAUUUGUUCCGCUUUUAAUAAUCCAAAUUUAUAAUUCCUACCCAUGACCCGAACCCCGUUACCCCACAUUAAUAAAUGUUGUAAAUGUAUUUGCUCUAUUGGUGCUCAAAAUAUCCACCCGAAACACCAACAAAAAUCUCUCGUUAACUAAAUGUUGUUGCUUUUACUUUUCUUUGGGUAUUUUGCGCCUGUUGAAAUCUUUGAAAUUAUAAAAAAACUCACAAUUACAUAAAUGUGCCUGCCUCGUUCUCGUUACUCGUUACAAAAACAAAAACAUACAACAACAAAAAAUUAACUAAAAAAAAACGAAAAUAUAUGUGCCACGUAUUAUGUAACCUUGUUACAUUUACAUUUGCAUUCCUAAAUAUGAUACAAAUACAUAUACCAAUAUACAAAAAAAAACAAUGAACACUUAUUCUUUUUCUGAAUUAAUUUUUUGUUUUCAUUUUAAUUUUGUGCGAACAUUUUCUGGCUAUGGGUCCUGAUUAAAAAAUUUUAAUUUUCUAAAAAAAAAUAAAACAAUCGCACACCCACAUUGACACUGCCACAUUGCCAUUUAUCCAUUUUGCUGCCUCUUUUGGUGCCUGAAAAAUCGAAAUCAAUCAAUCAAUCCGAUUCAACUCGAUCGUUUCGAUUCAAUCCGAUCAUAACAUUACAUGAAACAUGAACAAAACAUAACGAAAUCGAAACUGAAACCGAAAACGAACCACAACCAAAAAACCAUAAACCGAACCCAAAAUAGAGCAUCUAGAUCGCAAACUCUUCGUUGGCAUGCUCAGCAAACAACAGACCGAAGACGAUGUUAGACAAAUCUUCCACCCGUUUGGCUCUAUAGAGGAGUGCACCAUAUUGCGGGGCCCGGACGGUACGAGCAAAGGUGAGUACAGCCCCCAGAUAUUUAUUUAUACAUAAACUACAUCUACAUCUAUAUCUAUUGCUAUACUACAUAUUUCCUGUUUCCUUUAUUUAUUUGUUUCUUAUACUGUUUAUAUCAAGUAUACGUAACGUGUUCAGCUCGUUAUCCGUUGUAAUUGCCAGUUUUAUUCCAUUGAUUGAUUACCAAUUUUGCGAUUUUGUUGAACGUGACUUUUGGUAUUAGUUUUGAUUGUGUGUAGAUUAUCUAGCAUCUUUUUAUAAACUGUAUAUUUAGGAAUCUGCAUAUUUCAAGCAUAUCCUAUAGCUGAAACCGAGAAGCACAUUCUGGGCCCUCUGCCCUGGCAAAUGGCCCAGCUGAUAAUGGCCCAGCCAUGUUGGAAGCUGUGCAACGAGCCAAAUAAUCAUUACACACAUAACCCUUACAAUUACAGUGCUCUUGGAUAAGAUCGUGGGAAGGGGUGUGAGCUUCUAGGUGGCAUAAAAUAAAAAUCGGGUAAACAGUUCAAUUAAAGUUGUUUGCUUUUGACAGCGCUGCUCGUUUCACACGCUCGCCAUUUGCAUUUGCCUCUGUUUAUGCGUCUCUAUCUGUGUGAGAGUAUUGUUACUUGCAAAUGCCACUCAUACACACAAAGACAGGGCAUAAAAAAGCAGCGACAGAGAGAGAGAUAGAGCCAGAGAAGGACAGAGUGCGGGAGAAAAGUUUCGUUUGUUUUAAUAUGCAAGUAACUUUUUUAACAAUAACAUUCCAUUUUAUUAUGUCAAAAGUUUUGGUUUUACAAACACAUAAACACACAGUGUAUCUGUGUGUUUGUUUGUAUCUUUGUUAUAUAUAUUUUUAUUUUGCUUACAUUUGCAACAUUUUUGACUGCCGCCUGUUGUGUAUCGUAUACCCCCGAAUACCUCUCCAUUCCCUCCCCGGGUUCGUGUGUAUUUUCAUUUUAAUGUUUGUUAUUUCUGUUCUUUUGUUGGCGUUUAUUGUUGCCAUUUUGAUAUGCAUGAAAAGACACUCGGAAGGGGCGUGUCACGCGGCCAUGUGACACUAUGCAUAGAAAACCACUGCGGAGGGUAGAGAGGAAAACAUAUUUUUUUUGGAUGUUGAAUGGAGAGCGACACAGAGCUCCUGAGAUUGCAGCCCCCAAUCGCUGCUUCAGGCAUUCUUUAAGCCAAACUUGUCCUACGACACAAUAGCGAAAUAAAAUUGAUGCCACAAGUGCCACAAAUUUGAAGUGCUGGAAUAUCUCUGUAGAGGCAUUUCCCGCCCUCCUCGCAGUAAUGCCCCACACAAAUUUUUGACAAAGCCUCCACAUAAUUUGAAACGUAUUUUAAGUUCUAUUUAAGUUUCUAUGUUACAUUCACUUCGCAUCCCGUUGAGUGGGAAAACUAACUGUCGCCCUUCAAGUUCGACAGCUACCGGCGUGCAAAGUUCAAAGCCGCGAAAGCUGUCAGUCGAUAGAGGUGGUUGCGGUAGCGGUGACGGAGCAGUGGGUCGAUUGUGGCUGUUGUGGCUGCGAUGCCAACAUAUCAUUCUUCAUUAAAAUGCGCUUCAAAGUCAGCAGUUCUGGAGCUGCUUUUUUGGGCGGCGGAGACAGAGAAGGAGCAGGCUCUGGGGUGAAGUGACAGGCGCUAGCCUGUGUAAGUGCCAAAAUCCAUCAACGUCAAUGCUUUCUUUCUACCACUUCUCCUCCGGUUUCGUUUCCACGCAGCUCCGCGAAUUAUAUUCAAGUAAAAUCGUGUCAGCUUAGGCGGGGAAAAAGGCAAACAGGGACAAGCGAAAAACGAACGAAGUAAUGAGGAAUGAACAUUGACUGACUGAGCGACCUGCAAAUGUAUGCAAAUGAUGAUGCAUGUGGCAGCAGAAUGCGGUGGCGCUGAAUGGGAGGACAGCCCAACCAACAAUAAUAACCAAGGAGGUGCUCCAUCUGCUUCUGCUUCUGCUCCUGCUCAACUCUGUCCGAGUCGUAGGUGAAAGUGUGUGUGUGUUUGUGUCUGACAGGCAACAGGAAUAAGCGCAACCAUCAUGUUAAAUUAUGCAAAUUCGAUUUCAGUGAGUGAAUGAAAUGAAACGAGGUAAAGGCAAGGUUUUUCUGAGGGAGCGGCUUAAACUGACUUUGAAACUUUUGCCAGCACAAAACACAAAGCAUGUGGUGUCCCGCCACACUGAGCGAAAUUAAACACCAAAUGGGGAUUAGACAUGAACUAGACUGAAAGCGUUUGACACUGGUUUUUUCUCCGGGUGUAAGCAGCCAUAGACACUGGCAAAUUUUCUAUCUCGACAGUGGGCAGGAGGCAGACUCAAGCCCAGACCCAGACCCAGACCGAGACAGAGAUCUGGCCGGGACACUGGCUGGUGGCUCAUUUGAUUAGAAUAUUCAUGCAUGCACUUCAUUGUCAUCAAGGCUUGCAAGGCAGCAAAGUUGUCAUCUCGUCCUACGUCUUGUCAUCUGUGCAAUCAACACAAUUGUGUGUGCCUCCACGUACCCCUUCACUGACUCUGGCGGUAAUCAAAGCAUCCCUUUACCCGAGUAUAUGGCAGCAGCAAGGGGUGUCGUCUAGUGGCAGAGCUGAGCAUUUUGCAUAAGUAGCAGCAUGUGUGUGGAGCUCAGGCCAUGACAGGCCAGGCUAGGACACUGCGGACUGGCUCUUGUUGCUGACAGACAGUUGGCAUAAGUUGACUUUGAAUGCGCCGAGUUGGCAUUGGCAAUGAUGCUCAGAGGCCAGAGGCUUUUCCAGCUUAAAGCGGGCCUCGGCCUAAUCGCUGGAACUGGAACCUGUCAUUAAGUAAUUGCUAAUGGGGGUGAAAUGGUGGCAGAGCAGGAUUUUGGAGAGGCAGUGAAUUAAUAUCCAAAUAUGGCUCCAAAUAAUAUUGAAAAGAUAAAGAAAUUUUCAAGCGAAAAUCUUUGAUUGCCAGAUAAUAUUUACCAUACCGCAUAUCUUGAAUAAGACUCAAUCAACCCACUCAACUCGGGGCAUGGCAUUGUCAAGUUGUGCUGCCAAAAACAUAAAUUGAAUUAAAACGUCGUUUAGACUCAAAAUUAAUUCGAAUGUCUCGCUUUGUCACAUUAACUUUUAAUUGCCGCAAAAGCCAGCAGCAUCGGAAGAGGCAGCAGAAGCAGCGUGUUCUCUUGCAGCUGACAUACAAAAACAAAUUUCAAUUAAUACAACCGUACGCACACACACGCAUGAAGAUGCCAUUCACACAGACACACACACUCGAAGAAACGACAAUAGCAGGCGGAGCUCGCCGUAAGGUAGACUUCGAAUUUCGGCCUGCAUGGUCGUCUAUCAUAUCAAAAGCAGCGCAAACCCCAUAAAUGCCAAUAAUUAAUGUGACAUUUUCGGCGUAAUUGAGGCAAGUAUGCAGCACCAGCAGGAGCAGCAGUGGCAGAAGCAGCAGGCAGCCUGUCGCAACCACACAUAAACUCUCAUAGACACACACACACGGCCAAUGUGCAAUGUAUCUGUCUCUCUGGCUUCAAAGCAUUCCCCAAAACUGAAUGGCAUGCCAAGUGGCAAACUGCUUCUCCACAGCUCACCACGCAUGGCUGGCUAAUUGAAUUUCUGCACAUGCACUGGCAAAAUUCUAUGAGUGAGCUGCAGGCCCGAAAAAAUAACCCCCGAACCCGAAUCCGAGCCUCAACACAAGAACCGGAGUCGUGUGGAGUGUGGAGUGUGUGCAACAAAAUUGUGUCGCCGUUCAGGGCUGUUCAGGUAGGUGAGCUCUGGUUGAAGGGAAAAUGUAUUGCCUGCUAAAAAAAUAACUGAAAAGAAGCUAAGUAGCCUUCACAUAAUUGCUCCGAGAAAAGUUUUUUAAUACCUCUCCGGUGCCUCCGAUGGAGUAUACUCUCCAGCUUUGCCUCAAACUUUCGAAUGACAGUUUAAGUUGUUUUUCAGGCUGUUGCUGAUGCUGCUGCUGCUGCAGCUGCCACUGCUGCUUUUGCUCUACUUGUUGUUUGGCCAACAAAUUUUUACAGGCAGUCAUUGUGGAGAAGCUCCACAAAGCUCUCCUCGCUGGUUGUCAACUCUCACCAGCAAUGGCGCAAACAAAGAUACACAGAUACACAUAUACAUAGAUACACACACUCAGAUAUCAACGUGGCAGCUCUCGCAUCAUCAUUUCAUUUCAAUUUCAAUUUAUAUGAGCAAAGUUUUAUGAAGUGCAUGUCAUGCUGCCUCUCCUGUUGCCACUCUCUGUCUCCAUCCUCAGUACCACACAGACCAACGCACUGCAUUUAUUAAAUUUCAUUUCAUUCCACCAACUCUAUGCUCGUACUCAUGUUUAUUUUACAGCACACUAAAAAGUUCUAACAAGUGCUGAUUGAGAGCGCUGCAAAAACUGUCAAACAGUGCACAACAAAAGCACACAAACACACACAACACACACACACACAAAUUUUGUAAAACUCAAAUUGAAUUUAACGCUUAUGACAUGCGAGAGCUCUGCUUUAAUUUUUUUUACAAUAAUGACCGAGAGUGUGUUGGGAUUUCGGAAUUUGCCGCUCAAGCGUUGUUGAUUGAUUCUGGUGGGGAAAUCCGAGCCCAACCCAUGCCAUUACAUCUAAAAUGGCAAUGCCGAUCUGCCAACGUCAUUAAUGACUCCCCCAGCACGGGCAUAAAUCUGAUUUAGCUGAACUUUCGAUAAUUUAAGUUUCUGGAUCAGUUGCAUAGAGAGUGAGAGAAGCAACACACCCAGGCCUCGUAAAACAUUCCACUUAAUGUGCCUUAAUUAAACAAAACUAGCUCCCUCUCUCUCUCUCUCUCUCUCUCUCUCUCGCUCUGUUGGUGGUCUCUCCAGUCUAUAACUAUUUAUUGUGUGGCACGAAGAAGCAUUUGAACAAGAAUAAGAAAAAAUCGGAGUAAUAAUAAUAAUGUAAGUUGUGGCAUAAGCUCAUAAGUGCCAUUUAAGCCAGAGUCAUCCUUGUUGUUGCUGCGGACUGCUACAGCUGCUGCCGCUGCCGCUGCCGCUGCUCGUAAGCUAAAAGUCCCAGAGUCCUAAAGCCCAACUGCAAAAUGCCACACAGGCCAAGGAAUUAAAAUACAUAUCAAAAAGGAAAAGGAACAAACGCGAACUUUGGCGUACCGUCCAUAGACCAGCCAAAAACCAAAACCAGAAAGCCCAGCCAGCAAACUUUGCCGUCGGAGUCGUUGCCAUGGCCACAAGUCUUUUGUGAGGUCUGAUCUCCUCUGAGCCUGAGUCGCUCUCUCUGCCUCUCACGCUCUCUCUUACUGUAAGUUUGUGUGUGGGCCGCAGUUUAAUGCAGCUUAAAUUUAAUUGCAAUAUAGCAAAACUUUCAUAUGCAGAGCGAACCGAGCGAAACAAGUGAGGGAGAGAGAGAGAGAGAGAGACCACAGCCGAGUCCAAUACAUUUUUAUCACAUACGUUCAACUAGCAACUCCCUCUCACCGUGGCCUGUUUAAUGCUAAUUAACAUGCAACACGCCCGAAACUAUACAACGCAUACUGACACUCGCACAAAGGUCAAGGCAAUUAAGGGUACCCAAGGCUGCGACAGGAGCAGCCGAGUAAGUGCACGGAACUAGCUGAAAUGUGAUAUCCCCCAGCCAAGGGUCAUAAAAAGGAGGGAAUAAGGAGACAGCUACCCUCACCAGAUCAUGCACCACUUAAGCAGAUCUUUGAUCUUGUCUCUAGCCAAAUGUUACCAGCUUUGAGGGGUGACGUGUAUACCCAGCCUCAUGUCGAGGCAAUCUGGGUUUCUUUCCGCAAUUUCGUUUCAUUAUGUGGGCCGCUGGUGGCAAGUGUGCUUUAUUAACACAUUUUGAGGUCCACACACAUAUACAGCUACCACACAAACAUAUACCUAAGAAUAUAACUUUUUUAGUACCCAGCGCCAUCGCCCAUUCCCUUGGAAGGCAGCCCUGAUCUGCCCUGCGUGGACCGGCUCUACCGGCUGGCUGGCUGGCUUUAGUUGUAAUAGUUUAAUAAAGUAGUAAAAGCUGCGGAAAUUAGAUUUGACCGCAACACACGGGCAUAGGAGACCCGAGACCAGGGGAAACUUUGCCGAAGCGCAGCCCAGGAGGUUGGCUCGAAAAAAUGUUGUUCACGACCACCACUGACAGCAAGGGGGAGGAGAAGAGAAACCUUUGGCUUCUUCUGUUCCUUCUUUGGGCUGCAGGAUUCUUGUCAAUAAAAAUGUCCAAAAAGUUUUGGCUUAGCAUUAAACAAAAAGUUGGGGCUGGCUGAGAGAGCUGAUAGCUGAGAGGAUGAAAAGGGUUGCACAAGCAUACUUUGAGAAUGUGUCUGGGGAUAGGCAUAAGAAUGUGGAUAAAGAUGAGGAUGCGGAUAGGGAUGUGCUGCUUAUUAAAGGUCGAGCGGAGCUGAGUCCCAGAGGCAGUGGCAGUUGUUACGGCAGCGGCAGGAAGGAGGCCUUGCAGCAAAUUUAAUUAACUCAGUUGAGCGCGUUCUCCUUCGCUUCGUAUCGUUGGCAGUCCCGGCAUCAAUAAAAGAUUAGUCCUAUCAGCCAUGAAGUAUGGCACUUAAGAUAUUUGUUUUAGUUGCGCAGGAUUAUUGAAAAAUUAAUGCAAUAGUAGCAGAGGCAGCAUAGGAGGAUUCGGAUACGGAUACGAGCUUCGACUGCAAUUAAGCGAAAGCCAAACUGACGGAGACGCUGCCUCCUCCCUACUAAUGGUUAUUGAUGUGCCCGGUCAUAUACUCGUAGAGGCAUUCUAUUUCCUCAGCCAGCACCUGGGGCCCUAAGGUAGGCUUUAAUUUUAAUAAACGCCAUAAGGCAGAAGCCACUGAAAGUUUAUUAAAUUUCAGUCAACGGGCAGGCGCUUCUCUUGUGUCUGCUGUUGGGUGGCAGCUCCUGGGUCCUGCCACCUGUCAGUUGCACAUAUUUUGUUAUUAUCAGGCGCCGAGGCGCGGCGCCAUAGCGUAUGCCACAUACAUAUUCGGAAGCUCAUUUUCUAGCUCAUUGCCGGGGCCAAGACAUGAGCUAAAUUAAUUUAUUCCACUUUUGUUGUUAGACAAUAUCCCGAGCAGCCGCCUCCACCUUUGCCUCCUGUAAGAGGAUUCGGGAUGGGUCUGGAAGAGCAGCGAAGGCAUUUAAUGAAAAUGAAAACGUCUAGAGCCCGAACAGGAUACGAGGCUGCCUCGGUCGCUAUCCUUUUACAAAAGUGAAGGCACAACCUGAUAUAAAAUAAUAUAAAACUGACACUGACGAUGGAACUGCCUGCCCGGGUGGCUGGCUUCCUUAUGGCUUGCUAAGCUGCGUCAAGUGUCGACGAGCCGCCAAGGCUAGGGCUGCUGGGGCUUCCAGACUCGGAGCGCCCAGUAAAACAAAUGUUUAUGUUUAUGCACUUAAAUCCUGGGUUGGUUCUGACAGUUUUUCCUGUGUUCCUUUGAAGUUUCCUUGGUUAAACCUAUUAUAUUCGUAAACCCGAUCGAUAAUGCUCUCCUGCUUUACCCGAACUCAUUGAGAUUUCAUUCUUCUCUCUGUUUUAGGUAAGUGCACAAGGCUUCAUCCUUACAACAGAACACGUGAUCCACGUGGCGGUAAGCAGAUGACAAAACACUAUUUAACCAUUCAUCCAAUGCAAUCCAUACCAGAAGGUAUCCUCAUCAGACCCCUCCUCCAUGCAUACUCCUACUCGUAUGUUACACUUACCAUUUUACACCCCUUCCCCAUGGAGCCAAAAGCCCUUUUGCAAUAUGCAAAUGAACGAGUAUCCCAGGCCUCAGAAAAAUAUUAAGUAUCAGCAUAUUGUCAGGCAACAAUGAAUAACAAUAAGAGUAAACAUACUUUCACAUGUAAUAUAUGUCGAAGGCCAGUCUUUUGCAUAGUGUAAUAAAACCUUUAGGUGCACCCGAAAACCCGAAAAUGCAAUAAAUAAUUUCUAAAAAUGUUGCUUGGAAACUUCACACUUUGGCAGUCCUGUGGCACGAUUAUGAGACGUUGCAUUUUAGCCACAUCAAAUGUACACAGCCUUAGGCCUAAGCUUUUUCCCCUAUGGUUUUUGCUUCUGUUUUGUCGGCACUCAAUCAAAAAUCACAUUUCCGUGUCGGCUGUUUUGGCAAAAGCAAAAAAGAAAAAUGCAAAUAGCACUCGCUCCAACCACACGGCCACACAGAUGAAGCAAAUGUAAUUAAAAUUCGAUAUACUUGUUUUUGCAAAACUGCCCACAGGGAGAAUCAGUAUUGGAGCGGAGUUGGGUUUAGGCCAGUGCAGCAUCAACCCUCUGCCGUGCAGCGGGGCAGGGAUAGGGUGGAGCAAUUCCAUACAUUAUCAUCGUCAGCAUCAUCAUCAUCGUCAUAGCAGUCGCCUUCGUCAGCUUCGUUGCAGGCUGCAAAAUUUGGCAAAAAUUUUAGCUUCAAUUUAAAUUUUUGGUCAGAUUUGCACGUACUCGACUCUGCUUCGUGUGUGUGUGUUUGUAAUUACAUAUACACACACCACACGCACACUCAACGCACACAUACAGCAACACAACCACACAAUUCAUGCAAAUUGAUGUUGCUUUUAGCAUACACAGGGGGAAAACGGUGGAGAAGCCAGGAGCAGCCAGAAAUGGCAACAGGAGGGAGCGUUGAAAAAUAUUCGGUAGUGUCCGUCCUACUUUACUCCGCUCUCGGGCCCAAAACAAUGAAGAUUUAUAAUGCCCUUCUGGCCUCUGCUCCACUCCUCUUCACUCCACUCCACUCUGCUCCACUUCUUCCCUUUGGCCACGGGGCCAAAAGCACUGUAUGCCAUAAUAGCCAUAUAUUAGGGUUCAACAGCGAUUUGGCUGCAGCCAACAAACAUUGAAGCUCUCGGCCACCGAGGAAGAAAAACACUGAACAAAAAAUAUCUGCUUGGAUAGACGAGGCGAUAGAUACCCUUUUAGAACGAGAUGCAAACAAGCAACCAGAAAUUUGGACUGAAGAUCUCUGAAAAUAUCCUACAUUUAGACAUAAAAUGGGUAUGCACGUCUACAUUAAUGUCCUCUUUGUGGUGCAAAUAUGUUUCAUGAACCGAAAUACCCUCUUCACAGGUCAAACACAUGAAAAGAGAGAGGGAACUUGAGGUUUUUGAUCGCUAGUAAUUGGAAGAAGCUUUGACCUGAACUGAAUCAAUCUAGUAGAGAUCCGACCUCAUUGAAGUGCGGUUCAUAAAACACUCUUGAGAUACAUGCAUAGAUUCCGUGACGGACGCUCCUGAUGCUGUCUAUGGCAUUGUAUAAGUUAUGCCAAUCACAUAACAAAUAUAUGUUUUUGCUCUUCUCAAAUUAAAUAAGAGCAGCAUAGCAUCGCUACCAAACACCACCUCCACAGCCACCAACAGCAACAGCAACACCAACAACAACUGCGAAUUGCACACUCGAGCGCAGAGCGUAACAAAAUUCAAUAUCGCUUUUAAUUGCAUGUUGCCCCGGCAACGGCAACAGCAACAGCAGCAACAUGCGACAGACAUUGUAAUCCCCUUGCAAACUGAACUGUAGAGCGGAGAGGUUGGGUGGGAUGAAGGCCACUUAUAUAAGCCCGAAUGCCUGGGACGAACCUGUAAUUUAGCAAAAUGUUAUGUAAACUUUAAAUCGAGUUAUGCAUUUUAAUUGGUUGUUGUACAAUUUCGCAAGCGGCACGUUUUGUUUGCCACAUCACAGAACACACGGCCAGCUUGCAGCACACGGCUCAGAGCACAGGGCACACAGAGCCCUGAGCCCAGAGAGCAGCCAUUAUGCUAACAUACAAUAUACAUACAUACAUAAAUACACAUGUACACAAACAAUUGAACUGCUUCACAGAUUUUUGCGUAAAACAAUUGAAAUCUUGUUCAAUUAAAAUAAUUCUCAAUAUGAUUUAAAAGCAUUCUUACUGUUUCUUUCUUGAAAGUUUUCCAUUGUACUUGCCGCUGUGGUGGCUUCUUCUUGCUUUACUAUGGAAAAACUACCCAAAAAAAAAGCACUCGCUCACCUGUUUCUCAUUUCUGGCUAAUUAAAUAAAUUUCGAGACACACAAAGCCCCCAGGGAGUGCAGCGGGCGCAUUUGUCUCGUCAAAGGCAGCGGCGGCUUCAAGUUAAUCUACCUCGUGGCUUAAUUGCUGCCACUGCCACUGCGAUGCCACUGAAAAUUGCACCCAAAAGGCCAACAGCAACAGAGCAGUUGCUUCCCCUUCUCCAGUUCCUUCCUCCAUCUGCUGGUCUUGUCUAGGACGCUAACUCAUUUUAAUGAUGCUUCUACCUGGGGCGCCUUAAGUGCAGUGCCAUUGGAAGUGGCUUGGCUGGUGUCGUCUUCCGCCGGUUUGGUCUCAGUCUCAGUCUCGGCGCAAUUAUGGCCAACUUGGCUGUGCUUACAUGUGGCCAAAUUGUUGUGGUCGUUGCUAGCUCCAUCGCCGACUCGGGCGCAUUAAAAAUGAAUAAUGUGCGCGACUUGGGCGCACAAUUUAUGCACUCGCUGUCCGACCGCAUCCAGAUGCUUACCGGAGCCUGAGCUGGAGCCCGAGCCCAAGUCUGGCCUUUUUCAAUCAUAUAUAAAUCCAUGCAAUCAAAUUCCGUUGGGCAAUACAAUUAGCUUCGUCUUGGUUCCCUCUACUCUUCGGGUGAAAUAAAUUUGUUGCAUGCUUUUGGGCGCGCAGUUUAUUAGGCUUAACCCACCUGUCCAGGUCGAGAUACGGCACGGGUCCAUGUCCUGGUCCCUGGUACCUGGUCCCUUGUCCCUCAUGCCUGGUUCUUGCUUAUGCUUUGAUGUUCCAGCUAAGCCCGGGUAAAUUGAUUUUCCUUUGCCGGCCAUGGACCACGGUGUUGUCUUUAUUUUUAUUCCACAGACCCCACGGAGUCAGCAAUAAAGUUCAAAUGAAGCGAGUCGCUAUUAAGUUAUGCGGCUUUAGCUCUUUAGCUCCCCCGCUACUUUGUUCGGUGUGUUCCUUCGGUGAAUAAGUGGUCGCAUAAAUCGUCAAGGAAUACUGCAUGAAAUGCUGUGGAAUAAGCUGAAACAAUGCCAGGCCAUUGCUAGGUAAGCCUCUCACUGGAAGGCCGUAACAGUUACCUAGAUGGAGCUACCACCUAUCAGAGUCCUACAGCUGCUGGAUGAGAUUAAAGUUUAAUUCCCGAACGUCUUUCCCUCUGCUGCAUUCCGCUGGCCCACACUACCCCGGAAAACCUCAGCGCCCCAAACUGUACUGUGGUUUUAGUUGCAUUUGACUUUGCGGUUUGACGUUGUUGCGUUCUCCCAGUGUUUUGUUGUUUUUAUGUAUUUGUUACUCCUACUCUCUGGCCCGGACCGUGCCCCACUCCUUGUGUGCAACACACGCAACAGCUUUUUGUUCACACUUUCGCCGGGCAAAAACAAUUUUCCUCCCAAAUCAGACUAGGAGAAGGAGCCGAAGGCAGACAGCGGUGGGCAGAGCGCGUAGUGACUGCUGCCUGCCCCGCAUGCAUUGCGGUUUCUGUUGCAUAAUUAUUAUGUUGCGGUUGCCAACCCUACACCCCUGCACCCGAACUUGCCACCAGCCUCGUGUUGCUGUUGUUUCAAAAGCAUUUACCUUGUUUGUGGUUCGCUGAGCGCUGGCAGCAGUUUUUCAGCGGCCUCUUUCUGGGCUGCCUCUAAAUUACUUUUGUCUGGCCGGGGCUGGGUAUAGGAGUACGUUGGCAGGCUGGUCGAGGCCUUUAAAUCUUUGACGUUGCUCUUUUUUCGAUAUAUGUGUAUUCAUAAUAGUAAAUGUUUCUGCUCAGCACCUUUCUCAACUUUAACGACUUUUAAAGUGGUAUUUGUGGGUAAUUCUCAUUAGCUGAUUUGAUUUGAAACUUAUUGGAACUGCACUAAACGAAAAUUAUCAUCUGUUUACCAAUUCCAUGCUAUCCAAAAAAUUGCUUUUCUUUAAUAUUUAAGCUUGUUAGUCAAAUUCCACUGAUGUUAGAGUCGCUUUGACAUGGGUUGGGUUGUUAUGCGGAGAAUCUGUCCCACUGAAGGGUUCAAAAAGGACACAAAACUAAACAACAGAAGUGCGACUGAAAGUGGAAGGAAGGAGAACUACAAAAGGAAGAAGUUCUACCAGGAACUUUAGAGGGAGGGGAAGCAGCAGCAGCAGCAUACUUUUUCGGCUAUGCUCAACAAAUGUUACACAAGGCAGCAGUAAGAGAUGGGACACAGAGGAAGCAGAGCGACAGAGAAGGGUGAACAGUGACUAUUUGGCUUGUCCUGGUCGGGCUUCUUCUUCAUCUGUUGGUGUCAUUUGUUAAAGAGGCUUGUCAACAUGCCUUAUAACAAGCUGGCUCGGACUUCAGAGUCAGACUCAGAUCCCCAGCCAGACCCCCACAGUAGACUCUAAAGUGGAAGAAGGCAAGUCGAAGAACUUUUGGAGAAAAGAAGCCAGAGACAGGGACAGAGGACAGGGGACUGGGAUAGUGCCAAAAGCAAUAAUAUUCCAGCUUUUGUUAUAGGUUUGGCUCUCGCUUUCGUAGCUAGAUCGUAGCCGGUGUUGGUGUUUGUUCGUAUUUUGUAGCAUACUUUUGUGCAUUAUUUGCACAGCUCUUGUACGGAACUGGAGAAGAAGGCGACGCGUCGCCUGGCUCUGGGUUUGGCUUUUCAAUUUGCCAGAGACAUUUGUCUCUGUGUGUGUUUGUUUGUGUGUGUACACAAAAUAUUAUUUUCUUAAUUGGUGUUUAUUGUGUGUCAGACGCACAUACACUCACACACUCGCAAACACAGCCGAGUAGAGGCGGUGAGAGGGCUGUUAUAAUUUUAGGCCAGCACUCGAGAGUGCCAUAAAAAUGUCAGCAAUGUGGCCCUGGUCCUGGAUCUGCCGCUGGACUUGGAUCUGGCCUCAUCUAUUAAAUGGUUAGAGAUAGAAACACACACAAUUUCUGCCUUGUUGAAAUGUAAUUUCCAGUUUGCCUUUUUCGUUUGUGUGUCCAUGCCCUGUGGCGCUCCAGAACUCGUACGUCCUGAGUGAAUCAGGCAAAUUUCCUAGUCAGUCAGGAGAACAAAAAGUCUCGUCUGCGACUGUAUCUCUCGUCCAGUGGCAAAUUGCUUAUGAAAUUGCAAUUUGAGCCCGCUCAGGACACUGAUUUUUAUUUAAUUUGACUUGCCGAUGCCUUAGACAACAGAGCUUUAGAGUCAGUGGAAAAUAUAUCACAUUACACGUACAGGGAAAACAUGACCAAAGGGAUUCGGGCAAGAACAGAGCUCCAAAUAUUUUGCAUACGACUUUCUAGGGAGCCAUGUGAAGUGACUCUGAGCCGAAUUGCUAUUUACUGAAGUUGCAAAUCCUCAAAAUGCUUUAGGCCUCUGUCCACCCAAAGUUUCGUUGUUUAUCAACUGGCAAAAGGUAGUUGAAAGUUUCUUUCUUUUUCCCUAUCUCGCCUCCACCUCUUUCUGACCAAAAUCAAGAAUAAUGCUCCCACUGGGCCUGUCGGCUGUUUGUACGCUGCACGCGAGAGAAAGAGACAGACUGUUGGCUGGGGGAUGCUGAAUGGACAUAGACCCCCUGUACUCUGUGUGAUUUGUAUGCAAAGUGCUGUGGCUCAUGCCUGGAAUAGUUCAAUUUCAGGCGGCUGCUGGGUCACAGUUUUGUUUGUGUUUGUGUAUUGGCAGCUCGUACUCGUCCUCGUACUCAUACACGUACUCGUAGUUGGCCAUAUGGAUAAGUUCUGCCUGCGAUAAACUUGAUUAGAAAUGCUGGUCAAAGUUUUGUGGACACAUAUGUCUGUGCUCUGUGUCUCUCUAUUGGAGUGACAUAAAACGACAUUAGUUACCUGUCCGGGACAUCAUAUGUUGCAUGCGGAUGAGUUUAUUUGAUUUCUUUUGGCAUGAGACGCAUUCAACUGCGAGUGCAAUGCCACAAAUGCAAUUUUCAGUCAGUGCAUCCAUCCACAGAUGAGUGGAGUGGCGAGACGAGCAGCCAUCCUAGCAUCCUUCAUCAUGCAUCAAACAAAUUCGAUAGCCUUGCCGGGGCAUAAUAAGCGUAAACGAUGACUAACAAGAUUCAUGCUACGCUGUUGCGCCCAAGAGGCAAACAUGCAAUGGCCAUCAACGUGGUCCAAUCGGGUGAGCAACUCAUCCUCACUCUCGCUCCUUCACUCGGUCGCCGGUCGUCGGUCGUCGGUCCUCUCUCCGACAAAUGACUGUGACGCGACCGGUGGACAACGAAUGUCGCGCACUUAAUGCAACUUUGUUGCUGAUGCCUGUUCAGCCAUCCCUGCCUCCGCCCCUUGUCAACAUCGGAGGAAGCAGCAGCAGCAACAACAGUAGUAGCAGCGAUUGAAAAAUCCCACUAGGGCGUUUUUAAUUGGAUUUUAAAAUACUUGUCCCAUGCAGCAACAGCAGCAGCAGAAGGAGCAAUGGCAGGCAACAUCAGGCAUCACAGGCAAAGGCAGAGGAAGAGGCGGAGGUCCUGGGCAGGGCAUAACAUGAGCCUGCCGCUGCCGUUGCUACUGCUGCUUCCACAAUCCUUCCAGCCGACAAGGCCAACAUAUCGACCCAAACCCACGUUAACAGUUUUGGGAAGGUGGUGAGGGUCCUCAACACGCUCGUUAUCCUUGUUUCCCGCUGCCGCUGCUGCUCCUGGUCCUGGUGCGGCUUCUCCCCCUGAUCGUCCUGCUGCUGCUGCUCUGCACAAUUUGGUUACUUGUUUGACCAGCGGCGAUUUUUCAUGCCAAGGCAUUUUGGGGUAUUUUUUUGUGUCCAUGGGGAGAAUUGGGGUUUCCCAUACAUUAAUGGCAUUGCAAAUUUGUAUUGCAAAUGUGCAAGUUGUGGCCAGGCAUGAAUACUCCUCUCCAGAGCCCCUCCCCCCAGCAUCCAGGCCACCAUUCCUCCCUCCCCAGUCCCAUAAAUACCAUAAUCGCAUGUGUUUGCAUGAAAUCUCGUGCAACUCAAUUGUCGUACCAUACUUUCUAUGGUAGACAGAGAUUGACCCAUAAAGGCCAAAUGUCGCCCGAUAACCAGUUGGAAACUACACAGCACAACCCAUUAUUAUUUGUAUUUUCCUUAAUGCUGUAAAUACAAAUUAACUUAAGCUUGAGGACGCUCUGGGAGAGCUCUAAAAACAAACAACACAACUUUUUACUCGACUAUAAUUCUAAUGACAGCUCAACUUUGGCAUUAUCAUUAGCAUAUUUGAUUAAAAAGUGUCAUUAGGCUCAGCUCUUCUGCUUCUCUCUUCAGUCUUAGCCGCUGCCUGCUGCACUUCUCUGCACUUUUCACGCUUCUCCGGAAGUUGCGAAAACCGGAACAAGACGCUAAAAACUUGUCGCACUCACUAACAUUUUAAUUUCAACUAGUUGCCGAGACUCAGGGACUCAAAGAGAGGGAUAGAGGGGGCGAUCUACCCCAUCUCUCUGGCAGUUAAGUAAUUAAAGCGUUGCACUUUGUUAGCACUUUAAGAAAGACCGUUGUCCUGCCACCUGUCCUGCUCCGCUAAUUCUCCGGAGUGUUCGCCGCUGCCGCUGCCGCUGCCGCUGGCUUGGCUUGAUUUGUAUGCAAAUUGAAUUUGACUUCUUCUGCGAGCACUCGUUGGUACAUCAAAGCAAAAGUCGAGCUAACUGAACUGAUGAGCUCCGACUUCCUUCCGUCUGAGUCACCUCUUUGCCUGGCUAAUUUCCUUUUAAUUAAUAUAAUGACUCCAAGUUCGACUCACAAAUUAUCCCUGACGACAGUUACAUCGUCGCCUGAAAAAGGAAAAUAGUCAAAUGGAACCAUUCAAGUCCAAGACCUCAGCCUUGUAGUCAAACUUCAGUCAAAGAUACACAAAUUAGCUGGAUGGCCAGUCAUCUUGAGUGUUUGUCCAAAACGCUAAUGAAUAUGGUAGUACGAGGGUUUGACUUGAGCCAGUGGAACUUUUCAAUAAAUACGAAAUGAGAUAAAGAACUUACGCCUGCCCUGAUGUAACAAAGGAAUCAUUUAUAAAGCAGAUCCCAUUUAGAGCCUUCAUAUAGGUGGGACUGCUACAAGCCUCCACAAUGUUGUGUCAGAAAAGUUAUGCCAAGAAAAAUAUAUUUCACAGAAACAUAAAGAAGUCUCCCUUAAAAAAAUAUUGGACAAACCAAAAGAAAAACAAAAAAAGGACAGAAAAACAAGAAAAAAUAAACUUUGAUUUAAGUUUACAAAAAUGCUUAGCAAUUUUGUUGCUUUUUUAGCUUUUUGUUGUGUGUUAUUUUCUGUUGUUUUUCCAUUUUGUUGUUCGCUCUCGGUUUUUUUCGGCUCUGUUUUGCAGCUGUGUGUGGAUUAACAGGCAACAAAAUAUUUUAUUUUUUAUUGUUUAGCAACGCUGAUUUGCACUCUUGUGUCCCAGCCCAUGUCCCCUGUCCGCCUACGCGCCUUUCCGUUGUUUGGGACAGAGAAAUUCUGGAUUUUGUUGUCACUUCAACACAAAAAACAUAAAAUACACAAGAGUCGACGAGAGUCGAGUCGAAUCCGCAGACGAGACGGGGGCCGAACCAAAAUCCACUUGAAUUUUUUACACUUUAUUUUUUGUACAUUUUCUGGGAGAGGAAUACCAAAACAAAAAACAAAAAACGAAUACGAAAAGGGGAUUCGCUUCCAGCUCUUCGCGCUGUUUGCACGCGAAAUUUGUGCUUGUCUGCCUUUCGGCUUGUCAGCUCGCAUGUUGCAUGGUUUUAGGCGGGAUUUGUUCUGUUUUUCUGCCUCCACCUCUGCCUCCCUUCUGGAAUAGCGUCAACUACAAAGGCAACAGAUACAACCAACAGGGAAACCAGAACAAGCAGCGCAGGAGCAAAAGCUAGAGCGCAGGCCGCAAUUUGGACACCCACCCAUUCCGAACCCUCGCCGGGCCUGUGUCAAGGGUUUGGGAAUUAGACAUUUUGGAGGGUUUUCAAACGGGUAGCCAUGGUCCCAUCCCAGCUUCUGGGGUGGGUGCUGGAGGGUCUUAAUUUUCAGCAUUGUUGAUGUUGUUGCAUAAAAAACAGGAAAAAACAAACGAAGAGCAAAGGUUAAGCUCGUAGAGUGAGCGGCAAAAGCCCUAAUUAAUUCCUCGGCUUGGGGGUUGUGGAAAACAGAAGAUAAAUAAUCCAGACUUCCUAGAGAAACUGUGCAGAAUAUAGUACUAAUAUUAAAAAGCCCAACUAUCCAGGUAGAGUGCACCUGCCACUGGUGAAACUCUUAUUUUGUUCUCCAUUUACAAAUGUAAAACAAUAUUUGAACCAUUCCGCUUUUGCCGCAUUUUAAAAUCGCUUUCAAGCACCAGCUUACAUGUGGCAUAACCCGCACUUACUACGCCCUGUACCAUGCUGUGCCCGCCCCGCCCGGAAAGUCCUUACUUUUUGUGGUUAUUACUGUAUAUUAAAUUAGCAUAAAUGAUUUUUAAUAAUUAUGCCAUUGAAGCCGGGCCCUAAAGACUCAGCCUUGGCGCCAGCCCCAGCCCUCUCCAACCAGCAGCUGGCACCCAAAUUACAAUAUAAUGAGCGGCGCAAGUGCAGCGUAUAUUUUUUUUGUAUAUUUUUCGGUUUGAAUUUUACAUUCCCUCCAUGCCAGUAGAGCGCAGGCCGACUAUUAUUUUUAUACAAUGGACGAUGAUGGGAGCACCAUGAGGCCACCCUAUGUCCAUGUUGAUUUUCAUGCAAGAGUGCACGGAGCGAUUCUUGCAAAAAUGUUUUUUAAUUGCACUUAAAAUUUUAUUUAAAUGCCACACACACACGCAUGCCGCCGAAACCGUCGCGGCUGUACGAGUAUCUGAUGCUGCAUCAGCUUACGGCUCUCAUACCCAGUCCCCCACUCAAUGCCACUCAAUUGGUCUUUAUGGAAUUUUUACUGAUUUUAAAAUUCAAUAUUAAAUAUUGAAUAUUGUGAAAAUUUCCCCGUUUAUUUUCGCAUAGGACGUCGAAUUGAGUUUACCUGACACAGUUAGUUACACGAUUACGAUUGAUUUUCAUCCAUUUCCGAGUGUUAUGUCUCACCACCUCUUGUAUGUCUCAUUUACAGGCUGCGCUUUUGUCAAAUUCGGCACGCAACAGGAGGCUCAGUCAGCAAUAGCCAAUCUACACGGAAGUCAAACUAUGCCGGUAAGUGCACCAAUUCUAUCCCAUAUUCGCGUGUGUUUAUUGUAUCUGAACGCCUGCCCAGACAGGCUGUGACUUCCCACGCCGCUUGGGCGUGAAAUUAUAACAUUUUUAUUUUGAGUUCACCUUCUGUCCAGGGCCCUCCUUGGCUAUGCUUUCUAGAGCACAUGAUGGCACUUGUGUGCGAAUAAUACGAAAAUAAUGAAAUUUCAAACCUGAAGUACGCGUACUCAGGUUGUUGUUCGAAAGUACUUAGCAAACUUCAUUUAAGCUACAAGUGCCCGCCCCGCCCCGCCCCAUUCCAGCCCGCUCCGCCCAUCUCAAACUUUCACUUCACGUUUUAUAAAUAAAAUUAGAAUUAAAUUAAAUGCCGAGCAGCAAAAUGUAUUAUUAUUUUUCCUUUUGCGCCGCACUUCAAUGGGAAAUCAAGAAGCUCGUUCUACUCUAAAUUUCUAAAAUAAAAAAAUACAAACGUAAAAAGCAAAAAGUGAGGAAAAAAAUAAAUCAAAAUAGCUUUUGGCCUGAGAGAAAAGCGGCAGGCAGAAGAACUACCAAGGUUUGCCGCCAAGCGACUUCAUUAUGCUCGAAUUUUGUAAGGAAUCACCAUAUAUAGUCGAGGCUGAUGCUGAUGCUGAGUCUGAGGCUGUGGCUGUGGCCAGCAGUGCGGCUGAAUCCAUGGCUACAGAGUAAAGAGCCGUUAGCUCUAUGACAACGUAGCCCGGGAAUUAUUUCGUCUUUUUUCUCGCUUUACUUCUUGCGAAAAAUAAAUGAAAUUUGCAUGACACUUGAGUUAUUUUGCACGUAAAUUGCUUCUUUUGACAAACAAACAAGCAAAUACACAAACCAGCUGCCGGAGAAGCAGAGGGAGGGGGGAGGAACUGGCAGGGGCUGGCGCCAUUGUUGUAUUUUCGGUGUUUACAGGCAGCAGAGGCAUCAGCAGCAUCCAUCCAGUGCAAUCCCAAGUCUCCUCGGAACCAUCCUUUUACCACUCGCUUUCUAUCGCUCCUCUUUCAGCAAACGAAUUUUACAUUUGGGUUUUUGUAUGUGUUUGCGGGGUUGUUGCCGUCUCUUCUUGUCGCUCCAUCCGUCUUUCUAUCACUCUCGUUUGCUGGGAUUCUCAAGUCGACAACUCGUUGCCGCAUUUAAAUUCAAAUUCAAAUAUUGUUGAUGAAAUUUGUUGCUUAAUUUGCAAUUUAGAUGCGUUUUAAACAAACGCCGCGCUGCUGCUGCCUGAGAAAUCAUGUGUUUACUUAGGCGGAAGUUGAUGAUGAUGAUGAUGGCGACAGGAUGGGGCAGGAAUUGUGGCAGUAACUGUGGCACCAACUGUGGAAGCAACUGUGGCAGGAUGGAGGACAACUCCCAGCCGCGUAAUUACAGCUGUUUGUGUGUGCGUGAAUUUAGGGACUCUCAAUUCGAUGCCAGUUGCCGUCGGGCCACAGUUACACUUUUUCUGAGUCGGAACCGCCGAAAACUUCAAAAAUAUAGCCGCAAGCGAAGCGCCAGAUCCGUAGCUACAGUCACAGCCACAAACAAACAAAACGAGACCCAAUUCCACUUGGGAGGCAAGCGCAAACAGUUGAGGUUUAAGUCAAUUUCAAUUUCAAGGGGAUGCCGCCGUCACAUUUUAUAGCUGAUUGCAGUCGAUAUCAAAGCGUAUCCUGGGGUCCUCUCAAUGCCUCCCAAUGAUCGAAAAGGGUUCUUCAUCUUAGAUGAAAUCUGUGUAAGUUGCCCUGCCCUCCUAAAGAUUUACAUAAUUAUUUCCCUGUAAUACGGCGGAGCUGCGUCUUCGCUUCAGGCCUACAUCCAACUGCACUUAAACUCAAAUUAUGCUGGCCUGGGGCUGGAGGCACCAUUUUCCGGGGGCGAUACACGUUUCGAAUGUCUGACCUGGACCGACCCGUGACCCGUGACCCAAGAACCAGGACCUCGAAACACCCCAUGACCGACCGGCCUCGUCUCUGGCCAGCAGCAUGCACAUGAAGGACUUACAAACGACAGCUGCAAUUUUUCACCUGGCCAGUUUUUAAGAUGAGCAGCAUUCCGGACCCCUAAACGAAGACUAUGGCAAAUUGCUGCCUUGGAAAAAAUCCGUGUGCAAAGGCAUAGUAAGAGCAGUAAAAAACGAGGCAAAGCAAGUUGUAUACAUUUUUUCUACUUGCUUUUUUUUAAUUUAAGAGCGCGUAAUUUGUGUAUACCUGCCUGAGCAUUAAGCAUUUUAAUGUCAGUGUGGCACCCGGACCUCUCCACCUCCCCUUCCAGAAACUUGGCUGUAAUUGCAAUUUGGCAUUACGACUGCUGCUAGGUCUGGGUUCUUGGAUCCCGGUCUCAGGUCUCUCUCGUGCAGUGGAGUGUGAGUGGGUGAGUGCACCCUUGGCUGGGAGUGAGGUAAUUAGCGCUAAAACGACGCCAGCUGCUGUGUUAUAUAAAAAUUUUAGCUGCCACACUUUUUCCCGCACCACGCAUUACAUUAAUUAUAUAACCAAGUGCACAGGCAAGGAGAUUAGUGGGGUGCAGCGGUACAGGGGGCACCGAAUUGAUUGCCUACCUGCAGGCGUCAAAGUUGCGCCAGACAGAACCGCAAGUUAAUUUCAAGCUUAACAAAGUUCUCUCAUUGGUGUGGUGUGGGAGUCUGUCCACUUUCCAUGCCCCUCUCCUUUUCUCCCUCCAGCUGCCUGCCUUUCAUGUUGAUGUGCCACAGAAUGCUUUUAAAAAAGAGAUGCAGAAGAAGAGCAUUUUUUGAUUACGCCAAACCUUAAGCAGCUUAUGAACGCCCCUCGUUCCGGGACUGGACGCUCAUUAAAAAGGAAUUUUCAGGGCGAGAACGAGUCCGCAUGCAACACUGGGGCACCACCACCAGGUCCAGCAACCCAACUCAUACCCCACACGUUCGCUCCGUUGUUAAUCUCUUGGCACUCAACAUGUUAUAAGUCGCUUUUAGUGCGGUUUGCAAACGUUUUUCUAAAUGUAAAACAAAACAAAAACACACAAAAAGAGAGAUAUGGAGAGAGAGAGAGAGAGUGAGUGUUGGCAAGGGGAAGGGGAGGUGGGAAAAGUUUACAGUUUACAGUUGUAAACAAUAAUUUCGUAUUCACUCAACACCCACACAAGUGGACACACACCGAGGCAUUUGCAUAAGCCGCUGAUGCGAUUUUUUUACUGUCCGUCGAGUUUCUGUGGGCGCGGCUUAGAAGUGGGCACGGACCGGGCACUUGUUAAUGAAAGCUCGCGCAAGCAUUAAAGCUGCCGCUAGCUCUAAAUGCUUUUGAUUGACGAAGCGCAAAAGCCUCACUGCCAAAACAUAUACAAACACACAACAGAAAAUACAACAGAAAAUACAACAAAAAAUGUAACUGAAAAUAAAAAUACCGCAACGCACCGCGGGAGGAAGGUGGGAAGUACCUGCACAACACAUACAUAAAUAUUUGAAAUUUCAUGCAGAUCUCUGGACUGAAACGAGGCCAAACGGCAGUCCCGCACCUUUGGCUGCCUUCCACACUCUUCCGAAUAAAUUAGUCAAUUAGCAUUUCCAUUUUUAUUUGUUUUGUUUGGUUGCGAGAAAGAGUAAGUGGCAGAGGGUGGAAAGUAGCGAGAUAAGAAGGGACCAGAUACAAAUAGUGGCCAUUACGGUCGUAGGGGGAGAGACACACUUCAUAAACAUUUGUCACACCUUGCUCAUUAUGCUGUACACACACUCCCGCGCAAAUGCAGGCGAUGAUAACAUGUGUUUUCCGGCCAGGGAAGCACUUGUCACCCAACGUUAUCGUUAUUGUCAUCAAAGACGCUUUUCCCAGCAGCAAACUCUGCUCAAUGCGCAUUUAAAUUUCAAAUUAAUUUCUCGCCAUGUGAGCACAAAACAAAGCAAAAAAAAAAAUAUCAAGAAUUGAAAGAAAUAAGAAAUCUGCAAGCUGACAACAUACCUAUGGAGGGGAAAUUCCCUGAAUAAAUACGAGUAAAGUCCGCGCUGUCCCAAAAAAUGAUAUGCGAGGGAGCCGGAGGAGUACCUGGAUCUGGGGACAUCUCGCUUCCAUCCCAUCAAACCUGUUUUCACAGUCAUUUCGCAGUGAGGGUCCCGUAAAAUAUGCAAAAGAAGAACCAUUUUUGCGCGCAGUCCGUACUGCUUCUUUCUUUUCCUCUUACAGUUAUGGGUAUAUUGUAUUCAGUCAAUUCUAUGCAAUAGUCAGAUUCAGUCAGUUCUAGCAGACUGCAGCUUGAGCAAGCUGACAAUUUAUUCUACGUGUACAUAUAUGUAUAAAUAAUAUUUUUUUCAGUUCACAGAAGAUUAAUGGGUAUCUUUCGAGUCUCUACUUGGUGAUUACUUCCCUCCACUGAUUCUGAUGCUGAUGCUGGGGGUUCCCCAUUUUAUUUUCGCUGCUCAUGGCUGAAUUGACGCAACAUAUGCCAGUCGAAUGCUGUGCGACUGCUGCUACGCCAACUUUUCCUCCUCCUCCGGCACUCGCUUCUUUUGUUUUCCUUCCCUCUGUUCGGUGUGUCUCGCAUCAAUUAUGCUUUUAUUUAUACAACAAUUUUCGUUCUGCUGGCCGUUCAAUUUUCGUCAGCAGACGAGCAGAACGAGCUGAGCGAACGAGCGCCGCCUUAAUGCGACUUGACAAAAAUGGCGUCCAAUAUGGCGCAAAUGUGGCUGUGGCUCUGUCUGAUGUACGGAGUGCGGGCUGAAGCUGGCGUGUUGGGGGCUUCUUCUUAACGCUUGAGCGACGCCCACACACGCACACACCAUCAAACGCAUACAUACUCACACACAGAUCGCACCUUGGCGCGUCAAGAUGACGACCAGGAGAACGUUCCCGGGUCUGUUCUGGGGUCUGGCUUUCUAUUUUAAUUCACACGCCAUUGUUGCGCGGCGCCUAAAAGAAGAGACGAGGCGAAGUUGAAUUUCUAAUGUGCAGCAGCUGCGAACAAUGGAAGUGUGGGGUGCGGAGGCGGGGCCUGUAAGGCAGGUGAUUGUGGCAUGGGGCAGCAACCUGAUUGUGUUUCGGCUGCUUCUUCUUGUGUGUGUUGUGCGCUUGUACACGCGUAUUGUGUUCUUCUUUCUAAAGCAUACUUAUGAGCGCGUUUAAGCAAUUUUUAAAUCGCAGUCGUGUAAGCCAGUACCAGUAUGUGUGUCCUCCACCGAAGGAGGAGCAGUAGUAUAGGGAAACACAAAUCUUUAUGAAAAGUUAGAGAGCUGGAAAUCUUUUAAGUGGAAAUUUAAGCAACCCUAAUUGGGAUAUUUACAGCAAGAAAAUACAAAGAAAAUGGAGGGCCGUUUGAGCUAUUGUCAGUUUUUGGCCUAGGGGCCAUUCUUUUUUUUUUCAAUUGGUAUGUUUUUUUUAGUAUAUUGUUUAGUUUUAACUGCCUGUACUGGCAUAGUGAACUUGUAUGUAUCUCUGUUCCUAAGCGUACAGCUUUCACAACUAAUUUGCACGAAUACAAUAAUGCGUGGGCGACAUAAAUCUUGAGGAUGGCGCGGCAAAGCCAAGCUGUCUCUUCCACGACUAAAUCAUGUUUGAUGUUUAGCAUAUUAGACACAUGCUCAGGGCCCUCUUCCCGGUAUUGAUUUGCCAGCCAAUCUGGUCUCCACUCACACCACUCAAGGACCACCCCCUCGCGCACCGCCUUCAGCUUUCAGGCACCAUCAAUUUCAAUUUCGCUCCAGCAGAAAAUCCAAACAACGGCUGGCACAUCCAAUUUCUGGCACUGCCUGCAGUCUACCUCUCUCCCCUCCGCCUUGAUCUCGGCCUGGGCAUCGGGGUUUUUCGGUAAACUAAUUUUCUUGCUCAAUAUCUUGACAGUGAAAUUGGCACGCGGCAAUGUUGCCAAUCAAACCCCCACGCACCGACAGACAGACGGAGAAGAAGACUGGGGCUGAAAUGGAGGGAGCGACUUCUCCUCCCAAGAGUGCAGUAGACUUUUAGGUGCCGUUCCACCUGUUUAGCUAUUGACAUCACGUUCCGCCUUCGCGGCGGAUUCUAGCCAAGUCCUGCCUGCUGGCUGAACGCCUCCUGGCUAAAACUUCCUGCAGAGUGGACAUAAAUAUUUGGUUUUUAGUCGUCCGGAAAUUGAAGCUGAAAGUCUUGCGAGUGAAACAUCUACCAGUCGUUGACAGAGAUAGAGAAGUACAGUGGAAAAAUCUCUCACAUUUCCUUGCCUUAUAAAAGAAUCACUGUUAAUAGCUUUCUUUGGGGUUCUUCCGCUCAUAAAACCAAGUCAUGGCAGCUAAGAGCUCAAAACUUCCUGCUUUUUUGGGUCCGAACGCGGGUGCAUCAUUAAAAGUGGCAUCGAGCCGCCGUGUUUUUGCGGCGUUAAAACUGUGUGCAACAUAAAAAGCGAUGCAGCGUGAGUUUCGCGACAGAUUCACUCACUGCUGCUGGAGUCUUUCGCCUCUCGGGCAGCCUGUUGUAAACAAUUUUAAUAGACUUGCUUAAGGGCAAACAUUUGCAGGUAGCCUCCCCUCGACUUGUCUGUGCUGCAGUCAUUCAGCGAAACAUUGUGAAGGGACCUGCAGCUGCUUCAUCAUCAUCGUCAUCAUCAUUAUCAUCCACAUCCCUGAUGUACCCCCAUUGUCUUUUGCAUUUAUUUUUGCUGCAGCUACGUGCCGCUCUGCAUUCGACGUCGUCCAAUGCAGUGGCUACUUAAUUUAAUGCACGUCUGUUUGCAUAAACCCAAACCUUAUUGAAUCGGGCGAAGCAGCAAACAGCAGGCGGCAGGCUGCAAGCAGCUUGCAACAUGCAGCGGGGCAUCAUCAAUGUAUGGGCACGUUCGCCGACAAUGCUCAGGGAGCCGGCGAAUGAUGAGCAAACUUCAAUUCUCUGGCAGUCCUAGCUGCCAGUCUGGAGCAUAAACUUUAAUGAGCCGCACGAACUAGCCAGAAGAAAUUGAAUGCUGACGUGAUUUUUGGCACACGGAAACUCUUGCAUACUUGCGACGAACGAGUCGAGCAAGUUUCAGGAAAUGACUUAGAAAAACCCACACCCGUUCCCGUUCCGUAUCACAGUAUCUGUAUCUGGUUCAGUUCGCUUCUAUCCUGUUUGGCUUUGUUUGUUGCAUACCUUGAGGCGCUGUCAACCGCCUGGCUUUUGCAUUCGCCUUUCAUUUAAGCCGGAAUGCGAAUGAGAAUGAGAGAACCCUUUCCCCGAGGCGAAUGGGGCUGUUUUAGAUUUCUAUCACACAUCGGGCGGUUGUAUGGCUGUGGUGUGGCGUGGAGACGAAACCAAACACUUCAAGUCAAAAAGGAAACCGGGCCCAGCCUUCUUCCGCUUUACGUGCCAAUGAUGACAAUUGGUUUUCUUUCCAUUUCCCUUCCUGGCGCGGUCGCGGCUUCGAUUUGCUAUUUCUUUCGUUUCGUUUGGUUUCCUUUCCGUUGCUGUGUUUUUGUGUUGCACGUCGUCGUCAGUUUUUCGCCGCUUGUCUACAAUUUCAAUAAAAUUUUAUUAACGAAUUCCGGCAAAUGGUCGGUCGGCGGACGGAUUCGGCGAUGAAAAGGCAGGGCCGGGCCGGAGACCAGACUGUGGACAUUUUUAUACCUCCUCACGAAUGCGAAUCGAUAUUAUUAUUACAAUAACAACAGCAGCAGUAGCAGCACCAGCAGUAGCAGCAGCAGCAGUAGCAGCAAAAGGAUGGCGGGCAGGCAGGAAAGGAAGUGUGGCAUGGGCAGGGGCAAGGCAACUGUGGCAAUUGCCUGUCAGCAUUGUACUUGUCGAUUUUGCAGCUUACUUUGCUGGCAUUGCAUACUUUUAAGGCGCUUUGACAAUUCUUUUUAUCUGCGCCCAGGACCGAAGCCAAGGACUUACUUGGCUUGUUUGUUUGUCAUUUACGCCACCACCCACUCCCUCCCCUUGCAUGCUCCCCUGCCUGCCCCCUGCUGCUGAACCAAGUUGAAAGCCCGCAGUUCAAUUCUCAAUGGCGCAGCAGUUUUUCUUUCUUUCUAAUGGCGACGUUUCCGCUCCGUGCCCGACGUCGCCGUCACAGAGUUUGUUUUCUUCUCCUGACUCUCUCUCACUCGUCUUCACUCUCACUCCUCCUCAUUCUCGACGACGCUGCACCCAACCACCGUUUUUGCCGCCCAAAAGUUGACAUCAAUUUCUGUUCAAUUUUAUUAUUUUCAUCUUCAUUUCAGCGCCAAAUCUAUAAUUGUAUUUAUGUCAACUUUUUUUUAAAUAGAUGAUGUGCUUAGGGCUGUCCCCUGGUAUUCCCACGACUGUUCCUGGUCCUGCUUUUGCACUCUCUAUAGACUUGUGAAGUGGGGGCGUGGCAUUAUAAUAAUGACUUUGCUUUUGUGAUAACGACUUACGGAAAUAUUUGGGCAUGUCAUCAGCGUUCGGCAAGAAAUUUGUCUUCAAACGAUAUUAUUAAUAGUCAGGAAAGGGGGAUUAGAGGGCAGACUAGAGUCAGAGCGAACAGCGGACAGCACGAAGACAAGUAUAUUUAUGUGGGCGCCAGAGAGAACGAGUAUGCAAAACAGCAACUAGCCGGAAUAUUUAUGGCGAAAGUUAAAAGUGCAAUAUAAAUUAAAUGUGUGUCUGAGGGGAAGAGACAAAGACGAUGUAGCAUGAGUAAUGUGAACAUGCAACUAUCGAAUGGGGCACCGGAAAAGAGAGAGAGAAAUCUUAUUAAAAGCUCAAGAAAUACUCUGGAAAUUCAUAUAUUUCGACUACCAAGAGUAGGUUGCAGAACCUCCAAGUAGCUCUUUCAUCCUCUCUCAGCUUGAGACCAAACAUUUUCGACUCUCAAAAAACUUGCUAAAAACUCGAAACGAACUCAGGCUAAAAACUAUCAACUGUAAUCAAGUCGGCUGGCCUGGCACUAAAAGCCAAUGCAAAAGCUGCUAAAAAGCAUUAAGGCGCUGUACCUCCAGGCAAGCAUCAAGAGCAGGGGAGCAGGGUGGUGCAGGGGAAAAACUAUAGACGGAAGUCGGCAGACAUUAGUGCCAAAAGUGCGUCACAAACAAUAUUUCCGUAUCUGGCAGUAAAACUAAAGCGCAGGCAAAGCCUAGACACUUUUUAAGAGAUUAAAUUUUGGGUGUCCCGUCCCCAGCCAUGCCCAUGGAGCAGUGUCUGCCAUGAAGCGACGAAACUGUAACGAAACAUUUACGGUAAGCACACAGAUACGAGUACAUACAUGCAUGCAUCCGAGCACAUACACGAGAAGUUUUGCCAAACAACAAUGGGAAGAACAGAUGGGGAGGUGAAAGGCUUAGGGAGGAUGAUGCGAGGAUACGAGAGGGUGUGGGUAUGGAUAUGGGUCUGGUUAUGGGAACCUGCAACUAAAAUAGCCAGCAGCAUUUUUGCGUUUGCGUUGUUUAAACAUGCGCAAAGUUGGGGGUUUUGAACUUUUAUCAAACAUACGCCAAGCCAACCUGAUCCGAUCCUAGGCAGAACGGAACAGAGCAGAGCAGAGCGGAGUAAAACCCCGUCUGGGACAAUCUCUGCCGGGCCAAGAGCAAGCCGAGACAUGGUUUUGGGAUGGCCCAACAACUCUAUCCUACCCUCCUCGUUUGCUCUCUGUGUAUUGGUGAGGAUGUAAAAGAAAAACUAUCAGCGCCCUGGGGCCGGGCUCUUGUUAUUCCAGCUUGGCUCAUUUCCUAGUUUUGGAGGGGGACUGGCCGCCUACGCUCGAUAGAGCCAGAAAGGACAUUAAGGAAAUUACCAAAAUUAGUAAUGGCAUAUAAAUUACUUAAAGCACAGGCCGAAAUUUAGAACUCUAGUCGAGAUCUGAGCAAUAGAUAGACCUUAAACUUUUUCUCUACGCAUUCUACCUUAUUGGCAUAAGUACUGCAUAAGACUCGCGGCUGUUGCCGAAUAAAAAACUGGACAGCUUGCCGCGCUGUCUGUCUCUUCCUUUUUCGCUCUCUCUCUGACAGUCUGUCUGCUCAAAAUUUACAUUGCAUUCAUUUGGGGACUCUUGACGGUUCUGGCUUUCAAUUUUCAUUAAACUAGACGGAUAUUAGCUCCUUGAGGACUGCUGUCUGAGAAUUUGCUCAUGUUUAGAGGGCGCAACAAAUAACUAAAUUGCACAUUGAAAUCUUUUAAUCCCAAUGAACUGUGCAGAUCUGUCCGAGUUUGUGUCCGUGUCGUCAUCUCUGCUCCUCUGCUGCCCUGCCUGGAGAACAACAAGUAAACGUUUCAGGCAUUCACUUUAUCGACAGGGGAUUAGGUCUGGCAAAGAACCAUCCACGUAGCAGCAGGUCCCCUUGUUCAAGCGCCUUGCAGUGUUGCUUUCUAUUUGGUUUCGUCCCGUGCUCACUUUAAAUUGAGAAUUAUUGUCGCAAGCAACUGUCUGUGUAUUUGUGUGUCUGGGUCAGCCCGGGGGUCCCAGCCCCUGAUAAGGAUAUAUUGUGUCUCACGCAGUUUGGACAGCUUUAAUCUCGGGCCAAGCUCCGGAGUCCGGACGGAGCGCGUACGUGCUUAAUUUUGUUUGCACUUUUAAGCCAGCCUCCAGCCCCAGCUUCAGCUCCUGCUUCGACUCUGGACCAGCUACGCCUGCAGUUAGGCUACAAAAAUCAUGGGGAAGCGCCAGAGGAUGGGGCCGCCGCAUGCGCUUGGCCAGGGAUUAGCGCUGAUUGAAAUUGCAAAUGAAAAUUUAUUUUUACUGCGCCUGGGUCGAGACACCCUGACUCCCGUCCCCGACACAAUGUUAGUUUAGCUUAGCUCUUGGCCAGUGAAUGAGAGAAAGGGAAAGAGACCGCCUGCGGGUCGGAGAUAGCUUUUUUUUCCACCGCUACACUACCCCAUUGUAUUAACAUUUUAUUGAGUUACUGACGUUUUAUUUUUGUAUAAUUAAAUAAAGCCCCGGCUUAGCGUUUGAUUUUAAUUUGUGCGACAUUUGUCCGCUCAGGAAGCCCGGAUAGUUCCGUCUGCAUUAAUGUGUCAUAUAAAAUGCAGCUGCCCCAAUCCCUGCUAAUGUUCCUGCCCCGUGCAUCUGCACCAUCCUAGUUCGGAACCGGCAAUUAUUUUGCCAUAAAUAUGUUUUAUAUAAAUAUUAAUGUGACUGCCGCAGGAUUAAUUUCAAAAAUUAUUUCGCUUUUUUCGAGGCUUUUUAAAGCCCUGUUCAGUCGCAGGCGUUGGCGCAUAAUUUAUUGUCCUGCCGAUUGAGUGUCUGUUUGCACAGCUGUGUCCGCCCAGCAGCUUAACCAAUUGAUUGCCCGGUCGGACAGAGGGGGAAAGUGGCUUAUAUGGAAAUUAAUAUUCCCCCAGCUCCAUGUCCUCGUAGUACUGCUACCACUCUGAUAAAGAUCUUUAUUGAAGCUGGACGAACUUGUGCUAAUUAAGAUAUGCUCGGAGGAGGAGCGGCACACACAGUUUGCUGUGCGGAAAACAAUGGUAAAGAGGGCGCCCGCUCGCCUAAGCAAAUAUUAACAAUCCUCCAUGUAAGCCGCGCAUUUUCUCAGCCACUUUUUUAAUAAUAAAAAUUUCAUUAUUUCAAAAAACGGAGGAGUGUUCUCCUGUUACCCUACGAUUUCGCCAUUUUCCCUUUGCAUGUACAUACAACGUUUUUAAUUAAAAAAUCCUUUGGUCAAGCAAUUACGGGGCCACAUUAAAAUAAACACUGAGCCAGAACCAGAACCAGCCCCAUCCGCAUUCGCAUCCCUAGCCCCGUUCUCUAAAAGGCAAGAGAACCCUGGACCCUUGUUGGCACAUUAUUAAAGCGGAAUGUAUUACAAACUAAGCUUUCAUCUAAGGGAACGGGCGCCCCGGCUGACCUAAGUAAAUAUUAAUAAUACAUAUUAAUAACGACGGGCACUGCCUGCCCUUUCGGCUAUUUGCACGUAAUUCCUGUAAUGCAUAAUUACGGGCAGCAUAUGACGAUGCAGAGGUCCCUUUGGGAGGCUGCGCGGCUGUGGGCUGGGAAUUCGGGAUUAGGCAAUUACAAAUAUUUUUCCGUUGCAAGUCUAAUGCAUUCUAAACUUUAAUAUUCAAGAAACAAGAACCAUCUUAAAUACAUCUCCAUAGCUCAUUUCUCUAUCCCACCGCAUGCUCCAGCAGAAGCCACACCUUUGCAAAGCUUUGGUUUGGAAUUUAUGGCACACUUUUAGGCGCACUGUCAUUAGAACGGAAAUAAGCCGACAAAACUUCUUUAAUGCCUUCAGUAUCGGUGUCGGUGUUGGUGUUGCUGUUGGUGUCUGUGUCUGUGUCGACGGCCUUAGCCGGGCUUACUUAAAAAUUACAUAAAUUUUGCUUUAUGUGGCCCAGAGCCAGAGCCAGGGCCUGGCCUGGUCCGUGAAUAAGCCAUGCAAUCUUUAAAAACCCAUCCAUAAAGUAUGCAAUUAAAUUUUCACUUAAACGAUUAUCACAUAAAUCCCCACAUAGCACAUAGCACACAUUGGAACUGGCACUAGAGGGAGGGAAGGAGUCGUAAAGACCAGGCCGGAGUCAAACGUGUUUGCAUUUAAAUUAAAAGAGCCAUUUUUCUUCGACACGGCCACGAUUAGAGCGGAAUGAGCCAAGGUGGGCAUGCCGAACAGACAGUGUGGGAGGUGUGUUACGACCACAAAGAACCCGCCCACCUUAUGAUAAGACCAUUACAGAGUCUGGCCAAGUAUCUGGCCUGAACCGCAGCACGCCUCUCACGUACACGGAACACAUACGGAACCGAAACGAACCGAACCGAACCCGUUGUGAAUGUGUAUAUAUUUGUUUAUGUUAAUUGCCAUUGAAUCCAUUUCCAUUAAGAUGCAAGUCCUGCUCUUGACGAUAAUUCCACACAUACACGCACACACACAUACAGAGCUUUAAGGAGGAUAGGAGAAGGAUGCUCGCAUAAUUGCUUACAGGGGAAAGCGCACAAAAGUAUGCCUUGACCGUGGCAAACGUUAAGCUCCGACCCAGCCCGGCCCGGUCCGGUCUUGCUUCCUCGUUGCCUUUGCUUUUCAAUAUGCACAGCAAUAUCCUUGGGUAAACACAGAUCCUGGUCCCUGGACUGGUGCGAGCACUAGUCCUGCUUCUGCUCUUGGUCCUGGCUCUGUCGUGUGGCAGCUCCGGCUUGGCCAUUUUAUUAUACAAUAACAAAAAAGCUCCAGCAUACCAAGUGGCGCACUAAUGCCAACGCACCGCACCGACCCGCUCUCCAUUGCCACUGGUGAAUCUCCGGAACGUGCCCUUACAUAUUAGUAAACUUCAUAAUUUUUAAUUGAUACAUUAAAUUCCGUGCAAAUAUUGAUCGAGCUGAGUAGUAUGCCGCCCCGCUGGUGAAAUGUUUUUUUGUCGGCUUUCACAUGGAUUUUUUGUGGGGGAGGCAUCUUAGUUGAGUGACAGCUUAACGAUGUAAAGCCCAGUUUAUUAUGCAUGGCGAGAUGGCUGGGAUUACUUGCCCAAUGCUCAAAAGAAGGCAAUGUUUGCCCUACUUCGUCUACUCCUCAGACAGUAUUUUGGCUUCUUCCUACCAUAGAUGUUUUAAUAAACAGCGCCUAAAAAAUUCCCGCAGAUCAACCCAAGUGCUGCUGUUCUAUGCAUCAGUUUGCUCUGGAGUCGUGUUCCAUUAGUGGACUGUUGCCCUUUUCAUAAUCUGCUUCUUCGCACUGUGUUCAAGAAAUUCACACAAGAAAUUCGCAUUCAUACUCGUAUAUUGGGCAGCGGGAGCGAGUAUCCCCCGGUCCGACUGUUUGCUGUCUAGGGCCAAACACUCAAAAGCAAUUUGCCCGCAUUGACUUUGCCGUUUUCAGUUUUUUCCAGCGCCAGUGCCCAGUUUUGCCGUUUUCUUUUUCGGCACUCUCUCUAUCAUCCACGUCGUCAGAGCAACUGGGGCCCCAUUUGGCACUCAACCGCAAAUGCAUUUCAACGUAAAGUUUUUAAACAAAUAUUUGCUCAACUUGCAGCCGAGGCUUGCUGGGUUGGGCUUCAUUUUUUCCCUUUUGGUUCUGUGCCUCAGUUCUGGCAUUCAAACAAUGCACAGGCUGCCGAGCAGGCACGCAGCCAGUAGCCCAGGUCCAGGCCAUGCAGCCAGCCAUAAAAUGAGCAAACGGUACGCCAUGCGGUAUGCAACAGUUUUUUGUGAGUGUAUCUCUCUCUGUGCACGCUCCUUUCAUAUUCGUAGGCAGGGACGAGGCAAACAAAUGGCACACAAAUGUAUUUGCAACUGUUGCGGCCAGGACCUUCUCCUGGCAGGCAACUCCAUAAAUGAAUGUCCUUUUGAUUUUGUUCAACGAGCCUAGCAGGCGACUCAAUUCAGCAGCUCCAAAAGGAGCUACCGCAGCUUCAGAGGAGGUCCUUUUGUUUCGGUCUGGCCCGGCAUUCUUCUAGGCUGCCCCACCUACUACUUCCUCUCUGUUUCUUUCUUCUGCUCGUUUGUAGGAAUGUUUUAAUUUGUUUUCCUAUCCGCCAGUUCUGUGGCGCUUCUUUUUAUUGCCCUGCCACGGGCUCGGUUUGAUUGUUUGCCUCUGCCACUUGUUUAUGUGCGGCCGCUUCCUAGACCCACCCGCCUUCUCCGGCUGCCUCCGAUUUCUGUUUGCAUUCAUGACACACGACACACGCGGAAUGCUACGGAUACUCGUGAUUCCCUCUGCUUUCUACUCCGAGCACUGUAGUGAGGUCGUUAAAUCUUCUUCUUAUAUACACUCGUAUAUUUAUUUUAUUGUUUGCUUGGAUGAUUAAUAGAAGUCAUAAUAAUAUGAAGAGAAUUUCAAUUCCAUACAAAAAUAUUUAAUUAAAACAUUGGCUCAUUCCCCUCUCUUGUUCUCUCUUUACUUACAGGUAAGUGACGUCCAUCCAGAACAUCCUGGACAAAGCGUAAGUCCGUUCGCCUAAUGAACAACAAUAUCCGCGGGCAAAUCUAUUUACUGGGUGUGGAGUGGAAGUCGGAGCGGGAGUGCAGUCACCGCACGCUUUUGUAUUUAAUUACAAAAGCAACUAUCUUUCAAUUAUUUACACCUGCAACAAAAACCGUAGCCAGACCGUGUCCGUAUCUGUGUCCGUGUCUGUGUCUGGCCUCAAUGGGGCUGCACUUCUUGGCAAGCCAAACAAAAUAUAUAUCCGCUCUUUACAUUGAUUACCCCAUGGACCUCCUGGUCCUGAGGGGUCGGAUUGGGACUUGGACGGGGACUGGGGCUGGAAUCCGCGCAGUCACUUACUCUCGCCCACUUGACGACCGCGCCCACUUUCGAUAAUUAAUUGCAGACAUCAGUUGCAGUUGCCAGUGUUUUCGACUGUGGGUGGGGGUUUUCGUUGGGCUAUUUUCCGGAAGUGGAAGUGGAAGUAUGAAUGGGGUUUGGGGGAGGGAGAAAUGGAGCAUCCCAUCAAUUUGUCUUUCAGUUUGUAGUAUACUUUUAGGUGGGCUAGCAAUUGUUCUGCAGACGCGAUUCGCGGACCAAACAGAGCUGGAGUGAAGUGCAAUUACAAAUGCAACUCAAGUAGCAGCGAAUCGGGUAGUCAGACGAGAAGCGAGCGGAAAAACGCUUCAGGAAAUGCUAUUAGUUGGAGUGACACAGGCAAAUAAAAGCGAGUUGAGUGCGCAGGCACACUACAAUGGAGACGAAUGUCGAACGCCAAAAAGUAUGCAACAAUUUGGUAUGUGGAACAAAGGAAAAUCCUGUUAUGAAUACACCAGUGCUAGUAUUUUCCACAACAUUGGAAAACCAACAGCUGAUUAUUUGAUUUAUCGAGUCUUUAAUUUAUACCUAAAGCUGGGUUCUACGGACAUGUCAAUUUAUCGAAGUGAACGAAGAUUUAUUCGUUGUGCCAGUUCAUUGGAACCGGUAAAAGCAGAUCAGUUCCUUAUCCACCAGCAGACAAAGCUGUGCAGACAAUGACCGCAAAUCUAAUAAAAAUAAAUAACAAUUAAUAUGUGCUUUGUCUCUGGCUCUCUGCUUUUCUGCUUUGUUUUCCCACUUUCGCUAUAGUCCAACGCUUUGCGUGGUUUUUAAAAGCUUAAACGUGUUGGGAUGCCUAGCUCUCGCUUCCUCUGGCUCUCUCUCCUUCUCCUUAGAUCCAGCUCUUAAAAAUUAACUUGGAAUUUCAAAUUACCUGACUGAGAAGUGGUAGAAGAGAGGAGAGUCAUGCGGGAACGCAGUUAUCUCGCGGAAUUUAAUUAAAAGAAUUGUAAAUGUUGCUUGUGGCACUUUUCCUACUGCCGACUCCUACCCGACGCAGCGAAAGUUAAAGUCUGUCUGGUCUACUUAGUCAAGUACAGCUCAUAAAUGCUCCCCGGCUUCAGAGUAUCCGCUGACUAAUUGCAUUUUAUGAAUAUUGCAUUGCAUUUGCGGUACACGGCACUGGCGGAACUGGUGGCACUGCCACGUUUCGGGCGGAGCGGGAUGAUAAAUGGCCAGCAAGCGGCUAAGUGGCUGGCCCACUCCUAUGCGAUGUGGCCGGUGCGAUUGUCAUCGUCCCUCUAAAAUGAAACCUCAGGUGUGUCCCUGCCAGUGCAUUAGAUUAAUGAAACGCUGCCGGACAGUCGGGAUGGAACUUUGGGGGACUGAAACCCUUUUCCAAUAAAUGCCAAAUUAAUUAAAAAAUACAGCGCAGAAGUAAAGAAAAAGCCAAACUCAAGCAACCCGAAAAGAAAAACUUGAGACCCACAAUGAGGUUUUCUUUUCCAUUCUCCCUUUUUUUAUAUGCGUUUUCUUUCUUUUCAUUAUAUCCCGUAUCUCUGUGUGUAUUGUAUUUUCUCUUUUUUUUCUCCCCCUCCCACUCUCCUGAUGCUCAACUUGAAAGUGUUAAUUAAAAAUUGUUUCACAGUUUAGCUGCGAAAAUGAAAAUUGAAAAAGGCAAAGGGAGUCGAGUCAGUGAGUCAGUCCCAGUUCCCUUCCCAGUCCCAAGCUUCAUAUUUUCCUUUUGCUCUUUAACUCUGCACUGUCCUGUCCUUGUCCUAUCCCUAUCCCUAACCCGGACUUGCCUUGCCUUAUUUUUUCAUUAGCCGCCUCAAUUUGAGGAAAGAACCCAAGUGUAUUUAUCUUAGGACCUCUUCGCCAACUUGUAGUUGUAAUUGCAAGUGGACUGCAGUCGGCCUCAGUCUUAGUCCCACUGACAGUCCGAGAAACUUGGCCAUACUACAGAGCUUGACCUUAGUCUACUCUUCGAGGACUUGAAGUGCUCUCCCGAUCGUUAGUGCAGCGUUGCCGGCGCUGAAUGCAGCUUCUCUAUCUGCAUCUUCUUUAAUUGCAACAACUUAAACCGCUUCGCUGCUCGGCGGAGAUGGCAGUCGCCAGCAAUUGUCCCAUAAUUAGGUUCUAUCUCAUAGCUAGAAAUCUGUUGGAAAUAGGUUAAGAUUAGAAAGGAAUAGAGUGAGCUGUAUCCCCUCUACAUUCCCCUUCUCUGUUCCUUUUUAUGCCUUCCCCUUUUUCGCUUAUCCGGAAUUCUAACGAGAAGGGACGUGUGAGACGCUUCUUACACGUCACAACUUUUAUCCCCGGCACUCAGUACUACAUCUGUACCUUAGCGGUUUUUUGUCAAAUUUUACAUUUUUUCUUCAUCUGUCAUCUACAUCUACAACACUUCUUACGCCAACACGCUCCUUUUGCACGCCCCCCUUUCCUAGAGUCACACACUGCAGAGUCAUGACAGAGGAAAGGCAGAGGCAAAGGCCGCACACUGCAGAAACAGAGUGUGAAUGAUAGAAUGUGCAAAAAACAAAUUUAAACUGCGGGCGGGUGGGUUUAGCCACUGGAAAAUAGAUCUGAUAGAUAUGGUCAUUCCCAACGGAAUGGCGUUUUUCGUUUUCUUUUAGGCGGAAGGUUACACUUGUAACAGUGUGAGCAUACAGAUUAUAGUCUCUGUCUCGGACAGACAGGCAUGGCUCUAUCGACUCGGCUAUUGAUGCUGAUCAAGAAUAUAUAUACCUUAUGGGGUCGGAAACGCUUCCUUCUUUGCUUUACAUACAACCGUUAUUCGCACAAAUACAAUAUACCCUAUUUACUCUUCGAGUACCGGGUAUAAAAACUGAAUUUUCUGUGGAAAAAAACGCUUUCCAUCAAAAUGGUUGGACUUUCUAUUUGAGUUUUUCAUUUAAUGCCGGGAGAGACUACAGCAAAAAAAUUGGCUACAGCCGCGAGAUUUUCCUUCUUAUGGCUGGGAUUUUAUGGCCGUCAGACGUUUUAUGUGGCAUUCAGACUCUCUCCUAGUUGCUCUUCGCCGUUCCUUUCUAGAGGGUGGCGGCUGUUUGUCUUGCACUGCGUGUUUUUAAUUUUGCGCGUUUCGCUUGUUCUAAUUGAAAGCCGCGUUGUGUGUACUUGAUGCGGGUGGGAAGGGUAAAAGGGUGAUAGAAAACGCAGUGGUGGGGCAUGUAUGCUUUUCCUGUCUUGUGUUUGUCUUAACAUUUAUACGCCACGCAGACUUACACGCAUACAGCACUUCCAAUUUCCUUCUGGCUGCUGCUCUACACUCGUAGAUAAAUAAUUUACUUUUUGCGCACUAAGGCACAAACAAACAUUGAGCAAGAUACAGACAGGGAACAGGGGACACUGGAUAGGAUUCGAGAAUGGGACAGGACACGGGGCAGGAACAGGAGACCGUGACAGGCAACAACUAAAAGCAACGUUGUCGGCAUAUCUUUUCUUACAGUAAAUAUUUAUAUGUAUUUCUGAGUGUUUCCUGGUGUGGGUGUGUGUGUCUAUAUCUGUGUUUGUUUAUAAUAUAAUGUACAGAAAACAGCAAAAACAGCACGUAGAUGGGGCACAGGCAGAAAGCGAAAUUUUUACCAACAUUUUUUGUGUUUGUUGAUUUUGGGCAAACAAAACUUUGCACUUCUACAGCACACCCUCCUUUCACGAAGCGAAAGAAGCGAGAAGAAUAACCCUUUUUCUGGCCAUUUCCUACCCGAAGCGGGUUCCGCUAACGCAUUUUUCUUUGCUUUUACUUCUCAUAUUUUCGUUUUCUUCGUCCCUUUUUUGAGGCCUGAAAUUAAAAAUUAAGUUUAUUUAGCCUAAGACCAGGAGCUGCCCUAAAGCGAGUGGAACGAGUCGAAGGAGUACACAGUGAGGCACAUCCGUCAAUUUGCGUUGGCUUUGCCCUUGAGUCAUGACCUUGUGGGCGUGGCUGGGGGAUGGGUCUGUAGCUAAGCUCGAUGCACUUAAAUCAUGUUAUUGCCCCAAAAACUAAAAAGUAUGCAAAUGUUCCACAGACAGGCACACACACUCAUAUACAAACUCACGUAUAAUAUGUGUGCAAAUGGGGGAGACUGAAAGAGAGACUUAAAAAAACUGCAUAGCAUAAUUUAUGGUGAUUCCGCUCCUUUCCUCGCUUCUCUUUCCCUUUGCCGUGCAAAAAACACAACAGACAAUUUGCCCUGUGUAAGAGCAUGUGAUUUGUCUUGGUUUCGCGUUGAACUCUGCCCAAAGGAUCCGCAAAAAAGAGAGACACUCUAGGAGAGGGCAAGUGCAACAAAGGCAGGGGCGGGACGAGUUUCUACUGUAUUUGCUUGGCUUGGAAAAUGUCAACAGCAGACGAUGACUAGGCCCCAGUCCAUACCAUUCCUAAAACCGCCUCUCCGUCACACCGGAGGCUGAGAACCAAAACCCCAAACGCCUGUCGCCCAUUUUGACGAAAUAGACAAAUUUGCGUUUUGUUGCAACCAAAUUCCCUGAAACUGGCAGGACUCUGCCACUGCCACAGUAUAUCUCUCUCCCUCGCUCAUGCAUUUCCCCUGCAAUAAAUCAUAUGCAGAGAGACAGCAACAGCAGCAGCAAUAACAACAACAACCAGGAGGCAGAAAAGAACGGGGCAAGCAAAAACAAUGUUGCGGCAAAAAGUUUGCUGUUCUCCUACAUGCCCCAUCGGGGUUUUUUAUUUUCCUACAACAGCAAUGUGACAAAUACAUAAAUUUGCCAAAAAUGUCGCCGCCUUUCAAAAAAUUUGAGCUGGCAAUUUGAAAUUGUUGUGCUGCCUGCCCCUCUACACCCGUGCACUGCAUCGUGCCUCCUGCGGCAUUUAAAGUAAAAAGCCUGACGACGACGCGUCACGCCCAUAAAUCAAACGGCAUCAGAAUGUGCGAAAGGGAAAAGCGACCUGGUAAAGGGUUCAGCCCGAUUAAUUUUUAAACAUUUAAUCUAUACAUGGCCUGGACUUCGAUCAGAUUGCAAUUUCUCGGGUGCUUGGGGAGGCAUUCUAUGGCGUCUUGUGCCAAAUGGCGCUAUCAUUAUUAGCCAGAUUUAUUGUGUUCUCUCCUUACUGUUUCAUAUUAAAUUAAGUAAAAACAAGAUAAACGUCUGAAGUUGUGCUUCUCGAACAAGGAAGGUAUUCGGAUUCAUAAAUGUGGGUUUGUCGUGAUUGGUUACAGACAAUAAUGGAUGUACGCUUUGCAUUUAUGGGAUUUGUCCUUUAAUGGGAACGUGUGGGUUAUUAAUUAUUAGUUAUUAGAUAUAGUUUUAAAUCAUAAAGAUAAAUAUAUUACAUGGAUUUAUAUAAAUAUAUCGACCUACCGUAAUGGCUGAUCAUGAAUACACUUCAGGGUUCUAAAUACAAUAUACCCGCAAAUGCUACGAUUACUGGGUAUACUUAUAAAAAAAAAUAAUUUCUUCCCUUGGGAUGUCGCAGGGAGAAAAACUACGAUACAUAAUUCACAUGCCAAAACAGCACGAAAUGUUUUGCAUAGCUGCGAUAGUGGGCGGGGCGUGGCAGCGGCGUCCCGGGUGUCGCGGACGAGGACAACAACAAAGUGGAAGCCAUUAAAUUGCAUGCAUGCAACUAGUAAAAAAGUACAAAAAAAGUGAAAAAGAAGAACGAGACAGAACGAAGAGCGAAGGUAACGCUACUUGCCACGCCCACGCGCUGUUUUGCACAGGCGGCCAAGAAAUGAGUUUGCACUUUUGUUUUGCAAAAAAAGGAAGCACCUGCAAUGUUGCACCUUAAAAAAUGCUGCUGAGACAGCAGACGUUGUCGGGAGAGGAGGAGGGCAUGCAACGGGACAGUGCACACCCAGAAGACGUUGCCCUGAAAGUUUUUAGCAUGUUUUUCAUAUUUAUCCUGGCAAAAAGAGCACGGCAGACAGGCAGCCAUGCGCCUGAAGGAGCAGGAGCACUGAAGGGUUAAGAUGCGUGUGCGAAAUUAUUUAGCCAAAGUGUCAGAAUGCCAGCUAGCCAUCCUCCACUUCUGCCUAAGUACUGCCCUCUCCGCUGUGCUGAAAUACUUGUCUGCCUUAUUUAUUGCGUACCCCCAGGCGCGCACACAAACGCCCACACACGAGCGCUCCUCCAGCUACCAGUGUAUGUGUGUGUACACCUGUGUGUCAGGUGUCCGUGCCUGAAGCUAGGAAAAUACUUUGUAAACAUUUCCUAUUUCUAUUAGCGAACCCUCUCGUCAACUCUCCGUUGCUUUCCCGUUGGCCCACAUGGCCUUCAAAAAAUUGCAUCCCCUCUGCGCUGUACAGCGCCCAAAACUAUGCAACAAUGUUUUGUCAGACAGACAGGGGGUAAAAAGUUUGCCCAUAAGUGCUUCGAGUCCCUAGAAAAGUACAAAUAUCUUACCACUUUGGCCACCUUAUCGAUGCCCCAGCUGAACCGAGCCCGAUCCCGCGGCUAUGGGGCCAUAAAUUAUAUUUUUUGAAGUCUCACCCAGAGACAGAGACAGUGCCAAAAAUAAAAGCAACAACAACCAGUGAGAAAGAGACUGAAAAGUUUUUGGCAGUUAUUACCAAGUGUUUUGUCGCCUCUUCCCCCCGUCCUGAAGUUGCAUAUCUGUAAACAUUUUUUGCGACUUUGAAGCGCACCUGAAAAAAGUUGCGAGCGAGCAGAGAGUUGGAAAGGAUAUCUCCCGCUCGCUUACUUUGGCCGAAACUUUGACUGCAGUUUGAGAAAAAGUUUUUGAAGGUUGCUAGACCUUUAAUUAUUUUGUGAUAAAUGAUGACAUUGGAGUGCUGGAACAGGGCAAAAACAAUUACAAAUACGUGUUUGUGUAGGAGUAAGAGUAUAGGUAGUCGUAGAGCUCGUAGAGAAUUUGCUGCGUCAGAGGCGAACACUUCAUUAGCACCUGCCAGCCCUAGAAGAUGAGAUCUCUCCUCGCACCACCUUUGACAAAGCCAAACACGAAAAUAUUAGUGCAAGCAACAGCUGACAGUGACAUGGCCCCACAGAAACAGUGGGCCCAAGAAUGUCCAGCCCAUCAUCCACUUAAAAGCGCUUUAAACCGGAAUAAUCCUGGACAGACAAAGCCGUCCACGGCCACCGCGGACAGCUACAGCUACAGCUCCAGCCCAGUCGAUGAUUGAUGAUGGCGUGUGACACUAAUGGUGAUUGUUGAUAUUUUAUCACAUAUUCUAGAGCGAAAAAAGGGCCACAACCACCUGCAAUUUGCUGCUACACUGGAACAUAUUUUUUUUCACAAAUAUCCCCUAUCCGUCUGCUAUCCGAUUCCUUGGUAUAAUUUUACAUUACAAUAGGGCUUUAUGUGCGGACGCCUAAAACUAUGCAACAGCUUCCAUGAUUUAUGGGUGGUCCUGGAACGACUCCGAAAACAAUUACUCAAAUUUGAUAUUUCCUUAGGCGGGAAGGGAUUUGGAACAAGUGUUUUCGGCUAGAUUAAAUAUACUUUCUAGGUGCUCCAUUUUUAUUAUUUUGGGUUGAUUAAUGUUCGUUCAGUUCGCCGACUUGAAAGAGGCCCAAACUGACUGGGGAUCAGAUCUGGGGAUAUUAACGUAAAAUAUUUUAGGCUUCGUUCCGAUGGCUAAUCCCCGCCAAACAAUUCAUUCAACUGCAUUCCAAAUGAACCACAGCCAUUCCAGGCUUCCGGCGAGCUGACCCACCCUCUAGUGGAAUCAAUUGUUAAUUAACUUUAGUGGAAAACAUUUCUCCAACUGACUGAACACUGGCAAAAAUUCCAAAAAUUGUUGGUCUAGCCACUGAACAAUUCACACAAGCGGAAGUCAUGGCCGCGCAUUGGGCAAAUGCUAUUAAUGUAAUUUGGCAUUUAUUUAUGCAUUGCCAUUAAAACAAAUAGACACGCGGCGAGCGAAUCAUAAUGCAAAAUGAUAUAAUAAUUAUAAUUGUGCUGACAGACAAAUAACAAGUAUUGUCCCCGACAUUUGAUGAACAUUGAAAAUGCAUUUUUACACACUCAUUUGCAUGUAGCGAUUGCAACUCAAUUUUAACAUAAAUAAGUUUCCAUUUGAUCUGUCAUCCCUCUGCAGGCAUGUCCUUUGUUCGUAUGUAUUUACCGUCCGCUCUUUUCCAUUUUUCCACUAAUCUCUCUGGUAGUUUACCGUGCUAAGCCUGAAAUUGGCGGCUUUUCCUUGAUACAUUUUCUCCGGCUUGCCGCCGGCCGUUUUAAUUUUAAUUAAAAAUCAAAAAUAAUUAGCUAUUUGUUUAAUUACAUGAAAAUCAUUUGCGCCUGGUUGCAGCCAUUAAUAUUUAUUUGAAAUAUAUUUCCCUGCUCAAUCCGUCUCGGCUUCCCUUUUAUUUGCUUGUUGCAUUAUUUAUUAACGUUUCAAACAUGUGUCAACAUGGCCGCUGGCCAAAAAUAUAUGCAAAUAUAAAUGAGGGAACAGAUAAAUAUAUUGAAAAUGGCAUAAGCAUGUAUCGGGAUACGUUUAUACAUUUGUACAUAAAGUGCAUAUACAUACAUAUGUAUAUGUAGAUAUCUAUGAGUAUCUGCAUCUGUGGAUGUGGCAGAUGAAUUAUGUCCGUGCCAGGCCGUAAAUGCAUAUUUAAUUACAAAAUUAAUUAACAUGAAAAAUAACUAACGCAAAAGGUAUUAUAGCAGAAAAAAAUCGUAGAAAUAAAAUAGAGUUAUGAAAAAGUCUAUAUAUGUAUGUAUACUAUGUACAUAUAUUUAAUAAUUGUAUAAUACAGAGUUCACUUGUACGUGGCAAAAUUAAAGACAAAUAUACGUUUUUUUAGCAUUUGUUCAUAUUUAAUUAAAUUAAAAGCAUUUAUGGGAAUUUAUUUCCAUAUAUUUUAGUCCCUACGUUUCGCUUUUAUCCCUUUCUUCAUUCGGUUCUCAAUCACUCACUGAGUACAUUCAUUUGCCUGUUCCCAAUGUUCCCCAAUCAAUUUUAAUUAAAUUAAUUCCUCAAAUUUAGCACACUUCCAGACCACAGGCAAACUCGGGCCAGGUCCUAGGAGAAGGGAAAGUUUUUCCACCACCCCCCUUAACCGAAAUUAGUUAAUAUUUGGCCUGGGUCUGGUUCUGGCUCCUAACCAUGGAACAGGCCAUGUCCCCCCGGGCAAAUAUCACUUACUUAUGUUUAGUUGUUGGGUAAUAACUUGUACUUUGCCUUCCUCUGGCCAAGGGCUGUGGCGCCUGCUGUUAAUGACACAACCGCAAACAAAGUGCGAGGAGCACACAUACGCACAUAUGUGUGCAUGGAAAGGGGAGAAGUACGAGCAAAGCUUGUUGUGUAAUGGCAUAGCUCAUUAGCUUUGCAGGCAAACAAGUUUUAAAGCAUGCAUUUAGGAGCGCUGCGGUUUUACAGUCAGCCUCAGCCUCAGGCUGCAGGCUCUCGCUGUCUCUACCAUGCGAAUCCGUGUGUGUGUGUGUGUGUUGACACAACAAUUAAAAGCAUUUAAAAUAAAGCAUGCCACACUCGUAGGCGGCUGUAGGCACCACACAGCCACAUAGCCAGGCUCUGCCACAACACGCUCCUGCGUAGCCCCUCCUGCAAAUGCAUAAAUUCUGCCUUACUGCUGUCUGUCUGUGUCUGUGUCUAUUUCUGUGGCUAUGUGUGCGUGUGGGUUAGUCACUAAUUAGCAUGUCUUUAGCUUUGGGAUGCCUUAUGGCAUUGGCACUGGCACUGGCGCUAGCAGUUCUGUGGCCAUAAACCCCAGAGAGAAUGGCUAGUUAUAACACAUAUGGCAGACUGAAAGUGGAGCCAUAAGCAUUCUAUUUGUGUGAAGAGUAUCCCCGCCUCGACUUGGCAAUUAGUUUCCCUGAUGUCUGACCAAACAUUGUUUUGGCAUUCGUAAUUAUGUCCUGCCAGGGGCCAUUUAACAUUUAACAUUGAACUACAGCUUGAACAGGCUACAGCCUGGUCAACCAGUCCAACCCCUCAACACCACAACUCGAUUGACAGACACAUUAAAUUUUCAAGGCAACAAAUUUUACUUCAAACAAAAGACAAAUUACCACGGUCUCAGGAAUUCUUUCCUCUAUCAGACGCCGCCAAUCUGCGACUCUUUUUCAACUGCCUUUUUUCUCAACUCGACGCGACUCGACUCGACUUGACUCUUGGAUCAAGUCUACGUCAAGUGUUUGCCAAGGAGAGUGGAGCAGACUUAUCGGGUCUGGCCCGUUGUUUGCUAAAUUGCAAACACAUGCUGCUUCCAAUGGCGCACAUCCAGCGGUGGCAUGGACUGCAAUAGGACUACGAACAGGGGAGCAGGACAAUGGCCAAAGUUUAAUCAGGCGUGAAAUCAAGCAGGUGUUUCAAUUUUUACCAAAUUGACUUGAAUCUACCUGACUGCCUUCGUACCAUACUCUCCCUUCAUCCGUGUCUUGACGGGCGUUGAUAAAUCGCUCCUAAAUCUGAUACAACGUCUGGGGGCGAUGUCGUUGUCAGGUCGUCUCAUUAAAACGAUUAUUAUGCAUUGCAUUUCUGAUUAUACAAUCAAAUUAAAACUUAUUUAUGCAAUGAAUCAGUAGGGCGAUACUCGCAUGCGAGUAGGAGUCCGUGGAUUACAAAAAAGUAAUCAUUAUAAUUCUUUUUGCUAGUAUUUUUCUAUGUGGCAUAUAAUAUUUCACAUUUAUUUUUGGACGGUGGCUGAAGACGGACGGCGCCCAUGGACAAAUGUUACGAGGAACAGUGGCACUGUUAAUGCAAUGUAAAAAUCAAACAAACAAACAAAAAAUUAAUUAUAUAAAAAAUACUCAACAAUAAUCUGGCCAUGGGAGUACGGUCCAAGCACUGAUUUUGAAUAUAUCUGGACUGCAAAACAAUUGUAAUUAUUAUAUAAUUAUAUAUAUACAUACAUGUUAUAUAUGUAUCCAAACCGAACCGCAACACAAUGCCCUCUCGGUUGUGACCAGCGUUGUGUGCCCACCUACGCAACUCCCCACCCACAACUUCCUCAUGUGUUGUUCAUUCUGCUUCUGUUUGCUGUUUGGGGGAAUCCCAUUUUUUCCUGUUUUCUGUUUAUUAUGUCAAGCAUAAAUUGGCAUUUUCAACUGGAUUUGCAUGUUAAUUAAAAUGGCGCACGCACGGACAGUGGAAAGCAAAUUCAGACACGGAAUUAAAUCCCCUAUCUCUCGCUCUCUUGUCCUCUCUUUCAGCUCUCUCUCUUACUCCCUUAACAGCUGACCGAGCAAGCAGUGGGGGUUCCUUGUGGGCUUACGAGGAGUGCGCAGACCAGAUCGAUGACAGGCGGCAGGCCCGGGCUCUGCACUUCACCCGCGGCUGGUUGCAUUUCAUUUUGAACUCUAUUUACUUGAAUGUUCGCAAAGCAGAAGCAAAAGCAAAAGAAGACGAAGUGCAGUGCAGCAGCAGAAGCAACAGCAACUCUGAGUAACGUCCCCAAUCCCCCUUCAAAUCCCAGUCCCAACUGAACUGAACUCUACAACACAGAACGCGACCCGACCAACGACCUACACUUGACUUAACCAGCAUUGUCGAUUGCAAAGACCCGCCUUACAGAGCUGCAACGCCUUCUGGCGGAGGAGGAACAGGACUACAGCAAGACUUUAAUGAUGAUUUCUUUGGCGCUUAAGUCGUUUAAACUGCGCCCCCAUCUUCGACGGCAACGGCGACUUGGGCUUGGGCUUGGACGUCGACGUCUUCUUCGUUCUCGUCGUCAUGGACUUGACGAGGGCCUUUUUGUGUGUCUGACUGGGGAAGCGGGUGGAGUUCUUCGCUUCGCUUUUUUAUUGCUCAAGUCUCCUUUCAUGUGCAUUAUGGAGCACUCGUCGUCAUCGUCGUCUUCGCUCUCUUGAGCUGCUUUAACCACUUGACUUGGCCUAGAGGAGGCAGCAGCGGCACCAACCCUGAGCCGGUACAGGUCCUGGCACAUCCCGCAUCCACUUGGCGGGCUUAAAGAUUGCGCUCGUCUUGAUGGAAUUAUGGACAAGUGCAUAGUCGUAAAGUUCAAUAUUUUUAUAGUUCAGUGUCUGUAUCUCUCUCACUACCUAAAAGUCUGCAAACAUUGAUGGCUUUCCCCUUCCCAAUUGCAAGCCCCUGCCAAUUUCCAGCUGCCACGCAGACUGAAACAUUUAUCAACUAUUAAAUAAAUGUGCAGCUGAGUUGUACUUAUUAAUGCAGCUGAAAAUUGUAUAAUUUAUUAUAAGCAGCCUCUGCUUGUCAGCGAUAGUCCGGAACCCUCUUCCGCUGCCCAUUUAAUUGACAUAUUCAAAAUAUUAAAAUGCAUCCGUGUGCAGAAAUGUUCUGGGCACUCUUUUCGGGGAUGGCUCUGCAUUUGUACAGCUAGGCAGUGCUUUGUGGGCAAUUGUGAAUUUUUAAUCAAGUAAAUAACUCGGUGCACGAAACGCAAACAAACUGACAGAACAGGACGGGACAAAAAAGCAACCAGAUAGGACACAUAGCAGAACAGCACAGAACAGAACAGGAUGGGACUACUAACCGCAAUGUGACUGAUUUCCCUUUUUGGUUUUACCAAAGCCAUGGAGAAAGCAACAAUCCAAUCCGUAAACACUGCAGUACAAGUCGGUAAAUGCUCUUUAAUGACACUUUAAUUGGUUACGUAUUUGAAUAUAUUUGAGAAAGAUACAGGCCCUAUAAACUGUAUCCUUUAACGCGUAACACUUCCAGGUCGAUUUCGAUUUAAUUGAACUAAAUACAAUGAAGAGACAAAAUGAGAAAGGAGUUCAGCCUCAUUCGGAAGCCUGUGAAGCCUCACACGUUGAGCGGAAAAAAGCUGCAGAGUCUGAAAAAUUAAUAACAAAAUUUGCAACGCCAGAAGAAUGACAGCGAAAAAAGGGGCGGCCAGAAACCAACCGCUCGGGGUGUGGCUGUAUUAUUAAUUAAAUGACGCUUAAAAGUAUGCUAACAGAAACGAGCUUAGGGCAGGCAACUACUGCAGUAUGGGAAACUUUCCACUUUUUGUGGCAAAAAUAAUAACUUCCAAACAAAACAAUAUAUUUCGUUUUUUCAUUUCAGUGUUCUUUUUUCAUUCAGUUUAAAAUCUCACUUUUAUUUUAUUUUUAAUUUUUAUCAAACAAAAAAAGAUGGGAAUAUUUUAAGCAGUGCUAUAUUAUAUAAAAAUGUCAUGGCCGGAUUUAAAAAAAUUGAAAACUAGAAGAUAAUUGGAAUUUUACAUUGACUUCCUUACAUACUGCUAGCAGAUUUUGUUCUUUGUGUUGUAGAAAUAAUGUACACAAUAGCCCUGCACGUCAGCGCAGAGACACUGUAAAUAUAUAAAAUUUAGCCAAUCUGCACAUUUUCUUUCGAUUUGUUUCAAGUUUGUGCAACAUUUUUCAACUUAAUCGAAAACUGUCAAAACAAAUUGAAAGGGUGGAAGGCAAACAGCUCACUUUAACAGGUGCUAUCUAAACAGUAGCGCGCAUUGUUUUGGGUACAAAACAUUAAAGACUGAUGUUGUUCUUAUGUAUAUCGGUUAAAAAAAUUGUAUUUUAUCGUCUUUUGAAAAACGAGUUUUGGCCAGAAAAAGUGGUCAAUUGCCCAUAGUAUACUGUACGGAAUUCUCAACGUUUAUUUAUUUUUUCUGCAAAUUUCGAUUUUGUUUUUGCCUAUCGACGGCAGCUGGAAAUUUAUUAUCAGUGACAGCCAGACGGACAAGCAGCCUCCGAGCGAGAGAAGUCGUUGACAAAAAUUUAAUAAACUAAAAACCGCAGGAUAUUUACAUUGCACUCGUUUGCAGGCUACCUAUCAGUAUCCGUGUAUGUGUCGGUGUUCGUGUAUUUUCGCUCGUGUGCCCGGCAUUUCAUUUCGAAACAGUGUAAAAUUAGUUUGUCUGUGCCAUAUUUUUGUGGAUAAUUUUUUGUGUUGAGAGAGCUGCCUCGAAAUUAGUUGCUGUUUAUCGCAUAUUUGGUCAUGCAUAAAAUGCACUGAUUGGUGUUGCAUAACUCUGGACCAAGCCAGAGCUGAUUAUUUAGUUGUUUUGGCUGCCACUGUCAAGGCCCGAAGGCAAUUGAGGCUCUUCGCCAGACCUUUGAUUUAUUAUGGAGAACUCAUGUCCAGGCACCACUUUACAAAUUAAAGCUCCUUUCAUUUAAAUGACAGCAAAGACAGAAAAGGUCACCUCAUCAUCAUUUAUAAUUUAAAUGACAUUCGUAUGUGCGUUUCGUUUUUUUUUAUGUACAUAUCUGUCUCGAAUAUCUUCUAAAGAAUCUAAAGAAAUGGUAAUUAAAAACUGAAUGAAUCUACCGAAGCUGUACAGAAAAGGUAUCCUUUAUAGUGACAGUUGAAAGAUAUGUAGGAAAUACGUAUAGUUGUUCCGGGGAAGAGAGUAGAGUUGGAAACGCUGUAGUAGUGUUGUUUUUUCUUUUCGUUGUUUUGCUUUUAAUUUCGGAGCACCUUCUAUUAUGUAGAGCUCUAUUCAUGCAAAUGGCGUUUGGCUUUGACUUUAAAAUUCCGAAAAUCUUUAGCUUAAAGUUGUGCCAGCAAUUAAGGCAUGCUUCAUUGGCUGCCAAAAGGUACAUAAACUACGUGAAUGUUUCUAUGCGACCACACCCUCCUUCUGGUUACAUCCCUCCCUUCAUCCAGAGAACUCACACCCAUCCGACCCUUAGACCCGCUCCGCUUUUCAUGUAAACGCUUGCUCUGCCAUUCGUUCCGAGUCAUUUCAUUUUCACUUUGUUGCCGGAGACGUAGACGGAGAGACGGAAAACGAGAUGUAGUUGGAGUCGUGGCUAGUCGAGUCGAGUCCUAGUCCUACAAUACCAUUUGUGCUGGGUGCCUUUUGCCCAUAGUUCCACCUCACUAGCUACCCAUGGCACUGACUUAAAAUGACAAACAACAUUGGGACUCCUUGUCGGAGUCCUGAAUCCUGAAAAACGAAAAAUGCUUUUCUAUCACACACACACACACACACACACACGCAAAGAGUAGGGGCAGACGCGUACAUGCCAUUGCACAAUCAUUGGAUUCCGAAACAUUUCUAGAAUAUUUAAUAAGAAAACUGAAAAUCGUUGAAAUGCCAGCAACACUCAUAAUAUCGUUUCUGCCUCCUCCUCCUCCUCCUCCUCCACCUCCACCUCCCCCUCCUACCCAUCCUGCGUGAGAGUCUAGGUCGAUUGUCGAUAUGCGUGCCUUGUGUGUGUGCUGCACCCCAGCCACUCGUCCGAUUUCUCCUGCUAGGGCAGCCUUUCUCGAUGAAAGGCUAAGGUCAAAGACAAUAUUGAAAUGCCAAUUGAACUUUUAGCUAUUAUUAAAAUUUUACUGGUACUGCACUCGUUUCCACAAAAGCAGGAGCUAGAGCAGGACCCAGUACCAGUUGAAAAUGUCGUUAGGAUCCUGCCCAUUAAUGGCACAUUUUGGGCAUGGCCUUUAAACGUUUUGGUAAUUGAUUCUUUGAGGCACAGAGUGCAUAGCGUAGCACUGGUCCAUGAUUUAGGGAUAGGGGAACAAUCGUUUUCAAUUUAUGGAUAUGGGAAUGGUAAAGGGAAUACUAUGAUUAUUUUCAGUAUCAAAGGGGAUUAUUAGUGUAGAGAUUCACUUUACAAAACCUCAUUGAAUUCAAACUAUAUCUGAUUUUCCUCUCUCUCUUUCUUUAUAUCUUUGCAGGUAUGUACUACAAAUUUGCAUAGCUCCAAGGAUAUCAAUCCUUUGCCCUAUUCUAGCGUAAGUUCAAGUGCCUUUGUCUUGCCCCGUCCUGCCCAGUCCAGUCUGGGCACCGUCGUGGACAGUGAAAAAUUUGUAUAGCUUAUUAUUAAUAACAAUGUAAGGAGGUAAAACCCCAUCAAGUAGCUAAAUCUUGGGAAGCAUUUAAGGAGCAUGUCAGAAACAAAACGACGGGAAAAGCCACCACCUCCUCCUAGCAGUCGACGACAUUGACAGUGAUUACAAGCUGAAAGUAUGAAAAACAGCAAAAACUACUUAAGCACAAGAAAUAACAAAAGGCUGGCCUGAACGUCAUCCCGUGACAUCUCAGCUUGGAGAGUCGUAGCCGGCCAAAGACCAAGACGAAGACGGAGACAGAGACGCAGACUGUAGACAAAUUUUUUGCAUAAACACAGACGACAAAGCCAACUACGGACUGCACUUAAAACAAGAGUCGCCAACGGGGGACCAAGACAAAUCGAAGCCGAAAGCCAUCGAGCAGCGAAGAGAUGGCCAAGGAGGAAUUUUCUCAAUGCUUGACGUGAGAUGCGAAUUUUUCAAUAAGUGCAACCGAUGGAAAGAGGCGGCGCGAGGCGACGGCAGGCCAUCCAGGGACCGUAUAAUAAUUUGAGAAAGGGCAGAAAUGGGGGCGCGGUAGGACAAGCAUCGUUUAAAAUGUGGCUGGUCGAGGGCAGGACUCUAGGAUGGACUGGGUCUCGGACUAGGAGCAGGAAGCACAUAAGUUGAAACGGCUCAAAAUGCAAAGUAGACGACAUCCGCUUUGAGAUUGGAUGACGUUCGUUCAGGCUCUGCUGCUGGCCCUGGUCUCUGGUCUCGGUCCUCGUCAGCCCUAGCAUCGUCGUGAAGUAUUAAAAGCAAAUAAGUAAUAAAAAUAAUAAUGGAGCAUUUUUACCAUUUUUUUGCCCCCAACGAAAGGGAGCAGCAGCGGCACACAGAAAAAAAAGGAUAAGCAUCUUAGCGCAAUUUCUUGCUGCCUUCUCAAUAUAACAAAAGGUCCUCUGCCGAAAAUCGGAGGAGUGGGCAGGCAGACGAGAAGGAAGGGUCCGCUGCUGUUUUGUCCUUUAUUUCAAUUUUUUUCGCUCAUAUUUCCACUUCCCUUGCCCCAUCCAGUUUUCUUUUCCCAGUUUCUUUCCCCAAAGGGACACCAACAUAAAUGCAGGAAAUUUGAAUGGACGAGCGCAGUGAAUGAAAUUUGCAAAUAUUUUCAAAAAUUGAACUUUUCUGGCAAAUUUUUUCCUCCGAUGUUGAUGGUGGGGCAGUGGAAGGGAUGUGCGGCCAGAGGAGGAAAAGGGACUGCUUCGGGUUUAUGAAAAUAAGUGAAGAAAAUUGAUUUGAAGUACUUUGAAGUGCAAAAACGCGUAGCCAGAAUCAGUGAAGAAUGCUUUGGCAUAUUAUUUCGACUUUUUUCGCUGACAGAGUUCCCCAAUUUCCUCCAUCUGCAUCUCCAUUUCUCCCUUUUGGCCAGACAACUUUUGUUGUGAUAGGCAAGUCAAGCAGAAGGGGCCUGUCCAUAUAAAAAUGGAGAGCACUAGCAGAUGCAACUGCAUAUCUGCUUAUGUUUGAAUAAAGUUUCGAAAUGGAAAAAUAACCGAGUCUAUAAACAAUCUCUGGUAAGGCAGAAACUUUCCAAAGGCAGAGACAAGUACCUUAAAAAACAUUCCUAGACUCUGUCUUAAAGCUCACAUAAUCGGUCAAAUUGUAUUCUAGGCUUACCCACAUGUUCCCGUCCGAGACAACAUAGGCAACAUGCGAGUACUGCGAGUAUCCGAGUUUAUAAAUCGCCUAGAAAAGUACCGACUACCGACUGCCGUCUAUCAUUUCCUCCGGCACUCUGGCAAUUCGGGAGUAGCGACAACCGGCAAGAGGUAAACUUUACCUGCUGCAAGAAAAAUGUUCAAAAUAUAAACCCACAGAUCGAGGCAGAGGAAAAGAGAUUCAUACAGGCGAAUCAGGUAACCAAGACGACUGUCGUUUAUCAAAUGGGGAGCAGGGAGCAGUCCUGCCUGGGCUCUUACAUUUUUUUGACUCAAGUGAAACGUUUCACGCCGCCAACGCCUAGAAGUAUGCAAACUGGCAGGGCGAAUUUUUGUGUGUGUUUUUGCCUCUGCACUUGCUUUUCCUUCUGCCAAAUAUAUUCAUUGCAGAAUUUGCUCCCGCUGAGAGGAGCGCCACCCCCACAGCCAACGUUUUGCAUAUGGAGCAAGUUUCCUACGUCUGAUGCGUGUGUGCAAGACUGGAGAGACUUAUGCUUGAAUUGCAAAUAGUUAGAAAAGAUUUGCCUUGAUUUCGGUGACAGCGACUACGACGAGUCUCCGCUCGGAGUGCACUCUGUCUUGAGCCCGGCCCGGACCAGCUUGCGGCUUGCCUCUCAAUUUGGAGACUGGCAAAUGUGUUUGCCGAGGCACUCGAACGAUUUGUGGUACUGCAUUUGGGCGGUGCUCUGGAAUUGCGAAUGAUUAAAUUGAGGCGGUUGAGAGAUGCUGCCAGACACUGAUGGCUUCACUUGUGUCUGCGGAAACUUUUGAAGAUUUAAUUUGUUACAGCUCCCAUAUACAUGCAUAUGUAUGUAUGUACACACUCGUACGUAUUUUCACGUAUGCUUCACUGUAUCUGUCUCUGGCAUUAAAUAAAAUGUGAAACAAUCAGAAAUCAACUCAAAACGCAAGCAAAUAAAAAUAUAAAACAUUUGCGGCCAUUUGCCGUUAGCCAUUUGGCUCACGCAUACACUUACACACAUACACACAUAUUAGUGUGCAAUUUGGCCAAAUGUCGCCAACGUGGCAGCCUGUCCUCCGCUCAAAAACUUUCACAAUAUUUCCGCAAAACAAAUUGCGCGUAAAAAUGGCAAUGCAAUUUUUGGUCGUUUGUUGCGGCGGCCGUUGCCAACUGGACGCCACAUUGCAUUCACAUUCACAUAUGUCCUCCUGCUACCAUGCUUGGUAUUCCACGCCCCACCCAACCACAAACUUCUGCCUUUUACCUCCUGCCUUUUGCCUGCGUGUGCGUGUUCUGGCAUGGUCCAUGCUUCUGUAAUGUUUGCCCAAUUGAAUUUAAUAAUAUUUUCAUUUGGAUUUUAGUUUGUUUUUAGUCGAGAGAAAAUAUUUUUCGGGCCAGUUUUGCUGGAGCACUCUGGUCGUGGACCCUGCCUGUUCCUGACAUGUCCUUUCCCAAAAUGUUUUGUGCGUCCUGCGGCUGCAAAUUGCCAAGGGAACUGGUCACGAAUGUCCUUCGGAUAGUCCCGGUCCCGCUCUGGAGCUAAUUGGGUUCGCGUGUUGUGCGGUUAAUUCAGAUUUCGAAUCUAAUACUGAUUGCGAUUCUGAAUAUUAUGUUAUGUUACAUUCAUAAUUGGCCUUGUCCUGUAGCAGUUACACAGGGAGGUCCACUCUCUGUCUCUCUCUCCCUCUCUCUCUAUCUCUCUUUUUUUUUGUAGAGGCUGUAAAAACCAAGCAACUCUUUCGGUGCCUUACUUAUCCGUGCUCCUUGGCACGGGCCAACUAUCGUCUCAACAGCUCGUAAAACCAAAGCAGCAAAUUAAACUGCCGCCAUAAAAGGGUAUCCCUUCUGCCCGUUCCAGUUCCACUUCCCCUUGCCCAACUGACCAUUACCCUGACCGUUACACUGACCAUAAAUACAAUAUUUGAUAAUUUUAUUAACAAUUUCGACUGUAAAUUGUUUACGACCCAGCAACUGGGGGAGGAUGGAUGGAGGAUAGAGCUUUUUAGGCGUCUGGUGCUGCCUUCGUGCACUUUUUAUGCUGCUUCCGCAGAGCGAAUGAAAUAUUCAUGUCCUCGGACUAUCUCUGUCUUAUUCCCAAUUCCCCUCUCGCUCUCGCUCGGAACGUAAAUUUAAUUUAGCUUCGCCCAGAAUUCUGUUCAAUCAAGCACAAAAAACGCCGCAGACAGACCGACAGAGCGAGGCAGAGCGAUGGAAAGCUGUGCAGAGAGUAGGAGAGAAGUGAUGGGGAACGAAAAGCUUUAUCCUUACUAUCGUAUAACCCAGCAGUGGUUUUGUUUUUCUGACUUUGAUUUUAACUGCAUUAGAGGCCCAGUCCUCAGAACUGGAUUCAAUUUGUUGCAAUGCUAUGCUAAAAUGCUGAAAUCGGGCAGGACUCUGCCAGCCAGUCAGCCAGAGGUCCUCUUUGUGCAGCUUUUCGCAUUAAAUUUAUGAAAUUGUGCGCUUCCUCUUUUUGGGUUAUGUUCUCUCAAAACUCAAUCAUGCCUGCAUGUAAUAUCCUGCCGCCUCCUUAGCUGUGUCCUUGGGGAUGCUUUGGGCUGCUUCGGGCUGUGCUGUCCUGUCCUGUCCUAUCCUGUGUCCUUCGUUGAGCUAGCCCAUUUGUUUAAAAAACUCCCCCUGCCGGUCCUGGUGACAUUUAUACCCAACAAUAACAACAUAUACAAGUCCCGGGGCAUGUUAUCCCGGCUGUGCUGGCAGUGCUCACAGUUGGACUUCGGGCGAUACCUUCUUCUUAUGCUUCGUACGCCUCAAAAGUAUGCGCCACAAGUGCAGCAGAACAUAGUAGAGGGUGAGCGGGGGAGUAAAGGAUUCGAAGGAAGCAACCUUUAACUAUGCACUACCUAAGGAUUCUAACUUCUUCGGGAGCAAAAUUGCCCUUAAACUUUUCUGUCACAUUCCGGGCAUAUCUUAGCCAAAGUUGCUGGAGGCCAAUUUCCAGCCUGUUGAUUGCCCAUUUAGGAGAAGUCUUCUCCGUUGUCCAUGGGCGGGUAAAUACAAAGCUUUUAAGGAUCGAUCCUGAGACCUCUGAGAAACCCCACUGACGUUGGUGUACAAAGGGUUUCUGUUCAGUUCCGUUCCAUUCUGAUCAACUCUCGGCGUCUUUGGCAAAUUUCAACCCUGUUGAUUGCCCUAUUAGGAGAGCCACCAGGGAAAAACGGAGGAAUGUCCUUAAAAAGAACUCUCGGCGAGUAAUUGAAUUAAAUGGCUGGAGCUGCGGCAAAAAGCAAAGUAAAUUAAAUAAGUUUUUCAUUUUGGGCGCUCGGCCAAGUUGCAUUGUCAACGCAGUCGUCUGAGUCCUGCCUCUUGUGUCCUGCGAUGGGUCGCGCUUUUUGCUUGCCCGCAUUUUACGCUUCGCCGGCGGCCUUUGUUGGCAGCAAAGGAGGAGCAGAGGAGGAGCCGGACCUGGAGCCCGGCCAGAAUGCAAUGAGCCAAAAGUUGUUUAAUGUAUGCAUUGCCGUGCUGCCCCGCCCUGUUUCUUUUUGGGCAGCCCAGGGCUGCGGUUAACAGCGCGUCGCAACUUUUCGGCUUGGGGUGAGGUUCCAAGGGUGCGGACGGGGCCAAAGUUACUUUCCGCAUAGUACGUAAAUUUCAUGAUUUUUUGUGGACUCCGCUAAUGCUGAGCAUACUUUUAGGUGGCUUAGUGGCAUUUACACUAAUUUCAACUGCAGUAGCACUGCACGGGCACGGGCGAUGGUGUGAUUUAUUUGCCGGAAAAGAUUACUUACUCGCCCUGUGGUUCCUGGGAGGAUGGAUGGAUGAGAAAGAAGCCUUUUGAAAUCCCGUUUUGACAUUUCUCUACACCGCCCUCGACUGUGGACGACAGCGAAAUUGAAAUUUGCAAAACGAAUUUAUAAUUAGUUUUACUGCUACGUUUUACUAGUUCUCCGUGCACUGCCAUUGCUGCUGCUACUCUAUUGGGGAGUUUUUUUCUGGGCUCGACUCAGAAUUAUCUUUUAAAUUAAAAUUAACUUGAAAAUUCGUUGAAAACUGUCGUUGCUAUAAGCGUGAGUGACAGAUUCGAGUGCAAAUGAAGGGUACGUUGUUCUCAUUAAUGGGUCAAUACACAUAUUUACAAGAUUUUUGCUGCUACCGCUUCUGGUUAUAUUUUCUUCCAGGGAAACAGCGUUAAGCCGUAAGACCGUAAGAGCAACAGCAAAAAUUAAUUAAAGUGCACUUCCUUUCAAUUUUCGACCAACAAAUUACAGAGUAUCAACAACAGGAACAACAAUAGCAGAAGCAACAGCAACAAAGAGGAGGCAUCGCGUUCUUGUAGCUCCAUUUUGCUCUUUCAGCUCAUGCUCCUGUUAAUUUCAUAUUUCGAAACAUGACACUUUCACACUUUGGCUAAUUUAAAAGCAUACAAAAUUGUUGGUCGACACACGCACGAGGAGAGCAAGAGCUUCGUUGCCGCUUCCUCAUUUCGUGACGAAUGUGCUUUGUUGCUGCUGCUGUUGGUUGGUCCUUCUGUUGGUGUUGCAUGUGGCACACAAAAGGCUGGCUGGCUGGCUGACUGGCAGGAAGGCAGGAAUCCUUUCCGCGCAUAUGUAUGUGUACGUGUACGUGUGUGCAACGUUGUCGCUCGUUAAAUUGUCGCCUGACACCUCGCUAAUGUCAUCAUCAUCAUCAUCGCCAUCCUCAUCCACAUCCGCAACACCACUACUGCUCCUCGUACCAGUGGUUCUGUCGUCGUCGUGGCCAGGUUAAAGUCUCGGCCACAUUAUUACUGUAAUUAUGUUGGCCGUGUAAACGUCAUUAGGCGUUUUAGCGGCGGUCACACUGAACAGGCAGGCAGCGGAACGUGCCACAACCCGUGUGUUGCAUGGAAUUGAACUGUAGCCCAUGCUGGUACGCGAGGUGUUGCAUCUUUCGACACGUUCACUGAAAAUUGCAGUGGAUAAAUUACAAUUUAAAGUAGGUUGAUAGCAUAGGAAGCACCACCACGCCUAGCGAUCACCAAACUUAAAUUCAAUUUCACACAAUCGAAAAGAUUAAAUCUGUUUUCCCUAAAGUCAAAACUUUCAUCCAUACAAAAAAUAAACUCCAACCGCCCAUCAGCAGUUGUUCCAAAAAAAAAGCAACAAAAAAAGAACAAAAGUUCCCAUUACCAUUACUCUAAAAUUUAUGUGCUGGCAUUUUUUGAAAACAUUACUUUGUCGCUGCUUUAAUUGAUAGAUAAAAAUGGCUGACCAUUAAACAAAUGCGGGGCAGGCCAACGAGGCCGGUCAGGCCAGGCCAAUUCAUUUGGCAAUUAAAACAAGCUGCGGCCAAAACGAGAAUCAGAAGAAGUUGGAAAAAAAAGCGGGCAAAAGCGACAAACUGCAUCUGAAACAGAAACAGAAACAGAAACUAUAAAAUGCAAAUCAGUUUCAUAUGUAUAUGUAUACAAAAAUAUAUAUAAUUUAUUUGUUAAAACCAUUUGCCGGCCAUUUGCUGGCCAUUUUUUUGCGAUUUGGCCAGAAGAAAUAUGUUGUCCUUUUAGGCGUUGACAAAUCGAGUCUCACACUCAUGGCUAAAAGUAUGCAACAAGCACAGCAAAAAGCAGCAAUACAAAGCCAAAGCCAGUUCAGGGCCACUUCCAAAACGUACGUGGCGAGGCGGGAAUAAUAAUUUUUGGCAUGACUGCCAUGUUAACAUGUCCCCAGACACGUAUGCAUGUUGUCCUCUGCCUCCUCUACCGACUCAUCUACCCUGAAUGCGGUGAACGUUGCAUACUUCCCUGCGCGAGUUUAUUAUGUGCGACGGAGUAUGAGUGCGUGUGCAUGUGUGUGUGGCUGCAUUUCAAAGCCCCUGUCAGGGCUCUCGGGUUGCCCUUGCGGCUUGUAGAACCAUUAGUGAACACGGGUAGCUCUGAUUACCCUCAGAUCCACCGGGCCCCUGCCCCAUCGACCAACAGGUCCUCCCCGGGAGAAUCUUGACUGCAUUUACAUUUGCAUUUGCAUUGAAAUACAUAAAUACGUGCGCGGCUUUUGGGGCGGUAGACAAAUUACUUUUUAAAUGCACUGUAAGCCCUUCAAUUGUAAUUGGCCGUCCUGUGGUCUGAAACUUUGCCAAAAAAGCAGGAGAACCAUUGAACCAGCGGGAAGAGGAAGAGGGAAGAGGGAAGAGGAAGAGAGACCCAGAACUUUGAGCGAGUGGCAUUAAAAAACAAUAAAAAAUAUUUGCCAGAGGCGAAAAGGCUAAGGACGAAGGCCCAUCUAAUGGCGUCACGUUUGCGCCGCCAGAAAAGUGGCAUGCAACAUGCGAUUGCUGCCAAAAGUGCCGCCUGGCACGAGUCCAGGAACAAGGACCCAGGCAUCCACACGCCAAGCACCGGGGAAGACCCCUCUUGUUAGUUGGCUUGUUAGUUGGCAGCCAAAAACGGCAGCCUGCUGCCUGUUGCAUUCCCCACUGAGGCACGACGACGAUUCAUUCUUGUUAGGCGUGCUGCCAGCUUGCACUCGCCUCCUCCUAAGGCUGUGUCUUUGGCUCCAACUACUAUUGGGACUUGGCUUGUGUCUGAGCCUGGGACGCUGACUGUGUGUCGUGUUGAAUUUUUCAUUUCAUUUGGCGGCAGCAAUUCAGUUGAAUGGAAUCUUCGUGUCGUCGCAGUCGUCUUCGGCAAGCGGAAGCGGAAGUGAGCAGGCCAAACAGCCGCACACGUAUUCUCAUGGCAUAUAUUAAGCGUUUAUAUUGACUCGCACCGACGGCUGGAUGGCUGCCUGACAGACUGCCUCUCAGAAUUUUCCUGGCAACAUAAUUCCUGCCUUAAAAGCGACGAUUUUGUGGUUUUUAUUGUAGGCGAAGCUUUGAGGAAUAAGCAGCCAUGAGACUGGGAUUAUUAGGCAAUUAAAUUGACGUUAAUGAAUUAAUUUAUGAGCUUUUGUGGUUCCCUGCUCGCCUAAUGUCAGCUGGUCGGCUACAAUUUGUGCCACGGAUUACCAAUGGAUAAUGGAGGUUUAUCGCCUUCAGUCCAAUGGCUGCAGUUUCUACAAGAAGCCAUUACAAAUCCUUUUAGUGCAGCCAAGCAGCAUUCUGCACUCUUUAAAGGUUGAAAUGUAUUUUCAUAUGAUAUUUGAAACGCUGACCCUGCCACGUCUAAUGUUCUAAUGUAGCUCAUUAAAACCUAUUGCACAGGAGCUGCCAGGCAUCUGGGGCUAUGACAGGGCCAACAGCAAUAGUUUCACAUUCCCAAGAUUCCCCCCGAUUCCACACCCACUCCUUUACCUUCCCCACUGUCCAUCCGCUUUUGGCCUUUUGCAUAAACUCGAGUUUCAUAUUUCAUUAAUUAAAAUUAUGUUCAGAGAAGAGCAGAUAACUGCUAUACUACGUAAAGCACCUGUUUUGUUGUAGUCUCAUUAACAGCACACACCCUGAGCCACUCACCUACACACUCUCCAACCCCAAAUGGGGGUGGCAGAGGCAGAGGAGGUCUAGAAUUAUGCAAUACAAUAUCAUUGUUACUUUGAUUAAUGAUUUGCAAAAUCAUAAAAGCAUUUCUGCUUCCUGCCAGCCAGUUCCCUGCCCCCUCACAAUCACAUUCAUCAUCAUCAUCAUCAUCGUCAGAAGCAGCAGCAGCAGCAGCAUCAGGCAAAAAGGUUUCCCAUUACAAAAACAGUCUUAAUUAGAACAAAAACCAAAUGUUACCGAAUAUUGGAAAUGUCUAUUCAAAUCAAAUUGUCAUAAGUAAGCCGAGACCUCUUCGGGUGACAUGGGGAGUGCGAAAUGUGAAGCCAUUAUUAUGCUAAUUAAUUGACAUCAAAAGCAAAGCAGAAGGAAGAGUCCCCGGGCCUAGCCGUGUUCAGAGUUCUGAGUGCUUUGUUCCCCCGUAUUUACGAGCGUUUCGAAAUCAAUGAGAGACGACGACAAUAGAUGACAUCGGAGUCUCUAGGUUAAGGUAGGGAGCGGGUGAAAGCGGAUCGUAGUGGAGAGAAGCGAUGCGGAGCCCAUAAGCUGCUUUCAAUAGAAAUGCAAAUUGAAGUACGCGUAUGCCAAUUAUUUUGAUAUAUACUUAUUUUUCGAAUAUAAUUAUGUUAUAUUAAUAAUGAGCAUCGGCAGCAGCAGCAGCAGCAAAAGCUCAACAAAGAACUCAAGUCAAGGGGGAUAGGUACUCUUACCUGUCGCUGUCAUCGGCACAAAAUAAUGGCCUGUAAUAGGAUUUCCUGUUCCCGAGAGAAGAGUGAAAUUAAGGGAAACGGAAAAGCCUCCCAUAAAUAUGCAAUGCCAGCCAGUCAGCUCCCACUCACCUCUCUCUCGGCCCUCGGGCCUCUUAUUUUACAGGGUGCAUCCUCCAGCCUGGUCGUCAAAUACGCCGACACAGAGAAGGAACGACAAAUCAGGCGCAUGCAACAAAUGGCCGGCCAUAUGAACCUGCUGAAUCCGUUUGUCUUUAAUCAGUUCAGUCCGUACGGCGCCUACGCUCAGGUAAGUGGCUGCAGCUCCAACCCCGUGAACAGCUCCCCUCACCUCUUUCUCUGGACUUCUGCAGCAACAACAGCAAGCAGCUCUGAUGGCAGCCGCUGCCACGGCGCCUGGAUCGGCAGCCGCCUACAUGAACCCCAUGGCCGCCCUGGCGACGCAAAUACCUCAUGGCCUCAACGGCACCGGACAGCCGCCUUCUUUGCCCUCUCCAACAAUGCCCAACUUCAGCAUGGGCGCCAACACGCCCAACGGCCAGCCCGGCGGAGCUGCCGCGGCCGCAGCAGCUGCUGCAGCGGACGGGGUAUUCACGAACGGCAUUCCGCAAACUGCAUUCCCAGGCCGUAAGUACCAGAAAUUCAGUCAUAAGUUUACCCGUUCCGAUCGAAUAACCGACUCGCGUACUCUCUUCCUUUAUUCCUUCAAUUUUAAUGAAUUUUUUUUUUGCAGAUCCGCUGCAUUUGACUAUACCACCACAAGGUCUGCCAAACGGCGAUGCUGCUACUCUGCAACAUGCCUUCCCUGGUCUGCCACCAUUUCCAGGAGUUGGUAAGUGUCCCCGAACCGGCGCAUACUAAGUCUUUAUCCGUUGCUCUAAGAUAGAAUAUCUAGGUUAGGCAGAAAAAAUAAAAAUCAUCAAAUGGAUUUAGAUGAAUCGCCCCAAUUCAUUGCUUUCUCAUUCUGCACACUCGAAACAUGUCAACUUGUCAUUUGAGCCGCGCUCCGUCUAAUAAUUAAGCAUUGGCAAUGGCCGUACGAUUGUUCCAUCGUCACCAAAAUUAUUAUCAUUUCAACCACCAAUUCAUGUUCCAAAGAAAUCAACAACAACAACAAAACAACCCAAUCAUUCAUAAUUGUUUUUAUCGAAAUAAAUAAUAAUUGUUGUGUCAUGCCAUAAAUAUUUUUAUUGUUAGUAAAGUGUCAUAUAACUCUAACUUUUAUAUACAUAUUUAAUUAUUAUUUUUUUUUUUUUUUAACAGAAUCCAGCGAAUGUUGUCGAAACAUAAUUAAUUUUUUUGUUCAGUAACCAAUGCAAAAGUAAUGCCGCUCCAUUCGAAUCUCGACCGAAUCGACAACACUAGCUUGGUUGCUUUUGUUGGCUUUUGAUUUGAAUAUAUUGAGCUUAGUUAGUUUUCUAUUUGUUCACCACAAAGUUGCGUUUUUCAAUGUUAAACCGUUAACAUUUGUUGCUUAUGAGCCGCACCUAUUAAUUAUUUAUUGUUUUCUGAUGUGUUUCAUUUUGCAAACUCUUUCACAAAUCCAGCCCCUGAGCUGCUGAUACUUAGCACUAAUUUGAAAUUUUCUUUUCAAGUGCGAAUUAUUCUUUGUUUAUUACUAAACUAUAAAAUUACUUGAAAAAUUUAAUUAUAUACAUACCUAUAUAUAUAUUUGUACGUAUACUUAAUUGUUGUGUUGUCUUCAUAAAUGUUUCGGAUUUUGUGUAAAAACCAAAAACAAAAAUUAUUUAUAUAUAAUGCAGCCUUCCCCGCCGUCUAUGGACAGUUUCCACAAGCUUUACCACCUCCCCUAGCGGCGGUUGCACCCACUCAGCGUGAAGGUAAGCUUUUCAUUAUUAUUUUGUUAAUCGAAUUUCGUAACCUCCGUAUUCCCCGAAACCCUUUAACCCCCAACAUGUUCUCUAGUUCGUUCGUUUCCGUUCUCCUAACUCGAUAUCGUAAUUGAGUUUUGAAAAAUAUCGAAUGAUACAUUAACAAACGACUGAAAAUAAUCGUAGUUUUUUGUUUCCAUCAAGUACUCGUAAAUGAUUCACUCCAUGUUUUCUUUGAUUCGUUGUCAUUAGAAUAAUAUACCAUGCAACACACACACACACACGCACAUACAAACAUAUAUUCCACACACAGACAAGCGGUCAUCAUGCGGCUAGAUUAAGCCAAUCCUGAAAGUAAUUAAUUCUCUUUUCGGCUGGAGAGAAAUUAAAUUUAAAACAAAAUCUCAUAAAAAUUAAUUACUUUGCGUACAGUGUUCUUUUCUGCUCUGUUCCUUUUGCCGUUUAUUUUAUUUUGAUAAACAUUUUAUUUGUUUCCGCAAUCCCUCAAAGGAGAAGAAGGGACGCGAAUGAGGACAUUCAACCCUUUCGAGCUGUAUGCUUGUCGGGCAAGGCGUAAAUCGUUUUUAAUGGCUGCAUUCAAAGGCAUUUUAUGCCAUCGUAAAAAUUACAUAUAAACUGCUUAAAAUCAUAUAAAGACCGUCGGCGUAUUUCGAAGACAUUUGCUCAUAAAAUUUUAUGUUUGUUUUUCGGUUCGUUUUGUCUUUGCUCUUUUUUCUUUUUGGACAGUGACAAUAGUACCACGUCGUACCUUGGUAAAGCAUUAUAUAAUUUAUGCCUGUCUGUGGUGUGUCUGUGGAUUGAAAUCAUAUACAUACAUAUAUCUACAUACAUACAUAUGUGUGUGGGUGUUGUGUGCGUGUACCUGUAUGCUAAGUAUGUACCUAACUUGAGUGUAACGUUCAAUUUUCAUAUCUGUUACUCCGUAGUCUGUUGUAUCUCUAUGUAUACCCUAGAAUCUACCCUGCAUGACACACGCACACAUGUAUACAGACACUUUAUUUCAUAUUUACAUAUAUUUAAAUAGAAUAUGCAUAUUAUAAUGGUAAUUUGGGGAUGAAAUACAUGGUAGAGAUCUCAGCUCAAGCAUAUAGUUAACUAUUACUAGAUUCAUUAAGCAUUUCUAGCCUAAACGAACCUCAAAUGUCUGUAUGUUUAUCAUUUAGCCUGUUCGUUUGGUUAUGGUUUUGUUUCCUAGUUUUUAGUUGAAUCGUCCAGAAAACAAAUUCAGCCACAGAACACAAUUCACAGUUCACAGAUCUCAGAGCACAAAUCAGAAAUCUAUCAGUUCAAAAUAAAACUCAAACAAAAUUAAACGAAACGAAUUCAAUUCAAACAGAACCAGAACAAAAAAAAAGCAGACAUACUCGUACUCAUAAAGAUCGAAAUUAUUAUUUUGCCAUCGCUUAAUUUCAUUCUCUACUUUGUUUCUUUUCUUGUAAUGUCUUCUUUUAAGAUUUUCUGAUGUUCCCAGGAUGCUCGAUAUCCGGCCCAGAGGGUUGCAAUCUCUUCAUCUACCAUUUGCCCCAAGAGUUUGGCGAUGCGGAAUUAAUGCAAAUGUUCCUACCCUUUGGCAAUGUGAUCAGCUCUAAGGUCUUCAUCGAUCGUGCUACAAACCAGAGCAAAUGCUUCGGUAGAGUCUCCACACCCCCUACCUAUUAUAUUCAGCUGUUCCUAAUCAAAUGGCUCUCUCUCUCUCUCUCUUUAUGUAGGUUUUGUGUCCUUCGAUAACCCCGCAAGCGCUCAAGCGGCCAUUCAGGCCAUGAAUGGCUUCCAGAUUGGCAUGAAAAGACUGAAAGUUCAAUUGAAGCGGCCAAAGGAUGCCAGUCGACCCUAUUAACAAUCGGAGUUCCUUAAGUGUAAUUCACAACAACUACAUCUACUACCUGGAUCAUCAACAACAGGAGUAGUCGGAGGAGCAGCCAUUCCACAAACUAGAACUCAAUUUGCAACUGCAGCAGCAGCAACAACAUCCACAGCAACAGCAUCAGCCACAGCAACAACCACAGUACACCGCUAUAGUCGCAGAAGCAGCUUUAGGCCACCAUUUCCCACUGAAAACUCUCCUAAUAUGCAGUAUCAGUUCGCCAGCUGGCGAAAUGGUACCUACUGCUACCGCUAUAGCACCCCCAGCAACAUCUCCCCCAGCAACAUCAGCAAUUCCAGAAACUGCAGCAAGGACAACAGCAACAGCACCACCAACAACAAUAGCAGCAACUGCAGCAGCAGAAUGGACGAUUCCCAUCCACAGCCAACUCAACCGGACACGGCAUCCAAUAGCAACCAGAAGAACCUAUCCAAAGUGGAACUAGUCGAAAAACUGUUCAUGUGGCAGCAACAAAAACGAAAGACCUAAAACCAGUAGGACCCACACCACCACCACAUCAGCAACCAUGACAACGGCGACAACAAUAAGGAGCAACUACUGAAAGGGUGAGCCAUUGAAUUCGGAUGUUUGGGAACCCCAGUCCCGCAAACACUUUAGAAGAAUACGAACAAGAUCUCUUUCCAAAUGAAAGAUUUCCCAGAACUGUUUCGGCGAUCGUCUUGGAAGGAGAUCUUACGGAUAGAACUUGGAUCAGCUUACUGAUGCUAUACCAUUACCUCUUUUCAGAUGGUCUUCACCAUGCUAAGUGAAAAUGAUUAUAAAAAUAAAAAUGAACACAUGUUCAUGUGAAAAAAAACCUAAAAAAUAGUAAACAAAAAAAUGUAUAAUAAAAAAAGAAAAUACUUUAGAGCUGAAAUUUAAAUAGAUUUAUAUAUAUAUAUACAAAACAGCAGAACAUACAUGCAACUAUAUAUAUAUUUAUUCGAUUAUACAUGCAGAUGAAUGCAGUAUUUAAAAAAUUAAAGAGAAACCCAACAGAAACAAAAUGAUAAUGAUGUUGAGAAGCCCGAAGAAAGAACAAAAUUUUUGCCAAAAUAUCGAUUUAUUAUGAAUAUAUAUAGACACAUAAAUAUAUAUAUUUAUAGAAGCAAGGAACAAACAUUGAUAUUGAUAAUUUUGUUAACAAGAGAUAAACAAACCACAUAACAUAUGCACACCCAACACACACCACACACAGGAAAAACAACUUGAGACAAAAACUGACUGGCAAGAGACCAAAAUUAUCUGGGUUUUCAAAUUAAAAAAAAAAAACAAAAAAAAGAAACAAAUAAUAAAUAAUAAACAAAAAAAAGAGGGAGUACUAGUAGAGCAGCAGCCAAUUUAUAAGAAAAUUUGGUAAUGGGAAUUUAUUAAAUUAACAAGAUGCUGCAGAUAAAAUUAAUAAAAGAAAACCUAAAACAAGAGAAAAACUAUCAAAACUGAAUUUGUUAAUCUGAUGAUGAUAAAAUCGAAUGGAGUUGACAGUUAAAUGAUUUGAAUGGAUAAGAGGUGUAGACAAGCAGAAGGAUUUAAUGAUAGAGCCUAGGAUGAUUGAUAGAGGAACAUAGCUCUGCAACUUUUUAGCAUUUAGUGGUAAGCAAGAAGCAGAAUGUUCUAUAUAUAUAUGCAUAUACAAGUAUAUAUAUACACAUGUGUAUAUGUAUGUGUACGAAUGAAAAAUUAACACAAAAAUUCGAAUUUAAUUAAUUGUAAGUAAAACAAACCGAUAUAACAAAAUAGGAAUACACCAGCUCAGAGCAGGCCACUUAAUAUGCGCAAUGCUUUGAUGGAUAUGUGAAAGGCUACGGAUGAACAGACCGCAGUAUAUAUCUAUAUAUACCAAUAGGUAUAUAGUACUACUGGAUAGGUCGAGCCCAGGUCACCGCCCCAGGGUGGGCCUGCUGGCCUCGCCCCGAAGCAAAAAUAUCAUUUUUGAUUAUACAUAUAUAAAUGAGAAACUAAUUUAGCAUCAUAAUAUGAAUUUGUUAGAGCUAAUAACGAGAAUCGCGAAAACGAACGGAGGAGUAAACACAAAACUAGAAAAGAUAAAUUAAUCCAAAAACUCUAAAGAUCACUUGUGUUGGGCUGAGAGCUCUGUUGGAGAUAUUCUUCUACGAUACUAGUCUUCAAUUAGUUAUUCUGUAUUUAUGUUCGUUUUGUUUGCAGUUCGGUUGGGAACUUUUCUAAAACUAAUGAAAAUCGUAAUCGAUUUUAUAGUAUAAUAAACUAAAAUAAACUAAUAUUUGUAUAAAAUCAAACAACAAAAAUUUUACACUUAAACUUAGCUGCUUGCAACAAAAACAAAUACAGG
Molecule: long non-coding RNA, 134225 nt
Filed under: Drosophila guanche
Lineage: Eukaryota; Metazoa; Arthropoda; Insecta; Diptera; Drosophilidae
Source: RNAcentral